GGAUAAAGCUGGGAACUCGCAAAACUCAAAAGACCGUAAACCUGACCAAGGCAUGUGACAAUCUGCUGCAAAAUCAAUCAAAAAUCUAACCUCCAUGUACUUCUCCGUAGACGCUGCAGCUUUCCAGAUUAGUCCCUCAAUUUCAUAACAUCAUCCAUGUCCCAUCAUCGCUGAGUCUCAUCGAUAAAACCAGUGCUAAGGACCUUCUAGACUCGUUCCCAUACUUAUACCUCAACAAAUUGACCAUACUACACAAAAGUACCUUUCCUCUCCCCCGAACUUAUUCACUUUUCAAGCUGUUUCGUUUUUUUUUUCGGCACAUAUAACAAGGUUCAAAGACGCGAGUAUUGAUGGUGAUUGCCACCGAAUCCCCGGUUUGUCCCCUCAUCAUAUAUCAAAGGUGUAGGCGAAUAAUGGGGUCACAGGAAAUUUUCCUACCCCUCGCUUCCAUCCCUUGUGUGAUCAUUCCACUUUAGAAGUAAAAUAAUGGGAUCCUUGGAAAUUUUCCUAACCCUUUACUUCUAAAAGAAAAUCAUUUCAAUCUUUUCUGCCUUUUGAUCAUAUUUUUUUUUUUUUUUUUUUUUUUUUUUUUAGAAACAGCCUGAAACAAUGCUUAGAACAUAAGAGAGGAAUACCAAAUCUAUCACACAGGUCUUUAUUUGUCAGGUAAGAAUGAGGAGUCAAGCCCUAUGAGCACUAACCUGAUCGAUGAGGAAAAUGAAGAGCUGAAAAAUUAGCUCAGGUUCAAUGGAUGUGUCAAGAAUUUUGGGCUCCUCUAGUCUACUGCUUUGUCUUUGGAUUUUCCAUUAGUCGAUCUAGAUGAUUCUGCAGCAAUAAUCACUAGAAGAAGAUGGUCAAGAUUCACAAAUGGUCUGAAAUCAUCAUAGAAUUGGUCCUAAUUCCCACGAGCUUUGACUUGACUCAUAUAACAAACUGACUCAAAGAAACAAAAUAACUCAAAGAAACAAACUAAAACUGACUCAAGAAAAACACAAGAAAAUGCAAAAGAUGACAAGAUCCUCCCCCGAACUUAUUAUACACCGUCCCUGGUGUACAAAUAGGAGCAGAGAAAAAUCCUGUCGAAACAAAUAAAAGAAAAGAAACCAAGGCGGAUAAUACAAUGGUGGUAGAGAGAUGUUACUAGCGGUCAGUGAGUGGUGGUGUCCUCCGGGCUCUCACUACCAGAUCCACCAGUGCGACGUCUGCGUCUCGGGUGCCUCUCCGGAGAACUGGCUGCGGUCGCUGUGCUGCUACGACAUCCACUGGUAAGCAUCUGCAACAACCUCUUCAUGAGGCUGUUGUUCUUCUUUGUAGACGCGACCAUCCACCUCCGAAACUCUGCAUCAUCAGGAUCAUCAGAGAUAGGAGCCAAAUCGAACUCACCAGCAUCAGCUGAAACGUAGUCAGGCAGCUCCUCAUCUCCCUGCGGUGAAUGGGGAUAGCGUGAAGAACUGGCGCGAGCAGGUGCUCCGGAACUCGAAGCAGGUGCUCCAGAAUUCGGAGCGGGUGCUCCGUCGUGUGCUGCAUCAGCUAAAAGUGGCACCUCCAUCAGGAAACGCAGAUUAGCUGCAGUGUUUAGUGCAGUCAUGGCAGGAUUUGGGCGAGGCGUGCGCUGUGCAACUCCGUAAGCACCUUUGUAGCUGUAGGUGUUCUCAUCGCAUAGAAAACCUGAAGUCAGCAGAUGGGCUGUGUCCAUUUUCCUUCGGCUCACAUCUUUGGUAGCAUACCGAAGAGGAAUAUGAGCAAAAGUGAAAAGCGCUGUGAGGAGACUUCCAAUGUAAAUGACCUGCGAACUCCCAAAAGGUUUGGCCCUCACUGCGCAUAUGGUUUGCGCCAGCUGAACUCCAAAGUUGAUACUGUGCUCGACCGGGACGCUGACGCUGUAAGAGUCUGCAACCAAAUCACCACAACCAAAGUAAAGCAACAUCAAAACAUCCAGCGCUACCUUAUUCCCAGAAUCACGGUUGAACAGCAUGUUGUUGAAGAUUUUCGCACAGAUGCGAACAGCUGGGUGGCGAAUGACUGAUACGCUUGCCGUGUUCGACUUGUAGUGGCCGGAGGCGAUGGUUUGCCAAAAUUGGUUGGCAACCUCGAACUUACUCGGGAAACGCAGCUCUUUAUCCUCGUCAUGAAACCCGUAAGCAGUGCAAAACGUCGCCAUGUCGAUGCUGUAGCGCUUCCCUUCAGCAAAGAAAGUGAAAGUCGCUUCAUCGGCCUUUGGCUUCGUCGGAUUUGCGUACCGCAACUUUGCAGAUGCGAGGCAUUGGCGGACCAGAUCAGGGUAGAGAUCGUCGUCCUCGAAAGCGAGUUGCGUCAGCUUCGUGUUGCGCAGGAUGAUGCUCACCUCAUCGAAGAUUCCCAACCGUUUUAGUGUGUCUAUGCACAUCACUAAGGUUGGUUGCAGUUUGAUGUUGAGCAGCUUGUUGUAAUAGAACGAGUCCGUUUGGUCCCACUGCUCGUCCGAGUGUUCGGGUAUCAACUCAUCAGGCAAUUCGAUCAGUGUGUUUUCUUCGCGAGGCCAUGGAUACGUCGAUGGGGUAGGUUUAUUUCCCUCACCGUUCUUCUUCUUUCCCUUCUUCCUGAACAUUGUUCUGGGAGGUAUUCCUGGAACAACAUUGAAGAAGAAAACAAUUAAGCCCAUAGAAAAUCUCCAACCUAAUUUUUCGAGCAGAGUUUUGCAUGUGUGUAUGUAGAACGGAUAAUCACAUAGAUGUAAACUGAUGCUGCUCUAGAACCUCAACAACAUGCGCAUAAGUCGAAAUCAACACAUAGAUAGAAGUAAGCACCCUUUUAAAAAUUUCGCCAAAAUAUUAAAAAGGGAAUUGCGAGUCAUACCUUUGCUGGGUGUCGAAAUUGGUUGCAGAAACGGAGAGAGGACGAAAAACCGAUGAACUUAGACUCAAAAACGUUGAAAUCGGUGAAGUUUUGAAAAAUCUGGGAUUUGAGCUCAAGUAUCAAGUAUGGCGAAAAAGAAAGGAGGAAGGAGGAGGUGUUUAUGGGUCGCAAAACUCAAGUUAAGAAACCAAGGGAAACUCAGGUAGGGUAAAAUUCUGUGUAAAAUAAAUCUUUUGGUAAAAUUUGCACACUAGCCCCUGCGUUCCCAUUAAAACUCCAAUUUUCCCAAAAACUUACCUGGAAGCGCCAAACACCCUGGCAGAGCAAGUGCUCCAAACUAGAGCAGGGUGCUCGUUCGUCGCAUUCUACGUGGUGAGCAACCAACCUAGUAGAUGGAGCAGGUGCUCCGGUGGGUUGCUCCCUCCUUCUUCUUCUUUUCACCUCCAUCGCUGAAAACCUCUCUACCUGCUUUAUCUUUUUUCUUUUUUUUUUUCUUUUUUUUUUUUUUUUUUAACACAAAGAACCUAAAAACAAAGUUAGUAGCUAAGAAUUGAAAGACACAAAGUUAGAGACUCUUACCGGUGGGUUGCCUCCCACCAAGCGCUUGUUUUAAGUCAUUAGCUUGACUUGGAAAACCAUUUAGGCUUGAGGAGGAUCGCUUAAGGUGACUGAUUCACCUUCUGCGAUAUUUGGACCAGCAAGGUAUGGUUUCAACCUCUGUCCAUUGACAACAAACUCGCCUCCUUUAGUGUCCAGCAACACUACAGCUCCAUAUGGUCGAGCCUCCUUGAUGGUGAAUGGUCCAGACCAUCUCGAUCUCAGCUUCCCUGGAAACAAUUUCAAUCUAGAGUUAAAGAGAAAUACCUGAUCGUUUGGUGCAAAGCUUCUGUUGAGGAUCCUCUUGUCAUGAAAAGCUUUUGUCCUCUCUUUGUAAAUCUUCGAGUUUUCAUAGGCCAGGUGCCUAAUUUCUUCCAGCUCAUGUAACUGCAUUACUCUCCUCUCCUGAGCACUCUUUGCAUCGAAAUUCAGCAGCUUCACUGCCCAAGCAGCUUUGUACUCAAGUUCCACUGGAAGAUGACAUGCUUUUCCAUACACCAAGUGGAAUGGUGUAGUCCCCAAAGGUGUUUUGUAAGCUGUUCUGUAUGCCCAAAGAGCAUCAUCAAGCUUCACUGCCCAAUCCUUCCUUGUGGUGCUCACAGUCUUCUGCAGAAUGUUCUUGAUUUCCCUGUUGGAAACCUCAACUUGCCCACUCGUCUGAGGAUGGUAUGGGGUCGCCACCUUAUGCCUUACACCAUUCUUCUUCAACAAGUUUUCAAAGACUUUGUUGAUGAAGUGAGAGCCUCCAUCGCUAAUCACCACUCGCGGCACACCAAACCUGGGAAAAAUGACAGAUUUGAACAUCUUUAAAAUCACCUUUGCGUCAUUUGUGGGACUAGCCAGAGCUUCCACCCACUUUGACACAUAGUCAACUGCCACCAGAAUAUACUCAUUCCCAUAAGAUGAUGGAAAAGGUCCCAUGAAGUCUAUACACCACACAUCGAAAAUCUCUACUUCCAAGAUGAAAUUCUGAGGCAUCUCAUUCCUCCUGCUGAUGUUCCCUUGUCUCUGACAUGUGUCACACCUGGAGAUAAAACUCGCUGCAUCUCGGAACAUCAUCGGCCACCAAUACCCAGCUUGGAGAAUUUUCGACACAGUCUUGAAAGUGGCGAAGUGACCUGCAUAAGAGGAUCCAUGGCAAUGAAACAACACUCCUGGUAUCUCCUCGUCAGCUACACAUCUUCUGAAGAUUCCAUCAGAGCAAUGCCUGUAUAAAUAAGGCUCAUCCCAAAAGUAGUGCCUCACAUCCUUUAGAAACUUCUUCUUUUUGUUUCCCACAAAACCUGCAGGUUCCUGCUCUGCAGCAAGGUAAUUUGCAAUCUCUCCAAACCAUGGGAAACCAGAAUGCCGAUCUAUGUCAACUUGGUUGCAAAAACUCGUCAGAGCAGGUGCUCCGGUGGGGAGCAGGUGCUCGUCGAACCCAGAAACUUCUAUGGCGUAAACUUGUUCAUCAGGAAGGCUGUCAUUUAGUGGAAUGUCAUCAUCUAUCUUCAGCCUCGACAAGUGGUCUGCAACACCAUUAUCAAUCCCUUUUUUGUCUUUAAUCUCCAAAUCAAACUCCUGCAGCAAAAGGAUCCAUCGAAGGAGUCUUGGCUUGGCGUCCUUCUUCGUCAACAGGUAUUUCAGAGCUGCAUGGUCUGUGUGAACAACAACUUUCGACCCAACAAGGUAAGACCUGAACUUCUCAAAAGCAUAAACCACUGCAAGAAGCUCCUUUUCAGUUGUGGCAUAUUUGCACUGAGCCUCGUCGAGUGUUCGGCUAGCAUAAAUGACGUGGGGCCUCUUUUCUUUCCUCUGUCCCAGCACUGCUCCCACUGCAUAAUCGCUAGCAUCGGUCAUGACCUCAAAAGGUAGUUCCCAAUCUGGUGGCUGGACAAUAGGAGCGCUGACCAAAGCUCCUUUUAUCCUGUGAAAUGCCUCCAAACAUGCAUCAUCAAACUCGAAUUUCACAUCCUUGCACAGCAGCUGCGUCAGGGGCCUGGCAAUCUUCGAGAAAUCUUUGAUGAAGCGUCUGUAAAAACCUGCAUGGCCCAGAAAACUGCGAACCCCCUUGACUGAUGUUGGUGGCUGCAGACUCAUCAUCACCUCGAUCUUUGCCCUGUCCACCUCGAUCCCUUUCUCUGAGAUUUUGUGUCCCAGCACGAUCCCAUCUCUUACCAUGAAAUGGCAUUUCUCCCAGUUAAGCACCAGAUGCUUCUCCUCACACCGCUGCAAGACCCUGCACAGAUUAGAUAAACAGACAGAAAAGGAGCUUCCAUAGACAGAAAAAUCGUCCAUGAAAACUUUCAUUAUGUCUUCAAUCAGGUCAGUGAAAAUCGACAUCAUGCAGCGUUGGAAUGUUGCUGGAGCAUUACACAAGCCAAAUGGCAUUCUGCGAUAUGCAAAGGUGCCAUAAGGACAUGUGAAUGUCGUCUUCUCCUGGUCAUCCGGGUGGAUUGGGAUCUGAAAGAAACCUGAAUAACCAUCUAAGAAACAGUAAUAAGGAUGGUUAGCCAAGCGUUCAAGCAUCUGAUCGAUAAAUGGUAAAGGAAAAUGAUCUUUGCGAGUUGCAGCAUUCAAUUUCCUGUAAUCUAUGCACAUUCGAUGCCCAGUAACAGUUCUAGUUGGUAUCAAUUCAUCCCUAUCAUUUUUUAUCACAGUGAUACCACCUUUCUUAGGAACUACAUGAACCGGACUAACCCAAUUACUAUCUGAAAUUGCAUAGAUCACACCAGCUUCUAGAAGUUUCAUUAUCUCUUUCUUUACAACAUCUUGUAGAUUCGGGUUUAACCUCCUCUGAUGUUCUACAGAAGUCAUUGAUUCAUCUUCUAGAUGUAUUCUAUGCAUGCAAAGAUCAGGAGAAAUCCCUGGAAUUUCAUCUAGCGAAUAUCCUAUAGCUUUCCUAUACUUUCUAAUUUCACAAAGAAGCAAGGCAAUCUCUACAUUGUUCAAUUCAGAAUUCACUAUCACAGGGAAUGUCGAAUUGGGUCCUAGAAACGCGUACCUGAUCCCCACAGGAAGGGGUUUGAGCUCAAGCUUCGGAGCUCUCAAUUCGCUCCAAGGUCCAUCAAUCAAACCGUCGGGAGCAGGUGCUCCAGGAUUCAGAGCAGGUGCUCCGUCGGCUUUUUCUGCAGGUGAGCUCUCCUUGCCUUCUAAGCUCAUGUACGCCACCUGCCUUUGCAUCCUCGUGCUUGCAUUCAGCAUUUUUGCAAACCCAUUAGCUUCUUCACUCAAAUACCCAUGUUCUCCUUCAGCUUUGGUGAGUGCAACUUCGAGAGGAUCGAUGGCCAAAACCUCUUCAGCAACCUCUUCAGCAAUGCCUGAACCAUCAUCUAUGACAAAUGUCUGUCCGUCCAGCAUUGGUUUCUUGAAGAGUUUAUUCAUCUCAAAUCGCACCACCAUAUCUCCCAGCUGGAGAUCUAUCACUCCUUCUUUCACAUCUAUGAUUGCACCAGCUGUGCAUAAGAAGGAUCGACCCAAUAUCAAAGGAUCCUUGGGUUCUUCAUCAAGCUCCAGAACCACAAAAUCUGCUGGAAUGAGUGUAUCACCUAUCUGAACAUGAAGAUCUUCAAGUAUACCAACAGGGAAUUUGGUUGAUAUAUCAGCAAAUACCAGCGAGAUUUUCGUCGGUUUGAAUCUGGUGUAACCCAAUCGCUUGGCUACAGAGUAAGGCAUCAGAUUCACACUUGAACCUAGAUCGCAGAGAGACCUUGCAAAAAGUACAUUCCCAAUCCUGACUGAGAGAACAAACCUUCCUGGAUCACUUCUCUUCUUCAGCACUUUGUUCUGAAGCACAGCACUGCACUCCUUCGAAACCAUCAUGACACUCUCUUCCUCAACAGCUUUCCCAGACACUAACCCCUUCAUGUAUCUUUUAAGGGCUGGUAUCAUCUGAACAGCAUCAGCUAGAGAGAGUUUUACAGUCAAAUCCUUCAGCAUCUCCCUGCACUUUGCAUCCUCUAAGUCCUUGCGAGACUUCUUUGGUGGAACUGGGUAAGGUACCUUAGGCGUGUAAACUCUUGCAGGAAUGUUUGCUGGAGCAGGUGGCUGGAGCAGGUGCUCCCUCGUUGGCUCAGGGUGCUCCCUCGUCAAAUCUACGUCUGGAGCAGGUGCUCCAGAUUUUGGAGCAGAUGCUCCGAUGGAGGAAGAGUGCUCCUUCGUCUUUUUUACGUCAUGAGCUGGUUCCUCUUCUUGGAGCAGGUGCUCCACAUCCUUUUCCUUCCUCUUUUCUGAGACAGAGCUUGUUGGUGCAGCAUGUAGAGUCUUCCCACUUCUAAGCUCAAUAGCAUUCACAAACUCAUUCCUGGGGUUUUCACCUUUUCCAGGGAGAGUUCCAGGUGAUUUCUUCACAGCUUCUGCAGUCUGAGCUACCUGAACAUCCAGCUUCUUCACAUGAGUCCACACAGCCUCAUACUUGCCAUUCAAAUCAUUGUACAUGGUGUCCACUUUGGCAUUAAUCUCCAUGGAAGACUUUUGCUGAUUAACCAGCAGCUGUUGCAUCAAGUUUUUCAGCUCAUCCUGCGAGUUAUUUUAGGAACUCGAAGAAGGCUGUAGACUUGUGAAAGGCAACUUCUGCUGAUUUCCACCUUGAAAUCGAUUCUGAUUGGUGAUGAACUGCUUUCCUUGGAAGUUGCUGGAGAAGUUCUUCUGAAAUCCUGACUGAUUCUGCACUCCUUGCUGCGGAUAGACCUGAUCCUGAGGGUUCUCAACAUUGUUGCUUCUGUAGGAUAAAUUCGGGUGGCUUCUGAAGUUGUUGAAACUGCAAUUCUGCACAUACCCUUGUCCAUUCACGAAAUUUACCUCCAUCUGAUCAUUAUUCUCUGCAUCUACAAACUCUUGAGCAAGAGGUGCAUCACCGACCUCAUCAGCAAAAUGCACAGAUCUCUGGUUCUCUCUCAGCAGCAGAUUCACCUUUGCUGUAAGCUCAUCGAUUUUGCUCAACUCCACACUAUGAACUGAUUUGCUAGACCUGUCAUACUCUUGGGAUUUGUUGCUGGAGCUUGCAGCUAAGUUCUCAAUCAACUCAUAAGCAGCUUCUUUGGACUUAGUCAUGAAAUCGCCAUUGCUAGCUGCAUUCAAAGCAUUCCUGUAAUCCCAGUUGACACCAUCAUAAAAGGUUGACAGGAUCUGCUCAUCAGAGAACCCAUGGUGAGGGCACUCUCUUCGGUACUCCUUGUACCUCUCCCAAGCUUCGCAGAAAGCUUCACCAGGUUGCUGUUUAAACGACGAGAUCUUGUUCUUCAGAGCUGCAGUUUUGGCCUUAGUGUAGAAAUGGUCCAAAAAUGCUGAUCUGCACUCUUCCCAUGUAGUCAAUGACCCAGGUGGUAAUGACUUCAGCCAGCGCAAAGCUUUGUCCGCAAGUGAGAAUGGAAAAAGCUUGCACUUCAAGAAAUCGGCUGGUAUCCCAUUUGAUCCAGUCGUGCUGCAAAUCUCCUCAAAAUUCUCGAUGUGGUCCAUCGGAAUCUCAGCAGGAAGCCCAUGAAAGAGGUGCUGCUUCACCAAUGAGAUCAGCUGAGGUUUGAUCUCAAAGUCUUGCCUCUGAAUGGUUGGAGGAGCAAUCGCAGCCCUGUUGUGAUAGUAAGCGUGCGGACUGUCCUUGUCUCCAAUAGCAGGUUGUGGCUGCUCCCUGUCUUGCUGCGCCUUUUGCAGCUGCUCCAAUUGCUGUCGAAGCUGUUGAACCUCGACAGCGAUGUUGCCAUUGUUGCCUUGAUCGCCCAUGUUGGCUUGAAUAGGCCUUUGACGUCUGUUUUCUCGCUCGACUCUUGCUAGAUCGGUGUUCGACAAAGAAACAAGAUCGGUGCAGUUGCUCCUUGUGGAUAUGUUUGACAUACACCUGAAACACACGCAAACAAGAGAACAAGAGAGAAAAAUUAAUAAAGCCUUAGUCUGAAUUUCAAACCAAAAAUCAAAGGUAACGAAUUGGUCCCCGUCGCAACGGCGCCAAAAUUUGAUUCUCACUAGAUGUACUCCUAGUUUCUACUGCAAUAGAACAGUGAUGUAGUUGUAAUAUAAAGAAUUCGAAAUCCAGAGGACCAGUGUUACUCUAUGAAUUUGUGAGGAUUGAAUUAAAGCUAAGACGAAAGAUGGUUUGUUUUGAAAACUAAAAAGUAAACAGAAUGGCAAACAACGAUUUAAAUUCAAAUUAAAACAAGCACUAGACCAAAGCAAUUCGCAGGAAUUUCAGAGAUAAGAACCAGAUGACUAUUCAGGGCACAAGUGUAACGCAAUUCUCGAACUCAAACAGAAAAGCUUAUCGAUCCACUGUCGUGAUCUCGAUAACUUUGUCUAACAACCUAAAUCCUAAACUGUCGUUUGAACCUAGAAAAUUGCAGACAAGCAUUAGCUAGCAGGUUUGAUCUGUUCACAAUUUGCCUUAACUUCAACUGUCGUUGGCUAAGGACAAAUCGCUCACCAAUGUUUAUUCUAGCAACCUAUUACACUUUUGAUGAACAGAUUAACCUAAAAUCGCAGAUUGAGUGAUCAAUUCAACCUAAGCAUUAAGUCUAACAAUGGUGAAGACAAUAGAUAUCAAGCCCUAUUUGCAUCUAAUCCUUUAACUCAUGAAAUCCUUUGAACGCUUAAAUCUAGCUAAGAGAUCUACUCAGACAUGGAGAAAAGAAACACAAAAACAGAUGGAAAGGAAUUCAUGAAUUAAAAUCGCAGAAGAGAUAAUAGGGUUCAGAAUUCUUCUCAAAGUGUAGCAGAUUUCUUCUCCCAAAAGCUUACAAGUAAAAACUCUAUGGUUCAGGAAAUUGUAAAAAGAAAGCGUAGAAGUAAAGAUAGGCGGCUUGGACUCCUUUUAUUCCUUUCACGCGGCUUGAGAUUAGGUAAAGAUGUUUUCCUUAUUUUUCUCCCGUCUGGAGCAGGUGCUCCACGAAGGGUCCAAACCGGGAGCAGGUGCUCCGGGGAUGAUUUCUCCAAAAACGUGUGAAAUAGCUCCUUAUUGCUCAAAUUCAUCUCUUUUUGCUCCAAUGCCUCCUAAACACUCCAAUCCUUUGAUAAGGCCUCUAAGUCACCUGAAACUUCCUGAAAAGACUCUAAAAACUCCUAAACAAUUAGUAAACACAAGUUAGAAUGAGUCAAAAUCUCCACUCAUCAUAACUCUAGAGUUAUACCGCGAUAGAAGAUACCCAGCAGGUAUUCCUCGGUAUAUCCAUGGUGUGGACAAUCUCUUUGGUAUUCCCUAUAUCUUUCCCAAGUAUCUAAAAGAUCUUCAUCUUCUUUUUGUUUAUAAGUUCUUAUCUUGCUCCUUAAGAGAUUUGAACGAUUUCUAGUGUAAAAACAAUUUAGGGAAUGAUUUUAGUGAAGCAGGUGGCAAAGAUUUUAGCCAUUUGCUGGCAUUGUCUUUCAAAGAGAAUGGGAAAAGACUACACUUGUGGUAAUCCCCAUUUGCUGUAAUGGUUGCACAUAAUUCUUCAAACGUCUCGAUAUGGUCUAUCGGGUUUUCGAAUGAAUAACCAUAGAAUUGAUUUUGUUGAACUAAAUGGAUAUAAGGUACCUUGAUUUCGGUUUUGCCAUUCUCUGGUAAGGCUGGUUGAAUAGCUCUUCGAUCUCCCAAGAAUUUCUCGAGUGAAUCGAAACUUCCAAUCAGUUCUUCAUCAUCUUCAUGUUUUGCCAAUCCGACUAGCUCAUUGUCAUCAUAGAUCGGUUCUUCAAACUCAUCAUCAGUCAGGUCAUCAUUGCUUGGAUCACCAUCCACACGAUAUGGUGGAUCACCAAGAGUUCCGGGAACAUGUUCCCAGUCUCUCAUCUCAGAGAAACCUGAAAAAUUCAAAAGAAAAAGUAAAAAUAAACAACUGUUCUAAUGGAUUUAAGCUGGGAUUCGCAACGAAACAAAUCAAAGUCCCCGGCAACAGCGCCAAAAAAUUGAUUGCAAUUUGUAAACGGGGUUUGUUGUUUUCGUUUUACUAAGCUUCAGGUUUUAAAUUUAUAACCCCUAAAUGUCUGCAAGUGCACAGAUGUGCGCUGUAGUACUUAGGAUAUCGAUCCACAGAGACUUAGUUGUUUCAGUACGAAUUCACGGCAAUGCUUAAAUCAGACUAUAACUAAAUAGUUUGGGGCUUUGGUUUUGGGUUUUUGGUUGUCACUAAAUCUAAACUAGAAAACUAAACAAGUAAAAACAAUUAAAAACGAAAGCAAGUGCAAGCAACUAAAAAUCGAUUAUGAAUGAAAGCAAGUAACAAGCGAAUGAAAGCAGAAUGGAAAUCGAAGGUUGUAAGCAAUGAAAGACAAACGUUGGGGCUCAAGGGGUUUCGCAGGGGUUCAUGGACUAAGCUAUGUCGAUUUUAACCAAGUGAUAAAGGUAAUCAACUACGUAUGUUCUAGAACUCGAGGCACGGAAGUAUGAAUAGCCUACUUUCGCAGCACUAAACAACUAUCUCUCGCAACCCUGAUCAGUAGGUUUCCACUCUGUUCCUGGAAGGGAGAAGAUGCAAUAGCAGAAUAAGACUCAUCAACAUUCACAGCUCAACUACAGGUAGGUUUCCACUCCUAUAGAAUAAUCGCUCGUUUCACCCUAGUUCAGACAAUCAAUGAAAACUUUCGCCACAUAUCAUAUCAGAUCGGCUUUUAAGUGGCCAGCAAAGAAUCAUGCAGUAAGAUUAAAGGCAAACGAAGAACAUCUAGAAGAUUAAUAAUCCUAAAUCUAUCGAUUUAUAAGCAAAGACACAUGAAAUUCCCUUUGAAUAAUCCCUUUAAACCCAACUGUGUAACUACUCAAACAUAUUGUAACAAAGCAUAGUGCAGGAAAUUAAAGAGAACAAGGAAGAGAAACAAAGAACAGAGAAGCGGACGGAGGCGCGAUGAUUGCACUCCAGCGGCGGCUCCUCCUUAGGGUUACACGAAAAUCUCUCUCUCUCCAAGUAUGUCUAAGUUUCGGUCUCUGCUCUUUAGAAUGACCUAAAGAGGGUAUUUAUAGCUUUUGGAGUUGUCCUGGACACUUAGGGCUUCAAAAAUAACAAAAGGAAUUGAUCUGGGCUUUAAUUAAGUCGUCUGGAAAGUGAACGACCAAGUUCCGCGGUCGCGGUGGCUCUACCUACGGGAAAAUGGGUGUUGGCCGCGGUCCCGGCUCGUGGUCCUGUUCCGGAACUGCAUUUUCUGUCAUUCUUGCAUCGGGAGUAUCUGAAGAUCUAACCGUUGGAUUUUAUCCAAACCAAGUGCAUUAGAAAGCUGUUUGGAUUCUCUAUGUUGUCUCUAAUUUUGGGGGUGAUCAGACGGUGAGAAGGUCUUCAUCGCUUGUCAUACUUCUGACGGUCUGCAUUUAUCCAAAAUUGCUCAUUUGUUCCAAAUUGCAUAUCUUUUGCCCAAGUUUCUUGUAAAUUCUUUUGAAACUCUAAAUCAUUGAAAACACUUUAAAAACCAUUGAAAACAAAGUUAAAACACCUGCAUAAGAUACAAUUAUGAUCCAUAAAAGUGGUCAAAAUACAGUGUUAUCAGGUUGUUGCCCCCAGAACUGUGUUCUUGGUGGUUUUCUGACUCGAGUAAGAAAAUUUUGCUCAAAGAUUGUUGUCCAUCUAGCGUAGAACUGUUUAGGGGAUUUUUAGUCAUCUGCGCAGGCAAGUCUCCUUCUAAACUAGCAAACACGUGAAGGCCUGGAAAACACGAUGGAAGAGUGUUUUUUGAUGGCUCUCCUACGCUCAAGUCAGAAAACAGGGAAAGAAAGGACACAAAGUGGCAAAUUGGAGAGAGGAAAGAGAUCAUAAAAUGGAGGAAGGAAGUUUUGUCGAGAGCUCGGGAGAAAAAUGGAAUCUACUCGGACCUUUGUGUGGUAAUGGGCUUUUUGAGGUGAAAAAAGAGGAAGUGUAAGAGUUUUGGGGUGAGAGUGCUCCACGGUUUAGGAACCGCCGUGGAAAGGAAGUAAAGAGAUGGUCGUAAUAAUGACCAGAAAUGUUAAGUGCUAUGGCUUAAGGAUCACGAGUAUCUAGAGAGUUAGCAUGUGCCUUAAGUUAGCGAAAAUAGUGAACCCCCUUCUCGUUGAAAGAGACAAGGUAUUUAUAGAGUUUUACCUAAUCCUGAUUAAUAUACCGGAACGGUCCUUGGGUCACAGGUUUGGCGGAUCGGUUCGUGAUCCGACUUGGUUGGAUCCAAAUCUUAUGCUUGCAUCAUGCCUUUGAUGGUUUCACGAACUUUCAUUGACACGUUAAAAAAAGUUGGUGAGAGUGUCAGAGGCAUGACAUGAGCAUAAGACUCAGAUCCAACGAAGCCAGAUUACGAACUGACCCGCCCGACUCACGGCCUAAGGACUGACCCCAGUAUAUGAACCUGAGUCAGGUAAAAUUUUAUAAAUACUCUAUUCUUUCUAACGAGGAAGGAGUUCACUGUUUUCGCUACCUUAAGGCUCAUACUAUCUCUCUAGAUAUUUGUGAUCCUUAAGCUGCAGCACUUUAUAUUUUAUGGUCAUUACUCCGACCAACUCUUCACUUUCUCUCUAAGGUGGUUCCUAGUUCCUAAAUAGUGGAGCAAUGCAACCCAGAAAAUCUUAUAGUUCUUCUCUUUUCAUCUCACAAAGCCCAUCAGCACUUAAAGGCCCGAGUCGAUUCCACUUUUCUCAGAAAAGCUCAUCUCCUACUCUCGUUUUCCGAUCUCUUUUCUCUCUCUGAUUAGCCACUUAGUAGUUUUUUUUACUGUUUUCUUACUUGAGUGUCAGAGAGCCAUUCGAAAACACGCCCCAUCGUGUUUUUGGGCCCAUGCAUUAUAUAGUUUUGCAGGAGAAUUUCUCCUGCAGAGGACAAAAAAUCCCAUAUAUAGUGUCAAGACAAUCAAAAAUUCAAAACUGUGUAGCAGUGACCAAGUUGAAUUAUGUAUUUCUAUGAAAAUUAGUGAUUAAGAAUAGUAUAAAUAAAGAAGAAGUUUUACUAUAGAGACUUGAAUAACCCAAUAAUGAUCUGGAAUUUAUACAUUUUUAGUGUUUUAUAUACCUGCAGAACUAUUUAUUUGCAGCAAAUAAAAAAAAACAAUUGUACGCAAAAUGAGUUGUUUAUAGUUGUAGCUAAAAACUGAAAUAGUUAGGGGGUUUGAAUGGUGAAAACUUAUUAUAAUGAUUAUUUAAGCUACAACUAUAAACAACUCAUUUUGCGUAUAAUUGUUUUUUUAUUUGUUGUAACUGUAAAUAUAGUAGUAUUUAAGAAGAAAUAUAGGGAAUAUAUAAGAGGGAAAGGAAAAGUUAUUAUAAAAGUUGAUGGUAUUAUGCUUGCAUCAUGCCUUUGAUGGUCUCACCAACUUUCAUUGACACGUUAAAAAAAGUUGGUGAGAGUGUAAGAGGCAUGACGUGAGCAUAAGACUCAGAUCCAACGAAGCCAGAUUACGAACUGACCCGCCCGACUCACGGCCUAAGGACUGACCCCAGUAUAUGAACCUGAGUCAGGUAAAAUUUUAUAAAUACUCUAUUCUUUCUAACGAGGAAGGAGUUCACUGUUUUCGCUACCUUAAGGCUCAUACUAUCUCUCUAGAUAUUUGUGAUCCUUAAGCUGCAGCACUUUAUAUUUUAUGGUCAUUACUCCGACCAACUCUUCACUUUCUCUCUACGGUGGUUCCUAGUUCCUAAACCGUGGAGCAAUGCCACCCAGAAAAUCUUAUAGUUCUUCUCUUUUCAUCUCAUGAUAACACCGUAUUUUGACCACUUUUAUGGAUUGUUUUGAAAUACUUUUUCUAUGUUUUUAAUUGCUUUUAAGUACUUUUAUUACGUUUUUCUAGUAUUUGUAGUUCCAAGACUCUUUUCAGGAAACUUAGUGAAAAGCUUAACAAAAUGGAUAGAAAACAAGAUUUCAGCUCAAAGUCAAACCGUCAGAAGUUCACCCCUGAUUGAAGGCCUUCUCACCGUCCGAUCCCGCUCAAAUUUGGAGACCUUAAAGAUGGAAGUAUCAGCUUUCCAAUGCACUUUACAGCUUGGCAAUCCAACGGUUCAAUCAAAAAAUACGCGAAGAGCAAGAUGUCCCGUAAACCAGCCGGCAAGCACUUCCACCCGCUGCCAAACACUCAUUCCCCACGGUCAGAAGCAUCCCGACCGCGCCCAUCAACCUCCGAGCCCAAAAAGCCCAUUUCUGAAGGCCCACAUUUGGAGAAACCCUAAGUGACGUCCAAGAGGUCUUGAGCACUAUAAAUACAUGUCUUAGGAACCCUAAAUCGNNNNNNNNNNNNNNNNNNNNNNNNNNNNNNNNNNNNNNNNNNNNNNNNNNNNNNNNNNNNNNNNNNNNNNNNNNNNNNNNNNNNNNNNNNNNNNNNNNNNCAUAAGAGUGGAAACUUACCUAUGGGCGAUUUGUGAAUAGGACGAGUCUAAACAUAAUGCAUCUCUCUCUUCCCAGGGCCAGAGUGGAAACCUACUGGUCAGGGUUGAGAGAGAUGUUGUCUAUGAUCACGACAGUGGCGUAUUCAUACGUCCGUGACUCCAGUUCGAAAAGUUUAAGCUAAGAUCUUACAAAAUUUCCUCUCUAGCAAUGUUUUGAAUCGUUCGUACCCCUGAGAAAACUUUCCUGAACCCCAACGCUUUCUUUCUUAUUGAUUUACAUCAAUUUUCUUUCAAGCUUUAGUUCAAUAUUGUCUUUCCUUUUUAGUUUAUUUUCAUUUAAGCAAUUAGAUAUCCGUUUUUUUUACAUUUUUAGUCAUUUUCGUUAAGUUUAGUUAUUACGUUAUUUAAUUCCCGUAUUCUCUUUUAAUAUUUCGUUUUUACAUUUUAAACACACUACCAAACCCCCACAAAACCGUUUUGGUUCUAGACUUCCUUACUUAAUACUUAUUUCAAAGGCUUUUUGCAGGAAAAGAUCCUCCUUCCCUGUGGAUUCGAUCCCUAAGUACUACAACCGAUCAGCUGUGCACUUGCGGCUAUUGAUUUCAAUUAGGAUAAAACUUGACAACCCUCGACACCACACAUCAAGUCACACCACCAUCAUCUCACAAAGCCCAUCAGCACUUAAAGGCCCGAGUCGAUUCCACUUUUCUCAGAAAGGCUCAUCUCCUACUCUCGUUUUCCGAUCUCUUUUCUCUCUCUGAUUAGCCACUUAGUAGUUUUUUUUACUGUUUUCUUACUUGAGUGUCAGAGAGCCAUUCGAAAACAUACCCCAUCGUGUUUUUGGGCCCAUGCAUUAUAUAGUUUUGCAGGAGAAUUUCUCCUGCAGAGGACAAAAAAUCCCAUAUAUAGUGUCAAGACAAUCGAAAAUUCAAAACUGUGUAGCAGUGACCAAGUUGAAUUAUGUACUUUCUAUGAAAAUUAGUAAUUAAGAAUAAUAUAAAUAAAGAAGAAGUUUUACUAUAGAGACGUGAAUAACCCAAUAAUUAUCUGGAAUUUAUAUAUUUUUAGUGUUUUAUAUACCUGCGGAACUAUUUAUUUGCAGCAAAUAAAAAAAACAAUUAUACGCAAAUGAGUUGUUUAUAGUUGUAGCUAAAAACUGAAAUAGUUAGGGGGUGUGAAUGGUAAAAACUUAUUAUAAUGAUUAAUUAAGCUACAACUAUAAACAACUCAUUUUGCGUAUAAUUGUUUUUUAUUUGUUGCAACUGUAAAAAUAGUAGUAUUUAAGAAGAAAUAUAGGGAAUAUAUAAGAGAGAAAGGAAAAGUUAUUAUAAAAGGAAAUAAACCCAAAUUAUUACUUUGUAUUUCAUUUGUAUGUUCCUUAUUUUUAUCAGAUUUCAAAUUAAUGUAUAAUUGUGAUUUUUUUCUUAACAGGUUUUUUCCUAUUAAUUUUUAAAGGGGGAGAAUUUUCUUUAUAUAUCUAUUUUUUUAGACUUUCUGAAAAAAGAUGUCUCUCAAAAAAUAUGAACGGUAAAAUCAAAAUGGGACCAAAAUCUCUCAUUAUAAAAAAAAAACUUACUGAUAAAUUGUGGGUUUAGAUUCUUUUAUAGGUUUUGAUAUUUGCAUAAAAAUGAUUAAGUAAAAAGAGAUUUACAAGCUUUUAGGAUUAACAUAAAUCCAAAUGUUUGAAUCUAAUUUUGUUUUUGUUAAAGGUGAAUAGAAUUUUCAAAAAGAAGAAUUUCUUUAUUGAAGGAAACCCAAAUAUUUCAAAACUUGAUUAGAUGAAACCAAUUCUUCCAUAAUUUAAUGACUAUGAUAAACAACAACCAAACACUUUUCAAAAAUCUACACCAGUUUAAGAACUUAAGGAUACUACGGUUGAUUAGACGCAAGAUUAAGAGCAAAUCACAUCAAUCUUAUAAUAUAUUGCUCGAAUUUAAAUAUUGUAUACCAUUGUACAUUAAGGGAAAAACAUUAUUACAUAAAAAACAAAUUAAGUAAGAGAUAGGUUUUUUUUAUUUAAAGAGCAAAUUAUGAAAAAUAUAGAUCAACUUUAGAACUUGCAAAGAAAGUGAACUCAAGGGACAAAGUCUCAUCUUGUUACCAUCAUCAUUGUCCAUUUCAUUUUUUUCAGUUUCAUUCGUUCCAAUCUGCCAUAUCCAGUUAUAUACAUUAUUAUAUGUGAAUGAAAUAAUACGUAUCAAAUCUUCAAUAAAAUUUGUUAAUACUUAGUUAUUAUUAAUCAUGUUUGAUGAUUAUAGCGUAAGAAUUUUGAAAAGAGAAAAAACAUAAAAUUUUAAACAGAGAGAAAACUUACUCUUGAAGAUUGAAACAGAGACUUGCAAGAUAUUUCAAUGGCUCUCUUACUUUGAUUCUCCCAUUUCCAUUAUUUUUUUCUGCUUUUUUUCUUCUUCCCUACAAUAUUGAUUAAAAAAGGUACAUUCAAAUUUAAAACAAAAUAUAUAUAUAUAUAUAUAUAUAUAUAUUAAGUUUUUAAUUAAUAAUAAUUAAGUAUUAUACAAACAUUUUCGCAUAGAGUUGACAAUUUCUACAAGACGUUCAUAUUGACGAAGGUGUUGUUGAUUUUGCCUCAAAAUCAUUUCUCUUGUCAGUCUUUCCCUUCGAAUUGCUUGUACCUCUUCUACUAUAGGACAUGUAAGUGUAUAGAUUUUUAUUUUCUAUAUAAUAUUUACAUAUAAAUGCUUUUUUAAGAAAACUUCAACAUAUUUGGUCUGAGCAUAUAUUUUUUAUUUUUGUUUUAUUUCUGAAAAUAUUUUUUUAUACAUACACUUAUAGAAAAUACAAUUUCUUUAUAAAUAUAAUAAUAAAAAAUAAAUAAAUGUAUAUAAUACUUAUUCACCUUUUUUAUACUCAUCAAGCAUGGUGGUACUAUACAUCUGAUGAAGGCAAAAACAUAAAAUUGGUUCAUAUUAAGCCCAACAUAAUAUGAAAAAAUUGACAAAAUAUAUAUACGCAUAUAUUGGGAAAAAUGAAGAAAUUAAAUCAUGUAUAUAUAAGUUACGACCUGGAGAUGGAUCUUUACAUGUGAUAUAGUGAGUCCUUCAAUAUUCAUUAUCUCCAAAAUUCUCUUAGGAGUUGCUUGUGCAUUUACAAUGAUUAAUACAAGUUGAAUUUAUAUUAAAAGAAAAUAAUGUUUAGCCCACAACUCUAGAUUUAGGAUUGUUAUAUAGUUUUUAUAUAUGUUAGGAUCUUAAUUUAUAAUUCCGAUCCCCGAAUUUGACAAAUAUGAAUAUAUCACAAAAAACAAAAAACAGAAAAGAUCAAGAGAAUUAUAUAAUUGAAAAUUGAAAAGGAUAUGUAUCCAAUGAUAAAUUGAAAACAAUAGUUGAUGAUUCCGGUAGCAAUCUAUUUUAUGAUUUUUCUUAUUUUAUUUUAAAAAAUCAUACAAAACUAGAAAAAAUAUUAACUUACGAUGUAUUCCGUCAAGUUGUACACCGCAUAAAUAAAGCGAUUGUGAUGAUAGGCACUCAAUUGCAUCCGAUCCAUUUUUUGACCAAUUAUAAGGUCUAAAAAUCGUGACUUUUAUCAGAAAAAUUCUCGAACUUUACAGUUUUUGGUUUUUAGUUAUUAGAAACUCUUAUCAUGAGUGGUCAAUUUAUAAUAGUUGUAGAAAAAAUUUAUAAGGUUAAAAAUAAACUAAUAAUUUUCAUAAAUGUAAAGGGUAGAAAAACAUAAAUGUACUACUAAACUUGUCAUAGUGCAUAUCUUUUUACUUUCGUUUUUUUUUAUUGGUUUUCUAAAUUACUUUGUUUAUUAUUUCCAUUAUUUAGAAAAAAAUAUUUUAAAACUAUUAAUAUAUUAUUUAAAAACUUAUAUUUAUAUAUAUAAGCAUUAUUGAAAUCUUCAAUUAUAUAUGCUAAGUUAAGUAUUUCCAUUAUUUAGAAAAAAUGCCUUACAACUAUGAGUUGGAUCAUCAAGAAAAUAAAAUAUAUGUAAGUAUUAUUCAAAUCAUCUUGGAUAUAUUUUGAAAAUGAUCACUGGCAUUAUUUUAAAAAAAUUUUAAUAAAAAAAAUCUUAAUAUAAAACCUAAAAACUUAACCCAUAAAAGCUAAGAAAUUAUGUUUCCAACCCCAAAAAUGAUUUGUUUUUUUUGUCGGUCUAUCCUUCUUUUUGUCUUUUUGUUUUUCCUCACUUGAGGGGUUCCCAGCCUUUAUGCGUGUUGUGAUCCUUGGGCGGGUAAGAUGCUGUGUUCUUCCCUCGCAACUAUGCUGUCUUUCUCCGGUUCCCUUUUUCACCUCCGGGUUACAGAUCCGAUUUAGUUGAUGUCGCGAUUUAUCUUGCUGGUCGUACCAUCCUUCCUUGGUAUAUCUCGUGCGUAUUUCUCGGUUUGCCUCCAGAGUCUUUCCAUCCUCCACCUGGUUGGGAACUCGAUCAAUCGUAGAUGUUUGCACACUGUGGCCUCCAUCUCGUCCACCCAAGGUUGACCUAACAGCGCUAUGUACCGAGCUGUCGUGCUGACUACUGUUAUGGCCAUUACCCAGGUGUUAUUAAGCGCAGUGACUAUGAGUGCUGCCUCUCCUAUCGCUCGAGUCACCCUCCCAUUAUAUUCUAUGAACAAUAUCUUCGCUGGUUUGAGGGAGCUUCGAAAUCCCACGAACUCUUUGAAGAUGGCUGCAAGAUGAGAUUAACAGGGCAGGUCUAGUCCACCAGAAUCUGCCUCAUCUGUUUGCCUCCUAUCUCCAACAUCACAUUCAGAGCGGGGUAUUGAGUGAUAAUUCUCGACACUUUUUCUGCUGCGUUGAAAAACUCUGGCAGGCGAGCCAGUCACCUUCGAAUUCCAAGCAUUCUACCAUGACUGUCUUCCUCAGCUUCAUUCGUGUGUCUUUCGACCUGUCCGACCUUGUUGAAGCUCCCUAUUACACGGUCUUGUGUGUUCAACAUUUGCUUCACUUUUCUAGACAGCAGAAGUCGUAUGGAAAGGUGGCGAACCAGAGCCAGCAUCUCCUCCGUAAAGGCCAAACAGCUCUCAGUCUGAUGCCCCCUGGAUCAGUGGUACUUGCACAAUAGUUUUCUGUAUUUUCGUUCCUCUGAGGCGGGCUCAUCUUCUCCAUCUGGAUCCCGUAUGGCGUGAGAAUUUUUUACCCGUACUUCUUCCUCUAAUCGCCUCUGGUCGCACCAUCCGGGGAUUGCAUAGAACAUGCUACAAGGGGGUUUACCUCUGCCUCCUCUCCUUGGUCUCCGGUUAUCUCCCAGUCGUUGUCGCUUGCGCCUCCCUUGGCGUUCUCCCUUUGGUCAGGAUCCAUUGAGCCGAUGGGUAUGUAAGGUUUAUUCUCUCUAAACUCGAUCAUGCCCACCUAGCACUUGCAAUUUUUCGCUCUGGCUUUUACGGUAUUUGGUUUGCUGCCAAUCACUGUCUGGGUCUCUCCCAUUUGCAUUCAUAGGUUGUUGCCCCCAGAUCUGUGUUCUUGGUGGUUUUCUGACUCGAGUAGGAAAAUUUUGCUCAGAGAGUGUUGUCCAUCUAGCGCAGAACUGUUUAGGGGAUUUUUUAGUCAUCUGCGCAGGCAAGUCUCCUGCAAAACUAGCAAACGCCUGAAGGCCUGGAAAACACGAUGGAGGGGUGUUUUUUGAUGGCUCUCCUACACUCAAGUCAGAAAACAGGGAAAGAAAGACCACGAAGUGGCAAAUUGGAGAGAGGAAAGAGAUCAGAAAACGGAGGAAGGAAGUUUUGCCGAGAGCUCGUGAGAAAAAUGGAAUCUGCUCGGACCUUUGUGUGGUAAUGGGCUUUUUGAGGUGAAAAAAAAGGAAGUGUAAGAGUUUUGGGGUGGCAGUGCUCCACGGUUUAGGAACCGCCGUAAAGAGGAAGUAAAGAGAUGGUCGUAAUAAUGAGCAGAAAUGUAAAUUGCUAUGGCUUAAGGAUCACAAGUAUCUAGAGAGUUAGCAUGAGCCUUAAGUUAGCGAAAAGAGUGAACCCCCUUCUCGUUGAAAAAGACAAGGUAUUUAUAGAGUUUUACCUAAUCCGGAUUAAUAUACCGAAACGGUCCUUGGGUCACUGGCUUGGCGGAUCGGUUCGUGAUCCGACUUGGUUGGAUCUGAAUCUUAUGCUUGCAUCAUGCCUCUGAUGAUCUCACCAACUUUCAUUGAUACGUUAAAAAAAUUUGGUGAGAGCGUUAGAGGCAUGACGUGAGCAUAAGACUCGGAUCCAACCAAGACAGAUUACGAACUGACCCACCCGACUCACGGCCUAAGGACUAACCCAGUAUAUGAACCUGCGUCAGGUAAAAUUUUAUAAAUACUCUAUUCUUUCUAAGGAGGAAGGAGUUCACUUUUUUUGCUACCUUAAGGCUCAUACUAUCUCUCUAGAUAUUUGUGAUCCUUAAGCUGCAGCACUUUAUAUUUUAUGGUCAUUACUCCGACCAUCUCUUCACUUUCUCUUUACGGUGGUUCCUAAUUCCUAAACCGUGGAGCAAUCCCACCCAGAAAAUCUUAUACUUCUUCUCUUUUCAUCUCACAAAGCCCAUCACCACUUAAAGGUCCGAGUCGAUUCCACCUUUCUCAGAAACGCCCAUCUCCUAUUCUUGUUUUCCGAUCUCUUUUCUCUCUCUGAUUACCCACUUAGUAUUUUUUUUUAAUGUUUUCUUACUUGAGCGUCAGAGAGCUAUUGGAAACACACCCCAUCGUGUUUUUGGGCCCAUGCGCUUUCUAGUUUGGCUGGAGACUUUCCCCUGCAAAGGAUAAAAAAUCCCAUAUAUAGUGUCAAGACAAUCUAAAAUUCAAAACUGUGUAGCACAUCAAUGACCAAGUUAAAUUAUGUACUUUUUAUAAAUUUAAAACAAUGAUGGGUAGAAAAAAGAUUCUAUGAAAUUUAGUGAUUAAGAAUAAUAAAAAUAAACAAGAACUUUUACUAUAGAGACAUGAAUAACCCAACAAUGAUCUGGAAUUUAUACAUUUUUAGUGUUUUAUAUACUUGCGGAACUAUUUAUUUGCAGCAAAUAAAAAAAACAAUUAUACGCAAAAUGAGUUGUUUAUAGUUGUAGCUAAAAACUGAAAUAGUUAGGGGGUGUGAAUGGUAAAAACUUAUUAUAAGGAUUAUUUAAGCUACAACUAUAAAGAACUCAUUUUGCCUAUAAUUGUUUUUUUAUUGCUUGAACUAUAAAAAUAGUAUUAAGAAGAAAUAUAAGGAAAAUAUAAGAGGGAAAGGAAAAUUUAUUAUAAAAGGAAAUAAACCCAAAUUAUUACUUUGUAUUUCAUUUGUAUGUUCCUUAUUUUUAUCAGAUUUCAAAUUAAUGUAUAGUUGUGAUUUUUUUUCUUAACAGGUUUUUUUUCUAUUAUUUUUUAAAGGGGGAGAAAUUUGUUAAUAUAUAUUUUUUAGACUUUCUGAAAAAGAUGUCUCUCAAAAAAUAUGAACGGUAAAAUAAAUAUGGGACCAAAAUUCUCUCAUUAUAAUAGAAAAACUUACCGUUAAUUUGGGGUUUAGAUUCUUUUAUAAGUUUUGAUAUUUGCAUUAAAAUGAUUAAGCAAAAAGAGAUAUACAAGCUUUUAGGAUUAACAUAAAUUCAAAUGUUUGAAUAGAAUUUUGUUUUUGUUAAAGGUGAAUAGAAUUUUCAAAAAGAAGAAUUUCUUUAUUAUAGGAAACCCAAAUAUUUCAAAACACGAUUUGCUGAAACCAAUUCUUCCAUGAUUUAAUGACUUUAUGAUCAAGAACAACCAAACACUUUUUAAAAUCUACACCAGUAUAAGAACUUACGGAUAUUACGGUUGAUUAGACGCAAGAUUAAGAGCAUAUCACAUCAAUCUUAUAAUAGACUACUCGAAUUUAAAUAUUGUAUACUAUUGUACAUUAAGGGAAAAGCAUUAUUACAUAAAAAGCAAAUCAAGUAAGAGAUAGGUUUUUUUUUAUUUAAAGAGCAAAUUAUGAAAAAGUUAGAUCAACUUUAGAACUUGCGACCAAGAGUGAGCUCAAGGGAUAAAGUCUCAUCAUUGUUACCAUCAUCAUUUUCCACUUCAUUGUUUUCAGUUUCAUUCGAUCUAAUCUGCCAUAUCCAGUUAUAUACAUUAUUAUAUGUGAAUGAAAUGAUACGUAUCAAAUCUUCAAUAAAAUUUGUGCAAACUUGGUCAUUGAUAAUCAUGUUUGAUGAUUAUAGCAUAAGAAUUUUAAAAAGAGAAAAAACUUAAAAAAUUUAAACAGAGAGAAAACUUACUGUUGAAGAUUGACACAGAAACUUGCAAGAUAUUUCAAAAACUCUCUUACUUGAUUCUCCCAUUUCCAUUAUUUUGUCCUGCUUUCUUUCUUCUUCCCUACAAUAUUGAUUAAAAAAGAUACAUUCAAAUUUAAAACAAAAAAACCUAUAUAUAUAUAUAUAUUAAAUUUUUAAUUUAAUAAUAGUAUUAUACGAACAUUUUUUGCAUAGGGUUGACAAUGUCUUCAAGACGUUCAUAUUGACGAAGGUGUUGUUGAGUUUGCCUCAAAAUCAUUUCUCUUGUCAGUCUUUCCCUUCGAAUUGCUUGUACCUCUUCUACCAUAGGACAUGUGAGUGUAUAGAUUUUUAUUUUCUAUAUAAUAUUUACAUAUAAAUUUUUUUUUAAGAAAAUUUCAUCAUAUUUGGUCUGAGCAUAUAUUUUUAUUUUAUUUUAUUUUAUUUCUGAAAAUAUUUUGUUUUAUACAGACACGUAUAGAAAAUAGAAUUUCUUUAUAAAUAUAAUAAUAAAGUAAAUAGAAAUGUAUAUAAUACUUAUUCACCUUUUUUAUACUCAUCAAGCUUGGUGGUCCUAUACAUCUGAUGAAGGCCAAAACACAAAACUGGUUCAUAUUAAGCCCAACAUAAUAUGACAAAAUUGACAAAAUAUAAUACGCAUAUAUUGGGAAAAAUGAAGAAAUUAAAUAAUGUAUAUAUAUAUGUUACGACCUGGAGAUGGCUCUUUACAUGUGAUAUAGUGAGUCUUUCAAUAUUCAUUAUCUCCAAAAUUCUCUUAGGAGUUGCUUCUGCAUUUAUGAUGUUUAAUACAAGUUAAAUUUAUAUUAAACGAAAAUAAUGUUUAGCCCAUAACUCUAGAUCUAGGAUUGUUGUGUAGUUUUAAUAUAUGUUGGCAUCCUAAUUUAUAAUUCCGAUCCCUGAAUUUGACAAAUAUGAAUAUAUCACACAAAACAAAAAAUAGAAAAGAUAAAGAGAAUCUUAUAAUCGAAAAAUUGAAAAGGAUAUCUAUCCGAUAAACUGAAAACAAUAGUUGAUGAUACCGGAAGCAAUCUAUUUUAUGAUUUUCCUUAUUUUGUUUUAGAAAAUCACACAAAACAAGAAAAAAUAUUAACUUACGAUGUAUUCCGCCUAGUUGUAGAACCGCAUAAAUAAAGCGAUCGUGAUGAUAGACACUCCAUUGCAUCCGAUCCAUUUCACGUAUUAUAAGGUCUAACAAUCGUGACUUUUAUCAGAAAAAUUCUCAAACUUUACAGUUUUUGGUUUUUAGUUAUAAAAAACUCCGAUCAUGAAUGGUCAAUUUAUAGUAGUUGUAGACAAAAUUUAUGAUAUUAAAAAAUUAAAUAAUAAUUUUCAUAAAUGUAAAGGGUAGAAAAACAUUAAAUGUGCUUCUAAACUUGUCAUAGUGCAUAUAUUUUUACUUCCCUUUUUUUUUUUGGUUUUCUUAAUUAGUUUGUUUCUUAUUUUCAUUAUUUAGAAAAAAAUCUUAUACAACUAUGAAUGAAUUAUUAAAAUGUUAUAUAUAUAUAUAUAUAUAAGCACUAUUCAAAUCUUCAAUUAUAUAUGCUAAGUUAUGUAUUUCCAUUAUUUAGAAAAAGUGCCUUACAACUAUGAGUUGGAUCAUCAAUAAAAUAAAAUAUAUGUAAAUAUUAUUCAAAUCAUCUUAGAUAUACUUUGAAAAGGAUCACUGGCAUUAUUUUAAAAAAUUUUAAUAAAAAAAAUCUUAAUAUAAACCCUUAAAACUAAACCCAUAAAAGCUAAGAAAUCAUUUUUCCAAUCCCAAAAGUGAUUUUUUUUUUGUCGGUCUAUCCUUCUUUUUGUCUUUUUGUUUUUCCUCACUUGAGGGGUUCCCAGCCUUUAUGCGUGUUGUGAUCCUUGGGCGGGUAAGAUGCUGUGUUCUUCCCUCGCAACUAUGCUGUCUUUCUCCGGUUCCCUUUUUCACCUCCGGGUUACAGAUCCGAUUUAGUUGAUGUCGCGAUUUAUCUUGCUGGUCGUACCAUCCUUCCUUGGUAUAUCUCGUGCGUAUUUCUCGGUUUGCCUCCAGAGUCUUUCCAUCCUCCACCUGGUUGGGAACUCGAUCAAUCGUAGAUGUUUGCACACUGUGGCCUCCAUCUCGUCCACCCAAGGUUGACCUAACAGCGCUAUGUACCGAGCUGUCGUGCUGACUACUGUUAUGGCCAUUACCCAGGUGUUAUUAAGCGCAGUGACUAUGAGUGCUGCCUCUCCUAUCGCUCGAGUCACCCUCCCAUUAUAUUCUAUGAACAAUAUCUUCGCUGGUUUGAGGGAGCUUCGAAAUCCCACGAACUCUUUGAAGAUGGCUGCAAGAUGAGAUUAACAGGGCAGGUCUAGUCCACCAGAAUCUGCCUCAUCUGUUUGCCUCCUAUCUCCAACAUCACAUUCAGAGCGGGGUAUUGAGUGAUAAUUCUCGACACUUUUUCUGCUGCGUUGAAAAACUCUGGCAGGCGAGCCAGUCACCUUCGAAUUCCAAGCAUUCUACCAUGACUGUCUUCCUCAGCUUCAUUCGUGUGUCUUUCGACCUGUCCGACCUUGUUGAAGCUCCCUAUUACACGGUCUUGUGUGUUCAACAUUUGCUUCACUUUUCUAGACAGCAGAAGUCGUAUGGAAAGGUGGCGAACCAGAGCCAGCAUCUCCUCCGUAAAGGCCAAACAGCUCUCAGUCUGAUACCCUCUGGAUCAGUGGUACUUGCACCAUAGUUUUCUGUAUUUCCGUUCCUCUGAGGCAGGCUCAUCUUCUCCAUCUGGAUCCCGUAUGGCAUGAGAAAUUGUUACCCACACUUCUUCCUCCAAUCACCUCUGGUCACACCAUCCAGGGAUGGCAGUGGAACAUGCUACAAGGGGGUUUACCUCUGCCUCCUCUCCUUGGUCUCCGGUUAUCUCCCAGUCAUUGUCGCUUGCGCCCCCCUUGGCGUUCUCCCUUUGGUCAGGAUCCUUUGAGCCGAUGGGUAUGUAAGGUUUAUUCUCUCUAAACUCGAUCAUGCCCACCUAGCACUUGCAAUUUUUCGCUCUGGCUUUUACGGUAUUUGGUUUUCUGCCAAUCACUGUCUGGGUCUCUCCCAUUUUCAUUCAUAGGUUGUUGCCCCCAGAUCUGUGUUCUUGGUGGUUUUCUGACUCGAGUAGGAAAAUUUUGCUCAGAGAGUGUUGUCCAUCUAGCGCAGAACUGUUUAGGGGAUUUUUUAGUCAUCUGCGCAGGCAAGUCUCCUGCAAAACUAGCAAACGCCUGAAGGCCUGGAAAACACGAUGGAGGGGUGUUUUUUGAUGGCUCUCCUACACCCAAGUCAGAAAACAGGGAAAGAAAGACCACGAAGUGGCAAAUUGGAGAGAGGAAAGAGAUCAGAAAAUGGAGGAAGGAAGUUUUGCCGAGAGCUCGUGAGAAAAAUGGAAUCUGCUCGGACCUCUGUGUGGUAAUGGGCUUUUUGAGGUGAAAAAAAGGAAGUGUAAGAGUUUUGGGGUGACAGUGCUCCACGGUUGAUGUGCUCGUGUCAACUACGUGAGGGAACAAGUUUUACCCUUAACAAAACAAAUGAAAGCCGCAAGUGCACAGCUAAUCAGUUGUAGUAUUUAGGGAUCGAAUCCACAGAGAUUUGUGUGCCUGGUAUUCUUCUACGGUUUUUAACUUUAUGUCUAGACUAAAUUGGUUUUACAGGUUAGUUGUUUUUUUCUUGCGAAUUAAACUAAAACAAAAGAAAGCAAAUAAAUCUAUCCUAAAUAGCAGGUAAGAAAAUCGAAUGGAAUGCAAUUAGAAUAGGCAAAUAUCGAAUGAAAGACUAAUAAGGCAAGUAAGAUAUCGCAUAAAAAGUAAAUAAAGCAAGUAAAUAAUGAACUAAGGAAAUUGAAAUGCAGGUCUAAGAAAGCAAGUAAAAAUCGAUGGAAUUGUAAACUAUGGCUAAAAACGCUGAGCUUUUGGGAACUCUAAGGGAUCAUAAUCGGUUUUAACACUAAGGUAGAUAGAUUGGGAUUGACAGAUAACGAUAUAUGGGUUCUAGAGCUAGAGUACGGCGGUAUGACUACGUCACUGUCGUGAUCAUAACCAACUGUUUCUCGCAACCCUGACCAGUAGGUUUCCACUCUGGCCCUGGAAGGGAGAGAACGCAAGAGCUGCACAAGACUCGUCAAUACUCACGAUCUCGCCGCAGGUAGGUUUCCACUCCUAUGGAAAAAUCGCCUGUUUCAUUCUAGGGCUGAUACUUAAUAAAAACUUUCGCAACACUAACUAUCUAGAUCAGAUACUAGGUGAUCAAUCAAGCAUACAUGCAAUAAGAACAAGAAUAAACAGAGAACAGGUCGAAAUCCCAGAUCUAUAAACCUAGAUGUCUUAAUCGAUUAUGAGAGCCCCUUUCGGUAAACCCUAAGCCCAACUCGGGAUCUACUCAGACAUGGCUGAGUUCGACAUCAUCAUUGGUUUUAAUAAAAGUAAUGAAAAACAGUAAAGAAAAGAGAUAAAGAAAGCUUCUCUAUUGAAGAACUCGGACUUGAACAAUAUUCUACAAAAAUCUCAUAAAAACGGCUAAAGGAAAAGGGUUUCUGUAAAGUAUGAAGGGUUCUCCUUAAAAACGACCUAAAUGACAUGUAUUUAUAGUCUCCAAUACCCCAUGGUCUCUAGGGUUCCAGAAUUGAGGCUGAGAAUGACUUUGGGCUUCAGAUAAGUGGGCUUUAACUCAGAGAUUGAUUGCCGCGGUCGGGAGUGCUGUGACCGCGCCAAUUGGCUUGUUGGCCGCGGUCGGGAAGCUUUUGACUGCGGCAAAUAGCUUGUUGGCCGCGGUCGGGUGAGUUGCUGACCGACUUCGAAUGGCUCCGAGGCUAAUGAAAUAUCUUGAGAUCCAACCGUUGGAAUGUCUCCAAACCAAGUGCAUUUGAAAGCUGGUUGAUUCUUCUAUAAGUUGUCCAAUUUUGAGGGUGAUCAGACGGUGAGAAGGUCUUCGUCUCUCCAUGAGAAUUCUGACGGUCUGCAUUUAUCCAAAAGAGUAUUUUUGUUCCAUUUUGUGCCUCUUUAUCCCAAAUUACCUGAAAAGUCUUUUAAAAUCCGGAAACAUAGAAAUCCUUUGAAAACCUUUGAAAAUGGAGUAAAAACACCUGUAAAAGAUAUUAAAAUGAUCCAUAAAAAUGGUCAAAAUCCGGUGUUAUCAACGGUUUAGGAACCGCCGUAAAGAGGAAGUAAAGAGAUGGUCGUAAUAAUUGUCAACUCGCUACNNNNNNNNNNNNNNNNNNNNNNNNNNNNNNNNNNNNNNNNNNNNNNNNNNNNNNNNNNNNNNNNNNNNNNNNNNNNNNNNNNNNNNNNNNNNNNNNNNNNUCUAGCGAUCAGGCUCUAGCCUUAAGUUAGCGAAAAGAGUGAACCCCCUUCUCGUUGAAAAGACAAGGUAUUUAUAGAGUUUUACCUAAUCCGGAUUAAUAUACCGAAACGGUCCUUGGGUCACAGGCUUGGCGGAUCGGUUCGUGAUCCGACUUGGUUGGAUCUGAAUCUUAUGCUUGCAUCAUGCCUCUGAUGAUCUCACCAACUUUCAUUGAUACGUUAAAAAAAGUUGGUGAGAGCAUCAGAGGCAUGACGUGAGCAUAAGACUCGGAUCCAACCAAGACAGAUUACGAACUGACCCACCCGACUCACGGCCUAAGGACUAACCCAGUAUAUGAACCCGCGUCAGGGUAAAAUUUUAUAAAUACUCUAUUAUUUCUAACGAGGAAGGAGUUCACUUUUUUUGCUACCUUAAGGCUCAUACUAUCUCUCUAGAUAUUUGUGAUCCUUAAGCUGCAGCACUUUAUAUUUUAUGGUCAUUCCUCUGACCAACUCUUCACUUUCUCUCUACGGUGGUUCCUAGUUCCUAAACCGUGGAGCAAUGCCACCCAGAAAAUCUUAUAGUUAGAUCUAACUUCCAGUCAACUAGCUCUCUACAUUCAUUAAGUAUAGUAGUGAAUUCUCAUCAAAUACAUUAUUCAGGGUAGACGGUGUUUGGCAUUAAAGUUAUUUAAGUGGUGGAGCUUAGAUGUUUAGGGUUACGUGAAGAUCUGGAGGAUGCUAGAUAUUAUGCAAAACCGCAAGAGAGAGAAGGACCUGUUGGUGAUCGCAGAUUUUCAGUCACUUCUCCUUUGCCAAUUGUUGUUGCAUAAUUUUCCUCCUUUUGUUGUAAACAGCCAUUUCCCCAGACUUAGAUCUUUUCAGGGAAUCAAAAAGAUAAUCUCCAAAACUCCAUGUAAUCGGACUCUAGCUUGCCUCAAGUAUAAAAUAUGAUCCUCCUAGACUUUCUAAGGUUUAAAUUUCCUUUCCCUUCUUAUUUUUCUUUUCUUUUCUUCUCUUUUUUUUUUUAGGGGAAAUAACCUUUUAUAGAGAGAGAGUCUAAAUGACGAAAUUGUACCAAGAGUUUGAAGUUUUUCCAAGGCAAACUGAGUUUUCUCCUUUUGUUGAAUCAUUCCAAUGAAAUCGCAGGUCUCCGUCUUCAGUGACUGAAAUCCGCAUAUAUAACAAUGAAAAACAAGAAUGCAUGUGGUUUGAAAGAGGUUAGGUUCAGUGGGGAACUAGCUAAAGAUAAACUAACCAUUCAGGAUCAACAAAGAGUAGUAAAAUGGUAAAGGAGUCCUGAAUGUAUGAUUCGUUUCCCUGAUCUAAUGCUUUAAUGAGAAAAUUAAGUCAAAAUUAAGUCUAGAUAAAAUGAGCUAGUAUAUCUUGUCAGAAAGAAUCUCCAUGAAUAGAAGUCCUCUGGUGGGAUUUCGUAAUUCAAGUGUUCUAGCUACCGCCUAGUCUAGGCCUAAAUCACAAAAAGAGCAAAAAACGAUGAAAUAGCGUAGAAGCACACUGGUCUAAUUCAUCAUAGUAAUGUUUAUUGUGUUCCUGGUUUGAAAACUUUUUGAAACGAUUUUUGAAAACGAUUUUUGAAAAAUUUUAUGAAAAACAUUUUGGAAAACUUUUUGAAAAAAAUUUAUGUAUCCAAAACAAACUCAAAACAAUUCAAAUUUCAUUAGUAACGGAUGAACAUCCUCCCCCAGACUUAUUUCACACUAUCCUCAGUGUGAUAAAUCUGGAAAGAAUGGUAAAGAAAAUAGAAAAGUUGAAAUGUUUAAGUGAACUUAUCGUGUUGGAGAGUGCUGCUUGUCUUUUUUAUUUGUUCUUCCUUAUUGAAAUUCUGAAAUUAAAUGAAACAGAAACAAAGCAAUGGAAAUAGAAAAUGAAGGUCAAAGGGAUAUAGAUAAAAUACCAAGUGGGUUGCCUCCCACUAAGCGCUUGUUUCAAGUCGUUAGCUUGACAUUGUUGCUCGAUUAGACUUAACCGGGGUCGUGACAACCUUUGGUCUCAUCAUUGGCCGAUGAUGGAUCAAUCAAAAACAUCACUUCUCUCUCGUCUUCUCUUUCUUCAGCCAGAUAUGGCUUUACACGCUGUCCAUUCACUGUAAAUGAGUUUCCGGUUCUGUCCCACGGGACUAUUGUUCUGUAUGGCUUGACUUCCUUUAUCUUGAAGGGUCCGGACCAUCUUGAACGUAAUUUUCCUGGAAAAAGCUUAAGACGACAAUUGAAAAGAAGAGAUUUUUCGUUAGGAGCAAAAGUUCUAUGAAUAAUCUUCUUAUCAUGAUAUGCUUUAGUCUUCUCCUUGUAGAUCUUCGAGUUUUCGUAAGCAUUGUGUCGGAUUUCUUCUAACUCGUGAAGUUGAAGUAGUCUUCUUUCUCCAGCUGUUUUCAGGUUCAUGUUCAUCUCCUUGAUAGCCCAUUGCGCUUUAUACUCAAGUUCUACUGGAAGGUGACAUGCUUUUCCAUAAACUAGGUUGAAUGGUGUUGUUCCUAAUGGUGUCUUGAAUACUGUUCGAUAUGCCCAUAAUGCAUCGUCAAGCUUUGUAGACCAAUCCUUGCGAUGAAUUGCAGUUGAUUUCUGAAAAUUGACUUGAUUUCUCUGUUUGAGAUCUCUACUUGACCGCUGGUUUGGGGAUGGUAUGGGGAAGCAACUUUAUGUGUGACUCCAUUCUUUCUAAGAAGAUUUUCGAAGACUCUGUUGAUAAAAUGCGAUCCUCCGUCGCUUAUCACAAUUCUAGGAACUCCAAAACGCGGGAAUAUUACAGAUUUAAACAGCUUUAUGACAACUUUUGCAUCAUUGGUGGGACUAGCGACUGCUUCUACCCACUUAGAGACGUAGUUUACUGCUACUAAGAUGUAUUGGUUGCCAAAAGAAGUCGGAAAGGGUCCCAUAAAAUCUAUUCCCCAGACAUCAAAAAUUUCGACUUCGAGAAUAAAAUUUUGAGGCAUCUCAUUCCUUUUACUUAUGUUGCCCAUCCGUUGGCAUUUAUCGCAUCGCGAUAUAUAAGCUUGAGUAUCUUUGAACAAAGUAGGCCACCAGAAACCAGCUUGUAAGAUCUUUGAAGCGGUUUUGAAUUGCAAAAUGUCCUGCAUAAGACGAGCUAUGGCAUCCGAAUAAAAUUCCUUCCAUCUCUUCUUCAGCCACGCAUCUUCGGAAUAACCCAUCAGCACAUCUCUUAUAGAGAUAGCGUUCAUCCCUAAAAUAAUGUCUUACGUCUUUUAGAAACUUUUUCUUCCUAUAACCGAAAAAUUGCGGGGGCUCUACAUCAGCUGCUAAGUAAUUUGCUAUGUGCCUAAACCAUGGGGUGUUGAAAGCAUCUGCUCGUCGCAUGAGUUGGCGUGGUGGUGCGGUAUUGGCAUUGGUGGGGGUAGUAUCUAUUGCAUAGAUGUUUUCUUCUGGCAAACUAUCAUUUAAAGGCAAUCUUUCUUCAACUCGAAUUCGUGAAAGAUGGUCUGCAACUCCAUUAUCUGCGCCUAUUCGAUCUCGAAUUUCGAUAUCGAAUUCUUACAGUAGGAGGAUCCAUCUUAUCAACCGAGGUUUAGCGUCUUUCUUAGACAUUAAAUACUUGAUUGCAGCAUGAUCAGUAUGAACUAUGACCUUAGAUCCUACGAGAUAAGAACGAAAUUUCGCAAAUGCAAAUACGACAGCUAGAAGUUCUUUCUCUAUUGUAGCAUAAUUGCAUUGAGCUUCGUCUAGAGUUCUGCUUGCGUAGUAGAUUACAUGAAGUUUCUUAUCUUUUUGUUGGCCAAGCACUGCUCUGACUGCAUAGUCACUUGCAUCGCACAUGAUUUCGAAUGGGAGUUCCCAAUCAGGUGCUUGCACGACUGGAGCGGAGACAAGGGCUUCUUUGAUCUUAUGGAACACGGCUAAGCACUCAUCAUCGAACUCAAAGUUCGUUUCCUUGCAAAGCAAACGCGUAAGAGGUCUAGCUAUUUGAGAAAAAUCUUUUAUGAAUCACCUAUAGAAUCCUUCGUGUCCUAAGAAACUACGAAUUCCUUUGACGUUUGUGGGUGGUUGUAGGCUUGUCAUGACUUCGAUUUUAGCUUUGUCAACUUCAAUACCUUUUCUGGAAAUCCUGUGCCCAAGCACGAUUCCGUUGCGUACCAUGAAGUGAUAUUUUUCCCAAUUUAAUACUAAGUGCUUAUCUUCACAUCUUUGCAGAACUUUACCAAGGUUGCCUAAGCAUUUUUCAAAAGAAGAUCCAUAGACAGAGAAAUCGUCCAUGAAUACUUCCAUGAAAUCCUCAAUAAAAUCUGAGAAGAUCGACAUCAUGCAUCGCUGGAAAGUAGCAGGUGCAUUACACAAUCCCAAAGGCAUACGUCGGUAAGCGAACGUGCCAUAUGGACAAGUGAAUGUCGUUUUUUCUUCCGGGGGAAUAGGAAUUUGGAAGAAUCCGGAGUAUCCAUCAAGGAAGCAAUAGUAGGGGUGAUUAGCUAACCUUUCUAGCAUUUGAUCUAUGAAGGGAAGUGGAAAAUGAUCUUUCCUAGUUGCUGCAUUCAGUUUCCGGUGAUCGAUGCACAUACGAUGUCCAGUUACUGUUCUUGUAGCGAUCAUUUCAUCUUUAUCAUUUUUAAUGACAGUGACUCCUCCUUUUUUCGGAACAACAUGAACUGGGCUAACCCAAGUGCUAUCUGAAAUAGGAAAAAUUAUUCCAGCUUCUAAAAGCUUCAUAAUCUCCUUCUUGACAACAUCCAUGAGAUUAGGGUUCAGUCUCCUUUGACUUUCGAUUGAGUUUUAGCAUUAUCCUCUAGAUUUAUCUUGUGCAUACAAAGAUCUGGAGAGAUUCCAGGUAUGUCAUCAAGUGAGUAUCCUAAGGCUUUUCUAUGCUUUCUCAGCUCAGUCAGCAGCAUUGUGGUUUCUUCUUCCGUCAAAUCAGAGUUUAUUUUGACAGGAUAAGUAGAAUUUGGUCCAAGGAAAGUGUACUUAAGUCCGAAGGGAAGAGGUUUAAGAUCGACUUUAGGGGCUUUAAGCUCGCUCCAAGGAUCAUUAAUUGCUGCAGCAGUGUCUUUAGGAGGUGUAGGAAUGUUUGUUUGGUCCUUAAGAUCUAGAUAGUUUAGAGGUUUCCUAUAAGUUUCGGAUUUAUCAAGCAUACGUGCGCAUUCACUUGAAAUUUCUUCAAGGAAAUUGCGUUCAUCUUUUGCGGGUGAAAGCGUGACACUUAAAGGGUCGUCUAGAAGCAGAUCUUCAUAGAAUUCCUCAAUAGUUCCGUGUAACUCAUCAACCCAACAAAUUUUGCCAUCCAGAGUCGGUUUAUCGAAACUUUUGUUCAUGUCAGACUGCAUAACUAGGCCAGCUAGAUGAAGGUUGAUUUUUCCUUCAGGAACAUUGAUUAUGGCUCCAGCUGUAGAUAGGAAUGGUCUUCCAAGAAUAAGGGGAUCCUUAGGUUCUCUUUCUAGUUCUAGAACUACGAAAUCGGUGGGGAUGGAACAUUUUUCAAUUUCUACUGAAAAAUCUAUUAGGAUACCUACGGGUUGUCUAACGGAACGAUCAGCUAGUACUAAAGAAAUUUUAGUGGGCUUGAAAGUGUGGUGUCCUAAACGUUUUGCUACUGAAAGUGGCAUCAUGUUUAUGCUAGAACCUAAAUCACAGAGAGCACGCUCAAAAGCUACAUCAUUGAUGGUGCAUGAAAGUACGAAGCUUCCAGGAUCGUUUUCUUUUCAGGGAUUCGACUUUGCAGGAUAGAACUACAUUCAUGGGUUAUCAUCAUAACGCCUUCUUCAAGAGUUAAAGAAUUUGUUAGAAUACCCUUCAUGUAUUUUCUUAAAGCUGGAAUCAUAGCACAAGCUUCUACGAAAGGUAAUCUCACAUUUAGUUGAUCAAUUAACUCUUUCAGCUUAGAUUUUUCUUUCUCUUUCUUAGGGGCUCUUAAGCCUCUAGGAUAUGGAGGUUUAGGUUUAUAGACACGAGUUGGUGGAGGUGGAAUUGGAUCUUCUCCAAGAAUUUCCCGAGAUGAAUCUUCUCUUACUUCUUCUCCACUCUUUUCUCCUACCACUUCUUUUUCAAUAUCUUCAUUCGUGAUUCUUUCUUUUUCUUUCUCCUUUUCCUUACCCUUUUCCUCAUCUUUGGGAUCUUUAGGAAAUUCAGGCUCUUUGUAAGCUAAUCCACUCCUAAGUGUGAUAGCUUUCACAUGAUCGGAGAGAUCUGCUUCACUUGAGUUCUCGAAAAAAUUUUCACUUGGCUCCUCUUCAGAAUUUUCUAUGUUUCUAGAAUUGGUUUUGAUCAUCAGGCUAAGGAGGGUGGAAAAUUUUUCAUUGAAAUCCCUUUGCAUCGUGUUUAGGUCAGAUCUAAGAUCACUAAUCUCUUGAGACCUAGAUUUUUCAAGCUCUAGAAUCUUUUCGUUUAGGUUUUCAGCUUCAGAAGAGGGAAAACUAGGAUAUGGAACAGGAUUAGAUUGAAUAGCCAAGAUUGGUUCGGAAGAUGGUUUCCAGUCAAGCUCAGAAGACAAUUUCCCGCGGUCAGAAGGCUCCGCGGUGAAACGAGUCUUGGCUGCGGUCAGAACCAGCACGACCGCGGUGAAAGCUUGCUUGGCUGCGGUCCGGAUGAAUGGACCCGCGGUGAUCAGAAACGAAUGGAAAAUCUUGAAUUUGAUAGACUUCUGCAGUGUUAACCAUCCCUUGAUCAUAAGAAUCCAUUGGGUUGUCCCAGCCAUCAAAGUUACACGUAUUGUGUACCUUAUUUGGUUGUUGCAAUCCAAGAUGACUCAUUAUGUGAUGAAGACACUUUAUAACUUCCGAGAUCUCUUCUUUCUUCUCAGGAAUUGCAGAAUUACUAAAAGUUACUUGAUUUCGGAUGCUGUUUGCGAAAUUGUUGAUGAAAGCAUGAGCAUCUUCUACAGAUCUAGUUGAGAAGUCUCCAUUACUUGAUGUGUCGAAAGAGUGUCGUAACUCUAGAGUUAUACCGCGAUAGAAGAUACCCAGCAGGUAUUCCUCGAUAUAUCCAUGGUGUGGACAAUCUCUUUGGUAUUCCCUAAAUCUUUCCCAAGUAUCUAAAAGAUCUUCAUCUUCUUUUUGUUUAUAAGUUCUUAUCUUGCUCCUUAAGAGAUUUGAACGAUUUCUAGUGUCAAAACAAUUUAGGGAAUGAUUUUAGUGAAGCAGGUGGCAAAGAUUUUAGCCAUUUGCUGGCAUUGUCUUUCAAAGAGAAUGGGAAAAGACUACACUUGUGGUAAUCCCCAUUUGCUGUAAUGGUUGCACAUAAUUCUUCGAACGUCUCGAUAUGGUCUAUCGGGUUUUCGAAUGAAUAACCAUAGAAUUUAUUUUGUUGAACUAAAUGGAUAUAAGGUACCUUGAUGUCGGUUUUGCCAUCCUCUGGUAAGGCUGGUUGAAUAGCUCUUCGAUCUCCCAAGAAUUUCUCGAGUGAAUCAAAACUUCCAAUAAGUUCUUCAUCAUCUUCAUGUUUUGCCGAUCCGACUAGCUCAUUGUCAUCAUAGAUCGGUUCUUCAAACUCAUCAUCAGUCAGGUCAUCAUUGCUUGGAUCACCAUCCACACGAUAUGGUGGAUCACCAAGAGUUCCGGGAACAUGUUCCCGGUCUUUCAUCUCAGAGAAACCUGAAAAAUUCAAAAGAAAAAGUAAAAAUAAACAAGUGUUCUAAUGGAUUUAAGCUGGGAUUCGCAACGAAACAAAUCAAAGUCCCCGGCAAUAGCGCCAAAAACUUGAUUGCAAUUUGUAAACGGGGUUUGUUGUUUUCGUUUUACUAAGCUUCAGGUUUUAAAUUUAUAACCCCUAAAUGUCUGCAAGUACACAGAUGUGCGCUGUAGUACUUAGGAUAUCGAUCCACAUAGACUUAGUUGUUUCAGUACGAAUUCACGGUAAUGCUUAAAUCAGACUAUAACUAAAUAGUUUUGGGUUUUGGUUUUGGGUUUUUGGUUGUCACUAAAUCUAAACUAGAAAACUAAACAAGUAAAAACAAUUAAAAACGAAAUCAAGUGCAAGCAACUAAAAAUCGAUUAUGAAUGAAAGCAAGUAACAAGCGAAUGAAAGCAGAAUGGAAAUCGAAGGUUGUAAGCAAUGAAAGACAAACGUUGGGGCUCAAGGGGUUUCGCAGGGGCUCAUGGACUAAGCUAUGUCGAUUUUAACCAAGUGAUAAAGGUAAUCAACUACAUAUGUUCUAGAACUCGAGGCACGGAAGUAUGAAUAGCCUACUUUCGCAGCACUAAACAACUAUCUCUCGCAACCCUGAUCAGUAGGUUUCCACUCUGUUCCUGGAAGGGAGAAGAUGCAAUAGCAGAAUAAGACUCAUCAACAUUCACAGCUCAACUACAGGUAGGUUUCCACUCCUAUAGAAUAAUCGCUCGUUUCACCCUAGUUCAGACAAUCUAUGAAAACUUUCGCAACAUAUCAUAUCAGAUCGGCUUUUAAGUGGCCAGCAAAGAAUCACGCAGUAAGAUUAAAGGCAAACAAAGAACAUCUAGAAGAUUAAUAAUCCUAAAUCUAUCGAUUCAUAAGCAAAGACACAUGAAAUUCCCUUUGAAUAAUCCCUUUAAACCCAACUGUGUAACUACUCAAACAUAUUGUAACAAAGCAUAGUGCAGGAAAUUAAAGAGAACAAGGAAGAGAAACAAAGAACAGAGAAGCGGACGGAGGCGCGAUGAUUGCACUCCAGCGGCGGCUCCUCCUUAGGGUUACACGAAAAUCUCUCUCUCUCCAAGUAUGUCUAAGUUUCGGUCUCUGCUCUUUAGAAUGACCUAAAGAGGGUAUUUAUAGCUGUUGGAGUUGUCCUGGACACUUAGGGCUUCAAAAAUAACAAAAGGAAUUGAUCUGGGCUUUACUUAAGUCGUCUGGAAAGUGAACGACCAAGUUCCGCGGUCGCGGUGGCUCUACCCACGGGAAAAUGGGUGUUGGCCGCGGUCCCGGCUCGUGGUCCUGUUCCGGAACUGCAUUUUCUGUCAUUCUUGCAUCGGGAGUAUCUGAAGAUCUAACCGUUGGAUUGUAUCCAAACCAAGUGCAUUAGAAAGCUGGUUGGAUCCUCUAUGUUUUCUCUAAUUUUAGGGGUGAUCAGACGGUGAGAAGGUCUUCAUCGCUUGUCAUACUUCUGACGGUCUGCAUUUAUCCAAAAUUGCUCAUUUGUUCCAAAUUGCAUAUCUUUUACCCAAGUUUCCUGUAAAUUCUUUUGAAACUCUAAAACAUUGAAAACACUUUAAAAACCAUUGAAAACAUAGUUAAAACACCUGCAUAAGAUACAAUUAUGAUCCAUAAAAGUGGUCAAAAUACAGUGUUAUCAGGUUGUUGCCCCCAGAACUGUGUUCUUGGUGGUUUUCUGACUCGAGUAGGAAAAUUUUGCUCAAAGAGUGUUGUCCAUCUAGCGCAAAACUGUUUAGGGGAUUUUUAGUCAUCUGCGCAGGCAAGUCUCCUUCUAAACUAGCAAACACGUGAAAGGCCUGGAAAACACGAUGGAAGAGUGUUUUUUGAUGGCUCUCCUACGCUCAAGUCAGAAAACAGGGAAAGAAAGGACACGUAGUGGCAAAUUGGAGAGAGGAAAGAGAUCAUAAAAUGGAGGAAGGAAGUUUUGUCGAGAGCUCGGGAGAAAAAUGGAAUCUACUCGGACCUUUGUGUGGUAAUGGGCUUUUUGAGGUGAAAAAUGAGGAAGUGUAAGAGUUUUGGGGUGAGAGUGCUCCACGGUUUAGGAACCGCCGUGGAAAGCAAGUAAAGAGAUGGUCGUAAUAAUGACCAGAAAUGUUAAGUGCUAUGGCUUAAGGAUCACGAGUAUCUAGAGAGUUAGCAUGAGCCUUAAGUUAGCGAAAAUAGUGAACCCCCUUCUCGUUGAAAGAGACAAGGUAUUUAUAGAGUUUUACCUAAUCCUGAUUAAUAUACCGGAACGGUCCUUGGGUCACAGGUUUGGCGGAUCAGUUCGUGAUCCGACUUGGUUGGAUCCAAAUCUUAUGCUUGCAUCAUGCCUUUGAUGGUCUCACCAAUUUUCAUUGACACGUUAAAAAAAGUUGGUGAGAGUGUCAGAGGCAUGACAUGAGCAUAAGACUCAGAUCCAACGAAGCCAGAUUACGAACUGACCCGCCCGACUCACGGCCUAAGGACUGACCCCAGUAUAUGAACCUGAGUCAGGUAAAAUUUUAUAAAUACUCUAUUCUUUCUAACGAGGAAGGAGUUCACUGUUUUCGCUACCUUAAGGCUCAUACUAUCUCUCUAGAUAUUAUCCUUAAGCUGCAGCACUUUAUAUUUUAUGGUCAUUACUCCGACCAACUCUUCACUUUCUCUCUACGGUGGUUCCUAGUUCCUAAACCGUGGAGCAAUGCCACCCAGAAAAUCUUAUAGUUCUUCUCUUUUCAUCUCAUGAUAACACCGUAUUUUGACCACUUUUAUGGAUCGUUUUGAAAUACUUUUUCUAUGUUUUUAAUUGCUUUUAAGUACUUUUAUUACGUUUUUCUAAUAUUUGUAGUUCCAAGACUCUUUUCAGGAUACUUAGUGAAAAGCUUAACAAAAUGGAUAGAAAACCAGAUUUCAGCUCAGAGUCAAACCGUCAGAAGUUCACCCCUGAUUGAAGGCCUUCUCACCGUCCGAUCCAGCUCAAAUUUGGUGACCUUAAAGAUGGAAGUAUCAGCUUUCCAAUGCACUUUACAGCUUGGCAAUCCAACGGUUCAAUCAAAAGAUAUCCCGUAAACCAGCCGGCAAGCACUUCCACCUGCGGCCAAACAACCUCCGAGCCCAAAAAGCCCAUUUCUGAAGCCCACAUUUGGAGAAACCCUAAGUGACGUCCAGAGAGGUCUUGAGCACUAUAAAUGCAUGUCUUAGGAACCCUAAAUCGUGUAACCUCAUCACCACCGAAUUGUUACUUCAUAUUUUUAUUGUUUUUGCUUUAGCUUUUAGGGAGAGAGAGAUUUGUUCUCUUGAACCCUUGUUCUUUCUUUUUCAAUUUCGGUUUCUAUUCUACUUCUUAAUACUAUGUCUUUGAUUUCGUUCAUUAUGUCUGAGUAGUUUUAUUGUUGGGAUUAAGAGAUUUUCGAUGGGGAUUUAUAUGUUCGAUGAGGAUUCCAUGAGCUUUUGAGCCGAAUCUUAGAACUUUUUCUUCUGAAUUCUUUUUUACUGCAUGAGAGUAGCAUCAUGAACUACAAUCUGAUCCAGAUACUUGGUGACACGAAAGUGUUCAUCAGGUAUCAGAUCUAGUUUAGGAGAGCAAAACAAACAUAGGAGUGGAAACCUACCUAUGGGCGAUUUGUGAAUUAGGACGAGUCUUAAACAUAAUGCAUCUUUUCUCUUCCAGGGCCAGAGUGGAAACCUACUGGUCAGGGUUGAGAGAGAUAGUUGUCUAUGAUCACGACAGUGGCGUAUUCAUACGUCCGUGACUCCAGUUCGAAAAGUUUAAGCUAAGAUCUUACAAAAUUUCCUCUCUAGCAAUGUUUUGAAUCGUUCGUACCCCUGAGAAAACUUCCCUGAACCCCAACGCUUUCUUUCUUAUUGAUUUACACCGAUUUUCUUUCAAGUUUUAGUUCAAUAUUGUCUUUCCUUUUUAGUUUAUUUUCAUUUAAGCAAUUAGAUAUCCGUUUUUUUACAUUUUUAGUCAUUUUCGUUAAGUUUAGUUAUUACGUCAUUUAAUUCCCGUAUUCUCUUUUAAUAUUUCGUUUUUACAUUUUAAGCACACUACCAAACCCCCACAAAACCGUUUUGGUUCUAGACUUCCUUACUUAAUACUUAUUUCAAAGGCUUUUUGCAGGAAAAGAUCCUCCUUCCCUGUGGCUUCGAUCCCUAAGUACUACAACCGAUCAGCUGUGCACUUGCGGCUAUUGAUUUCAAUUAGGGUAAAACUUGACAACCCUCGACACCACACAUCAAGUCGCACCACCAUCAUCUCACAAAGCCCAUCAGCACUUAAAGGCCCGAGUCGAUUCCACUUUUCUCAGAAAGGCUCAUCUCCUACUCUCGUUUUCCGAUCUCUUUUCUCUCUCUGAUUAGCCACUUAGUAGUUUUUUUUACUGUUUUCUUACUUGAGUGUCAGAAAGCCAUUCGAAAACAUACCCCAUCGUGUUUUUGGGCCCAUGCAUUAUAUAGUUUUGCAGGAGAAUUUCUCCUGCAGAGGACAAAAAAUCCCAUAUAUAGUGUCAAGACAAUCGAAAAUUCAAAACUGUGUAGCAGUGACCAAGUUGAAUUAUGUACUUUCUAAGAAAAUUAGUGAUUAAGAAUAAUAUAAAUAAAGAAGAAGUUUUACUAUAGAGACGUGAAUAACCCAAUAAUUAUCUGGAAUUUAUACAUUUUUAGUGUUUUAUAUACCUGCGGAACUAUUUAUUUGCAGCAAAUAAAAAAAACAAUUAUACGCAAAAUGAGUUGUUUAUAGUUGUAGCUAAAAACUGAAAUAGUUAGGGGGUGUGAAUGGUAAAAACUUAUUAUAAUGAUUAAUUAAGCUACAACUCAUUUUGCGUAUAAUUGUUUUUUAUUUGUUGCAACUGUAAAAAUAGUAGUAUUUAAGAAGAAAUAUAGGGAAUAUAUAAGAGGGAAAGGAAAAGUUAUUAUAAAAGGAAAUAAACCCAAAUUAUUACUUUGUAUUUCAUUUGUAUGUUCCUUAUUUUUAUCAGAUUUCAAAUUAAUGUAUAAUUGUGAUUUUUUUCUUAACAGGUUUUUUCCUAUUAAUUUUUAAAGGGGGAGAAUUUUCUUUAUAUAUCUAUUUUUUUAGACUUUCUGAAAAAAGAUGUCUCUCAAAAAAUAUGAACGGUAAAAUCAAAAUGGGACCAAAAGUCUCUCAUUAUAAAAAAAAAACUUACUGAUAAAUUGUGGGUUUAGAUUCUUUUAUAGGUUUUGAUAUUUGCAUAAAAAUGAUUAAGUAAAAAGAGAUUUACAAGCUUUUAGGAUUAACAUAAAUCCAAAUGUUUGAAUCUAAUUUUGUUUUUGUUAAAGGUGAAUAGAAUUUUCAAAAAGAAGAAUUUCUUUAUUGAAGGAAACCCAAAUAUUUCAAAACUUGAUUAGAUGAAACCAAUUCUUCCAUAAUUUAAUGACUUUAUGAUAAACAACAACCAAACACUUUUCAAAAAUCUACACCAGUUUAAGAACUUAAGGAUACUACGGUUGAUUAGACGCAAGAUUAAGAGCAAAUCACAUCAAUCUUAUAAUAGAUUGCUCGAAUUUAAAUAUUGUAUACCAUUGUACAUUAAGGGAAAAACAUUAUUACAUAAAAAGCAAAUUAAGUAAGAGAUAGGUUUUUUUUAAUUUAAAGAGCAAAUUAUGAAAAAUAUAGAUCAACUUUAGAACUUGCGAAGAAAGUGAGCUCAAGGGACAAAGUCUCAUCAUUGUUACCAUCAUCAUUGUCCAUUUCAUUGUUUUCAGUUUCAUUCGUUCCAAUCUGCCAUAUCCAGUUAUAUACAUUAUUAUAUGUGAAUGAAAUAAUACGUAUCAAAUCUUCAAUAAAAUUUGUUCAUACUUAGUCAUUAUUAAUCAUGUUUGAUGAUUAUAGCGUAAGAAUUUUGAAAAGAGAAAAAACUUAAAAUUUUAAACAGAGAGAAAACUUACUCUUGAAGAUUGAAACAGAGACUUGCAAGAUAUUUCAAAAACUCUCUUACUUGAUUCUCCCAUUUCCAUUAUUUUGUCCUGCUUUCUUUCUUCUUCCCUACAAUAUUGAUUAAAAAAGAUACAUUCAAAUUUAAAACAAAAAACCUAUAUAUAUAUAUAUUAACUUUUUAAUUUAAUAAUAAUUAAGUAUUAUACGAACAUUUUCGCAUAGAAUUGACAAUUUCUACAAGACGUUCAUAUUGACGAAGGUGUUGUUGAGUUUGCCUCAAAAUCAUUUCUCUUGUCAGUCUUUCCCUUCGAAUUCCUUGUACCUCUUCUACUAUAGGACAUGUAAGUGUAUAGAUUUUUAUUUUCUAUAUAAUAUUUACAUAUAAAUGCUUUUUUAAGAAAACUUCAACAUAUUUGGUCUGAGCAUAUAUUUUUUAUUUUUGUUUUAUUUCUGAAAAUAUUUUUUAUACAUACACUUAUAGAAAAUACAAUUUCUUUAUAAAUAUAAUAAUAAAAAAUAAAUAAAUGUAUAUAAUACUUAUUCACUUUUUUUAUACUCAUCAAGCAUGGUGGUCCUAUACAUCUGAUGAAGGCAAAAACAUAAAAUUGGUUCAUAUUAAGCCCAACAUAAUAUGACAAAAUUGACAAAAUAUGAUACGCAUCUAUUGGGAAAAAUGAAGAAAUUAAAUAAUGUAUAUAUAUGUUACGACCUGGAGAUGGAUCUUUACAUGUGAUAUAGUGAGUCCUUCAAUAUUCAUUAUCUCCAAAAUUCUCUUAGGAGUUGCUUGUGCAUUUACAAUGAUUAAUACAAGUUGAAUUUAUAUUAAAAGAAAAUAAUGUUUAGCCCACAACUCUAGAUUUAGGAUUGUUAUAUAGUUUUUAUAUAUGUUAGGAUCCUAAUUUAUAAUUCCGAUCCCCGAAUUUGACAAAUAUGAAUAUAUCACAAAAAACAAAAAACAGAAAAGAUAAAGAGAAUUAUAUAAUUGAAAAUUGAAAAGGAUAUGUAUCCGAUGAUAAAUUGAAAACAAUAGUUGAUGAUUCCGGUAGCAAUCUAUUUUAUGAUUUUCCUUAUUUUGUUUUAGAAAUUCACACAAAACAAGAAAAAUAUUAACUUACGAUGUAUUCCGCCAAGUUGUAGAACCGCAUAAAUAAAGCGAUCGUGAUGAUAGGCACUCCAUUGCAUCCGAUCCAUUUCACGUAUUAUAAGGUCUAACAAUCAUGACUUUUAUCAGAAAAAAUUCUCAAACUUUUCAGUUUUUGGUUUUUAGUUAUAAAAAACUCCGAUCAUGAAUGGUCAAUUUAUAGUAGUUGUAGACAAAAUUUAUGAUAUUAAAAAAUUAAAUAAUAAUUUUCAUAAAUGUAAAGGAUAGAAAAACAUUAAAUGUGCUUCUAAACUUGUCAUAGUGCAUAUAUUUUUACUUUCCUUUUUUUUGGUUUUCUUAAUUAGUUUGUUUCUUAUUUCCAUUAUUUAGAAAAAAAUCUUAUACAACUAUGAAUGAAUUGUUAAAAAGUUAUAUAUAUAUAUAUAUAAGCACUAUUCAAAUCUUCAAUUAUAUAUGCUAAGUUAAGUAUUUCCAUUAUUUAGAAAAAGUGCCUUACAACUAUGAGUUGGAUCAUCAAGAAAAUAAAAUAUAUGUUGGUAUUAUUCAAAUCAUCUUAGAUAUACUUUGAAAAGGAUCACUGGCAUUAUUUAAAAAAAUUUUAAUAAAAAAAAUCUUAAUAUAAAACCUAAAAACUAAACCCAUAAAAGCUAAGAAAUCAUUUUUCCAAUCCCAAAAGUAAUUUUUUUUUGUCGGUCUAUCCUUCUUUUUGUCUUUUUGUUUUUCCUCACUUGAGGGGUUCCCAGCCUUUAUGCGUGUUGUGAUCCUUGGGCAGGUAGGAUGCUGUGUUCUUCCUUCGUAACUAUGCUGUCUGUCUCCGGUUCCCUUUUUCACCUCCGGGUUACAGAUCCGAUUUAGUUGAUGUCGCGAUUUAUCUUGCUGGUCGUACCAUCCUUCCUUGGUAUAUCUCGUGUGUAUUUCUCGGUUUGCCUCCAGAGUCUUUCCAUCCUCCACCUGGUUGGGAACUCGAUCAAUCGUAGAUGUUUGCACACUGUGGCCUCCAUCUCGUCCACCCAAGGUUGACCUAACAACGCUAUGUACCGAGUUGGCGUGCUGACUACUGUUAUGGCCAUUACCCAGGGGUUAUUAAGUGCAGUGACUAUGAGUGCUGCCUCUCCUAUCGCUCGAGUCACCCUCCCAUUAUAUUCUAUGAACAUUAUCUUCGCUGGUUUGAGGGACCUUCGAAAUCCCACGAACUCUUUGAAGAUGGCUGCAAGAUGAGAUUAACAGGGCAGGUCUAGUCCACCAGAAUCUGCCUCAUCUGUUUGCCUCCUAUCUCCAACAUCACAUUCAGAGCGGGGUAUUGAGUGAUAAUUCUCGACACUUUUUCGGCUGCGUUGAAGAACUCUGGCGGGCGAGCCAGUCGCCUUCGAAUUCCAAGCCUUUUACUGUGACUUUCUUCCUCAGCUUCAUUCGUGUGUCUAUCGACCUGUCCGACCUUGUUGAAGCUCCCUAUUACACGGUCUUGUUUUUUCAACACUCGCUUCACUUUCCUAGAGAGCAGAAGUCGUAUGGAAAGGUGGCAAACCAGAGCCAGCAUCUCCUCCGUAAAGGCCAAACAGCUCUCAGUCUGAUGCCCUCUGGAUCAGUGGUACUUGCACCAUAGUUUUCUGUAUUUCCGUUCCUCUGAGGCGGGCUCAUCUUCUCCAUCUGGAUCCCGUAUGGCAUGAGAAAUUGUUACCCACACUUCUUCCUCCAAUCACCUCUGGUCACACCAUCCAGGGAUGGAAGUGGAACAUGCUACAAGGGGGUUUACCUCUGGCUCAUCUCCUUGGUCUCCGGUUAUCUCCCAGUCGUUGUCGCUUGCGCCUCCCUUGGCGUUCUCCCUUUGGUCAGGAUCCUUUAGCCGAUGGGUAUGUAAGGUUCAUUCUCUGUAAACUCGAUCAUGCCCACCUAGCACUUGCAGUUUUUUGCUCUGGCUUUGACGGUAUUUUGUUUGCUGCCAAUCACUGUCUGGGUCUCUCCCAUUUGCAUUCAUAGGUUGUUGCCCUCAGAACUGUGUUCUUGGUGGUUUUCUGACUCGAGUAGGAAAAUUUUGCUCAGAGAGUGUUGUCCAUCUACCGCAGAACUGUUUAGGGGAUUUUUAGUCAUCUGCGCAGGCAAGUCUCCUUCUAAACUAGCAAACGCGUGAAGGCCUGGAAAACACGAUGGAGGAGUGUUUUUUGAUAGCUCUCCUACGCUCAAGUCAGAAAACAGGGAAAGAAAGACCACGAAGUGGCAAAUUAAAGAGAGGAAAGAGAUCAGAAAAUGGAGGAAGGAAGUUUUGUCAAGAGCUCGGGAGAAAAAUGGAAUUUACUCGGACCUUUGUGUGGUAAUGGGCUUUUUGAAAAAGAGGAAGUGUAAGAGUUUUGGGGUGAGAGUGCUCCACGGUUUAGGAACCGCCGUGGAAAAGAAGUAAAGAGAUGGUCGUAAUAAUGACCAGAAAUGUUAAGUGCUAUGGUUUAAGGAUCACAAGUAUCUAGAGAGUUAGCAUGAGCCUUAAGUUAGCAAAAAUAGUGAACCCCCUUCUCGUUGAAAGAGACAAGGUAUUUAUAGAGUUUUACCUGAUCCGGAUUAAUAUACCGGAACGGUCCUUGGGUCACAGGUUUGGCGGAUUGGUUCGUGAUCCGACUUGGUUGGAUCCAAAUCUUAUGCUUGCAUCAUGCCUUUGAUGGUCUCACCAACUUUCAUUGACACGUUAAAAAAAGUUGGUGAGAGUGUCAGAGGCAUGACGUGAGCAUAAGACUCAGAUCCAACGAAGCCAGAUUACGAACUGACCCGCCCGACUCACGGCCUAAGGACUGACCCCAGUAUAUGAACCUGAGUCAGGUAAAAUUUUAUAAAUACUCUAUUCUUUCUAACGAGGAAGGAGUUCACUGUUUUCGCUACCUUAAGGCUCAUACUAUCUCUCUAGAUAUUUGUGAUUCUUAAGCUGCAGCACUUUAUAUUUUAUGGUCAUUACUCCGACCAACUCUUCACUUUCUCUCUAUGGUGGUUCCUAGUUCCUAAACCGUGGAGCAAUGCCACCCAGAAAAUCUUAUAGUUCUUCUCUUUUCAUCUCACAAAUCCCAUCAGCACUUAAAGGCCCGAGUCGAUUCCACUUUUCUCAGAAAGGCUCAUCUCCUACUCUCGUUUUCCGAUCUCUUUUCUCUCUCUGAUUAGCCACUUAUUAGUUUUUUUUUACUGUUUUCUUACUUGAGUGUCAGAGAGCCAUUCGAAACCACACCCCAUCGUGUUUUUGGGCCCAUGCAUUAUAUAGUUUUGCAGGAGAAUUUCCCCUGCAGAGGACAAAAAAUCCCAUAUAUAGUGUCAAGACAAUCAAAAAUUCAAAACUGUGUAGCAGUGACCAAGUUGAAUUAUGUACUUUCUAUGAAAAUUAGUGAUUAAGAAUAAUAUAAAUAAAGAAUAAGUUUUACUAUAGAGACGUGAAUAACCCAAUAAUGAUCUGGAAUUUAUACAUUUUUAGUGUUUUAUAUACUUGCGGAACUAGUUAUUUGCAGCAAAUAAAAAAAACAAUUAUAUGCAAAAUGAGUUGUUUAUAGUUGUAGCUAAAAACUGAAAUAGUUAGGGGGUGUGAAUGGUAAAAACUUAUUAUAAUGAUUAUUUAAGCUACAACUAUAAACAAGUCAUUUUGCGUAUAAUUGUUUUUUUAUUUGUUGCAACUGUAAAAAUAGUAGUAUUUAAGAAGAAAUAUAGGGAAAAUAUAAGAGGGAAAGGAAAAGUUAUUAUAAAAGGAAAUAAACCCAAAUUAUUUCAUUUGUAUGUUCCUUAUUUUUAUCAGAUUUCACAUUAAUGUAUAGUUGUGAUUUUUUUCUUAACAGGUUUUUUUUUAUUAAUUUUUAAAGGGGGAGAAUUUUCUUUAUAUAUCUAUUUUUUUAGACUUUCUGAAAAAAGAUGUCUCUCAAAAAAUAUGAACGGUAAAAUAAAAAUGGGACCAAAAAUCUCUCAUUAUAAUAAAAAAACUUACCGAUAAAUUUUGAGUUUAGAUUCUUUUAUAGGUUUUGAUAUUUGCAUAAAAAUGAUUAAGUAAAAAGAGAUUUACAAGCUUUAGGAUUAACAUAAAUCCAAAUGUUUGAAUAUAAUUUUGUUUUUGUUAAAGGUGAAGAGAAUUUUCAAAAAGAAGAAUUUCUUUAUUGAAGGAAACCCAAAUAUUUCAAAACUUGAUUAGAUGAAACCAAUUCUCCCAUAAUUUAAUGACUUUAUGAUAAACAACAACCAAACACUUUUCAAAAAUCUACACCAGUUUAAAAACUUAAGGAUACUACGGUUGAUUAGACGCAAGAUUAAGAGCAAAUCACAUCAAUCUUAUAAUAGAUUGCUCGAAUUUAAAUAUUGUAUAUCAUUGUACAUUAAGGGAAGAACAUUAUUACAUAAAAAGCAAAUUAAGUAAGAGAUAGGUUUUUUUUAUUUAAAGAGCAAAUUAUGAAAAAUAUAGAUCAACUUUAGAACUUGCGACGAAGAAUGAGCUUAAGGGACAAAGUCUCAUCAUUGUUACCAUCAUCAUUGUCCAUUUCAUUGUUUUCAGUUUCAUUUGUUCCAAUCUGAAAUAUCCAGUUAUAUACAUUAUUAUAUGUGAAUGAAAUAAUACGUAUCAAAUCUUCAAUUAAAUUUGUGCAUACUUAGUCAUUAUUAAUCAUGUUAGAUGAUUUUAGCGUAAGAAUUUUGAAAAGAAAAAAAACUUAAAAUUUUUAACAGAGAGAAAACUUACUCUUGAAGAUUGAAACAAAGACUUGCAAGAUAUUUCAAUAGCUCUCUUACUUGAUUCUCCCAAAUCCAUUAUUUUUUUCUGCUUUCUUUCUUCUUCCCUACAAUAUUGAUUAAAAAAGGUACAUUCAAAUUUAAAACAAAAAAAACAUAUAUAUAUAUAUAUAUAUAUAUAUAUAUUAAGUUUUUAAUUAAUAAUAAUUAAGUCUUAUACGAAAAUUUUCGCAUAGAGUUGACAAUUUCUACAAGAUUGUUAUAUAGUUUUUAUAUAUGUUAGCAUCCUAAUUUAUAAUUCCGAUCCCCGAAUUUGAAAAAUAUGAAUAUAUCACACAAAAAAUAAACAGAAAAGAUAAAGAGAAUUAUAUAAUUGAAAAUUGAAAAGGAUAUGUAUCCGAUGAUAAAUUGAAAACAAUAGUUGAUGAUUCCGGUAGCAAUCUAUUUUAUGAUUUUUCUGAUUUUAUUUUAGAAAAUCAUACAAAACAAGAAAAAAUAUUAACUUACGAUGUAUUCCGUCAAGUUGUACACCGCAUAAAUAAAGCGAUUGUGAUGAUAGCCACUCAAUUGCAUCCGAUCCAUUUUUUGACAAAUUAUAAGGUCUAAAAAUCGUGACUUUUAUCAGAAAAUUUUCGAACUUUACAGUUUUUGGAUUUUAGUUAUUAAAAACUCUUAUCAUGAGUGGUCAAUUUAUAAUAGUUGUAGACAAAAUUUAUAAGGUUAAAAAAUAAAUUAUUAAUUUUCAUAAAUGUAAAGGGUAGAAAAACAUAAAUGUACUACUAAACUUGUCAUAGUGCAUAUCUUUUUACUUUCCUUUUUUUUUGGUUUUCUAAAUUAGUUUGUUUAUUAUUUCCAUUAUUUAGAAAAUAAUAUUUUAAAAUUAUUAAUAUAUUAUUUAAAAACUUAUAUUUAUAUAUAUAUAUAUAAGCAUUAUUGAAAUCUUCAAUUAUAUAUGCUAAGUUAAGUAUUUCCAUUAUUUAGAAAAAAUGCCUUACAAUUAUGAGUUGGAUCAUCAAGAAAAUAAAUUAUAUGUAAGUAUUAUUCAAAUCAUCUUAGAUAUAUUUUGAAAAUGAUCACUGGCAUUAUUUUAAAAAAUUUUAAUAAAAAAAAAUCUUAAUAUAAAACCUAAAAACUAAUCCCAUAAAAGCUAAGAAAUUAUGUUUCCAACCCCAAAAAUGAUUUUUUUUUUUUUUUUGUCGGCCUCUCCUUCUUUUUGUCUUCUUGUUUUUCCUCACUUGAGGGGGUUCCCAGCCUUUAUGCGUGUUGUGAUCCUUGGGCGGGUAGGACGCUGUGUUCUUCCCUCGUAACUAUGCUGUCAUUCUCUGGUUCCCUUUUUCACCUCCGGGUUACAGAUCCAAUUUAUUUGAUGUCGCGAUAUAUCUUGCUGGUCGUACCAUCCUUCCUUGGUAUAUCUCGUGCGUAUUUCUCGGUUUGCCUCCAGAGUCUUUCCAUCCUCCACCCGGUUGGGAACUCGAUCAAUCGUAGAUGUUUGCACACUGUGGCCUCCAUCUCAUCCACCCAAGGUUGACCUAACAGCGCUAUGUACCGAGCUGGCGUGCUGACUACUCUUAUGGCCAUUACCAAGGUGUUAUUAAGCGCGGUGACUAUGAGUGCUGCCUCUCCUAUCGCUCGAGUCACCCUCCCAUUAUAUUCUAUGAACAUUAUGUUCUCUGGUUUGAGGGACCUUCGAAAUCCCACGAACUCUUCAAAGAUGGCUGCAAGAUGAGAUUAACAGGGCAGGUCUAGUCCACCAGAAUCUGCCUCAUCUGUUUGCCUCCUAUCUCCAACAUCACAUUCAGAGCAGGGUAUUGAGUGAUAAUUCUCGACACUUUUUCGGCUGCGUUGAAGAACUCUGGCGGGCGAGCCAGUCGCCUUCGAAUUCCAAGCCUUUUACCGUGACUUUCUACCUCAGCUUCAUUCGUGUGUCUAUCGACCUGUCCGACCUUGUUGAAGCUCCCUAUUACACGGUCUUGUUUUUUCAACACUCGCUUCACUUUCCUAGAGAGCAGAAGUCGUAUGGAAAGGUGGCAAACCAGAGCCAGCAUCUCCUCCGUAAAGGCCAAACAGCUCUCAGUCUGAUGCCCUCUGGAUCAGUGGUACUUGCACCAUAGUUUUCUGUAUUUCCGUUCCUCUGAGGCGGGCUCAUCUUCUCCAUCUGGAUCCCGUAUGGCAUGAGAAAUUGUUACCCACACUUCUUCCUCCAAUCACCUCUGGUCACACCAUCCAGGGAUGGAAGUGGAACAUGCUACAAGGGGGUUUACCUCCGCCUCCUCUCCUUGGUCUCCGGUUAUCUCCCAGUCGUUGUCGCUUGCGCCUCCCUUGGCGUUCUCCCUUUGGUCAGGAUCCUUUAGCCGAUGGGUAUGUAAGGUUCAUUCUCUGUAAACUCGAUCAUGCCCACCUAGCACUUGCAGUUUUUUGCUCUGGCUUUGACGGUAUUUUGUUUGCUGCCAAUCACUGUCUGGGUCUCUCCCAUUUGCAUUCAUAGGUUGUUGCCCCCAGAUCUGUGUUCUUGGUGGUUUUCUGACUCGAGUAGGAAAAUUUUGCUCAGAGAGUGUUGUCCAUCUAGCGCAGAACUGUUUAGGGGAUUUUUAGUCAUCUGCGCAGGCAAGUCUCCUGCAAAACUAGCAAACGCGUGAAGGCCUGGAAAACACGAUGGAGGGGUGUUUUUUGAUGGCUCUCCUACACUCAAGUCAGAAAACAGGGAAAGGAAGACCACGAAGUGGCAAAUUGGAGAGAUGAAAGAGAUAAGAAAAUGGAGGAAGGAAAUUUUACCGAGAGCUCGUGAGAAAAAUGGAAUCUGCUCGGACCUUUGUGUGGUAAUGGGCUUUUUGGAAGUGUAAGAGUUUUGGGGUGACAGUGUUCCACGGUUUAGGAACCGCCGUGGAGAGGAAGUAAAGAGAUGGUCGUAAUAAUGAGCAGAAAUGUAAAGUGCUAUGGCUUAAGGAUCACAAGUAUCUAGAGAGUUAGCAUGAGCCUUAAGUUAGCGAAAAGAGUGAACCCCCUUCUCGUUGAAAAAGACAAGGUAUUUAUAGAGUUUUACCUAAUCCGGAUAAAUAUACCGAAACGGUCCUUGGGUCACAGGCUUGGCGGAUCGGUUCGUGAUCCGACUUGGUUGGAUCUGAAUCUUAUGCUUGCAUCAUGCCUCUGAUGAUCUCACCAACUUUCAUUGAUACGUUAAAAAAAGUUGGUGAGAGCGUUAGAGGCAUGACGUGAGCAUAAGACUCGGAUCCAACCAAGACAGAUUAUGAACAGACCCACCCGACUCACGGCCUAAGGACUAACCCAGUGUAUGAACCCGGGUCAGGUAAAAUUUUAUAAAUACUCUAUUCUUUCUAAUGAGGAAAGAGUUCACUUUUUUUGCUACCUUAAGGCUCAUACUAUCUCUCUAGAUAUUUGUGAUCUUUAAGCUGCAGCACUUUAUAUUUUAUGGUCAUUACUCCGACCAUCUCUUCACUUUCUCUUUACGGUGGUUCCUAAUUCCUAAACCGUGGAGCAAUCUCACCCAGAAAAUCUUAUACUUCUUCUCUUUUCAUCUCACAAAGCCCAUCACCACUUAAAGGUCCGAGUCAAUUCCACCUUUCUCAAAAAUGCCCAUCUCUUAUUCUUGUUUUCCGAUCUCUUUUCUCUCUCUGAUUAGCCACUUAGUAUUUUUUUUUUUUAAUGUUUUCUUACUUGAGCGUCAGAGAGCCAGUGGAAACACACCCUGUUGGGGUCGGUUUCAUCCCAAGCGGAUAAAACCAUCUCAAAAAUGACUAACUACUGGAGAAAACCGAUUUGCCAAGAAGGAACAGCUGCCCGCCGAAUAUGGGCCGAGCCGUCCCACGAAACAAGUGGGCCGAGCUUUGCUCACCAAGAUGAGUGGUCCGAGCCGUGGAAGAAGAUAAAUGGGCCAAGGCGCGAGAAGAACAAAGAGUGGGCCGAGCUGAGCAAGAGGAAGAAUGGGCCGAGCCACUUUUCUUCGUGUUGGGUCAAGCCUGUCCUUCUUUAAUGAGAUGAGCCAAAAUCGUAAAGGACCUACGCCCAUAAAAACCUUAGGCAAAGUGCUAUGGCGGCGGCUGCACGAAGCGAUAAAGAAAUAUUCCGAAAAUCUUUCCCGAGAUUCUUGGCUAGGCGGUUCAUAGAAUCUAUAUAAAUAGUCGCUGUAAACAAUUCAUGAUGUAAUUUUUGACAACGCAAGAGCAAUAAGACUUAAACACUUUUCAGCAAAACCCUUCUUUUGAUCUUACUGUUCUUGCGAUAAACCUUAGAAAUUUUGGAUCCCUUAAGUUUUCCUUAACAAAUUUUUGGUUGUGCGAGUUUUGGCUCACACAAUUUGGCGCCGUCUGUUGGGACUCGAAAUUUUCUUACUCAAUAUUGUCAAGAGCUAAAGAUCCGAAGAACAUGGCAACCGACGCACCCGGAGACGACAACAACAACAAUGGCGCGGAGAAAGACGCUCCACCAGCAAGCACGACAACGACAACCACCGAAGCCCAGGAGGAGAUGCGAAACAUGAUGGCCACGUUGAUGAAGAAAAUCGACGAGAAGGACAAGAGGAAUGAGGCGAUUACAGAGAGAUUUGACGCAAUGACGGCCGAAAGACGGCACCCAACUUGGAGUGCCAGGAUCUCCGAUCCGACAGAUAUAGUCAGGAGACGCUUCGAUUUCUCGACACCUGCAGGAGCAUCCAGUAGCGGCAUAAGAAAUCCCAUGGCUCCCCUAAUGUUUCGUCCCCUCGGCGAACAAACUCCCGCAGCUACCCGAGUCAACAUGACCGAGCCGCCCCCGCUUAGUCAGAAUUCAAGGCGACGAGGCGAUGAGGAGGAGAACGACGUGAUCGAUGUGGACGCCCAUCAGAGCGACAGAACCAGGAACUUGCAACAAAACAGCUCAGCUCGGCAGAUAAGUCAAGAAGAGCUCGCCUCGGCACUAAAUGGCAUUCAAGUUGACGAAGUCGCCGACCCGAUUCGCGAUAACGACCCAACCGAGGAAGAGGAAAAUCUCCAAUGGGUCAAGCAGGCAGAGUUCAAAGACGAGCCGAGGAGAGAAGACCAGGAGCGACCUCGCCCACCUAGGAGAAUGACACGCGCGCAAACCUUGGAGAUCGAAGAGUUGCGAGCCUCAAUGGCUCGGACAGUGGCAGAGAUACGCGCCAUGAAAUCUCAAGUGCAUAAUGCGACAAGUGCCGCGCCGGAGAUUGAUCGAAUGCUCGAGGAAACCAAAAGAACCCCGUUCACGACGAGGAUCCCAGAGGCUAUGAUCCCUGAGCCCGGAACAGUUAGGAUCCCUUUCUAUGAAGGAACCACCGACCUGAAAGCUCAUAUCACGGCGUUCCGCAUAGCAAUGGGACGAGCCUUCACGAGGAACUCUGCCAACCUGACCAAGCAAGAAAAAGACGCCGGUUAUUGUCUGCUGUUUGUAGAGCAUCUCAAAGGGGCCGCACUAGAAUGGUUCUCAAGGCAAGAACGUAAUUCGAUCAACAGCUUCCAGCAGUUCUCCGCCUUGUUCUUGAAGCAGUACUCGAUGUUCAUGGACCGAGACACCUCCGACGCCGAUCUAUGGACGUUAUCUCAAGGACCUAACGAACCGCUUCGGGAUUACAUGGCAAGGUUCAAAGCUGUUGUGUCCAAACUAGAAGGAAUAAGUGACAAGGCCGCCCCUAAGCCCUAAAACGAUCCCUAUGGUACAAAUCAGAGUUUCGAAGGGAGAUGGCGCUGAACACGCCGCAAACAAUUCAGGACGCUCUGCAUCGAUCAUCAGACUUUAUCGUGAAUGAGGAAAAAAUAAAGAAUUUAGACGAGCAGUACGAAGCGACGAAAGCAGCAAUCCGGAGCUUGAUUUUAACUCCGGAUCUGAAGAAAUACUAUCACUAAGGAUGCACCACGACCAGCAUGAACUACGGAACAGUACGAAGCAACGCAAGCAGCAAUCCGGAGCUUGAUUUUAACUCCGGAUCUGAAGAAAUACUAUCACUAAGGAUGCACCACGACCAGCAUGAACUACGGAACAACUUGAUCCCUGCAAAUUGUACGUAGGCAGCCCGUCCUCAGACGGGUUCAGCUGUCCCCCUUCCUAAAGGGGGGGGGGGAGUAGUUUUCAUUCACUUGCUUUCACUUCGGCUAGUCUUUUAUUCACUUGUUUUACGUCGGCUAGACAUUUUACUUGUUUUACAAAGCACUUUAUUUUCAUUGAUCUUGCAUUGCUUCGGCAAAGUUUUACUUUGGUAUCCAAACACCAUACGCCUCGUCUCGUUUCAGGCCACAACGAGACAACAAAUACAAAGUUCUCUAAACGGACUUUUACCACCUUUCCUAGGACAAGGGUGCAAGUUACAUCCUUUAUGGAUAAAAAUUAAGCGCGCUAUACAAAUUUCAGACUUAAAACGUAUCGGUCGCCACAGUCCACAAUCGCACACGAGAUUAUAAGUCGAGACUACAUCGAUUUCUCUAAAACCAAAGUGAACUCUUAAAACCCGGCAAAACACACUCACCCUCUCGGGAACGCCGGUCUAUAGUCAUAUUCCAAAGAGAAAACUAUAUCCUCUUGAACUUUUGCCUCAUCAAUGAGAAACCCUGGGCUAACGCCUCGGCAAGAAAAAAACAGGCUCAAGCUAAACACUUUGGCUGCAACGCCCGACUCUUCCUCACGAACGAUCAGUCUCUCAAAGAGAACAAGGCCUAUAAAACACAUAACUUACUUGAAAAAUACUUCGGCGUUAGUCGGAGAUUCUUUCUCAAAACAAUCUAAAACAGCUCACCUCAAUGAGGACCUCUCUCAGGGAUAGAAUGGAUAAAUCUCAAUGAACGGCCAGAAAUCAUCUUUGGUUAAUAAAAAAAAACGCCUCGUCGUUAUACAUGGCUCGGCAUCACAUAAUGAAAUUGCCUUGUCGUUAUACAUGGCUCGGCAUCAUCUAAUGAAAACGCCUCGCCGUUGUCAUUAAACACGGCUCGGCAUUGCCAAUAAAAAUCGCCUCGUCGUUAUCAUUAAACACGGCUCGGCAUUACCAAUGAAAAUCGCCUCGUCGUUAUCGCUAAACACGGGUCGGCGUCAUCUAAACGAAGACGCCUCGUCGCCUAUGCAUUAUCUUCUAUCGUCACCUAGGCAUCAUUUUACUGUACUCAUCGCCUAGGCAUCACCUCGCCUUGUCGCCUAGGCAUUAUCUCGGCUCGUUGCCUAGGCAUUAUUUUGGCUCGUCGCCUAGGCAUUAUCUCGGCUUGUCGCCUAAGCAUCAUCUUGCCUUUUUCGCCUAGGCAUCAUCUUGCCUCGCAUCUCGUCGCCUAGCCAUCAUCGGCUCGUUGCCUAGGCAUCACCUCGCCUUGUCUCUUAGACAUUAGGUCGGCUCGUUGCCUAGGCAUUAUCUCUGCUCGUCGUCCAUGCAUUAUCUCGGCUCGUCGCCUAGGCAUCAUCUUGCAUCGUCGGCUAGGUGUCAUCUUAUAUCAUCGCCUAGCGAUCAUCAGCUUGUCGCCUAAGCGUCAUCUUGUAUCAUCGCCUAGCCAUCAUCGGCUCGUCGCCUAGGCAUCAUCUUACCUCGUCGCCUAGGCAUUCUCUUGCCUUGUCGCCUAGCCGUUAACUCGGCUCGGCAGCUAGGCAUCCUUUUGCCUUGUCGCCUAGCCGUUAACUCGGCUCGGCAGCUAGGCCUCCUCUUGCAUUGUCGCCUAGCCAUCAUCUCGGCUCGUCGGCUAGGCGUCAUCUUGGCUUGUUGCCUAGGCAUCAUCUUACCUCGUCGCCUAGGCAUCCUCUUGCCUUGUCACCUAGCCGUUAACUCGGCUUGGCAGCUAGGCAUCCUCUUGCAUUAUCGCCUAGCCAUCAUCUCGGCUCGUUGGCUAGGCGUCAUCUUGCCUCGUCGCCUAGGCAUCCUCUUGCCUUGUCUCCUAGCCAUCGUCUCGGCUCAUCUUCUAGGUACUGUCUUGCCUUGUUGUCUAUGCAUCUUUUGACCUUGUCGGUUUGGCAUCUCCUGACUUAAUCCAGUAACAAGCCGUAUCUAGAUCAUGUGCGUCGGCGUAACACUCUCCCCCGAUAAUAUCCAACACGCCUUGGCAUUGUAUUUUCUGGAAAAGCUUUUGUAUUAGUCUUUCUGCGCACCGUAGCACUAUGGGCGCCUUGUCAUUAAGAACAACACAGUUUUCGCAAAACGCCUCGUCGUUUAUUCGGUUCGGCAAAGUUUUCGCAAAACGCUUCGUCGUUUAUUCAAUUUUCACAAAACGCCUUGUCGUUUAUUCGGCUCGACACAGUUUUCACAAAAAUGCCUCGUCAUUUUAAAAGAAACUCCGGGAAAAACAGUUCACCUAUCCCCGUUAUCAAAUCGCCUCACGUACACUCUUUCCCAAGGAUAUCUCAUCAAGCAGCACAGACUGCGCCACACCUCGCCUUUAACAAAACGGCUUGGCAUUAUCUUUUAUCUUGAAACGCCUCUUCGCUAAACAUAGCUCAGCACUACGUAAACACCACGUCGUAGAAAACAGCUCAGCGCUAUCUUUGUCAAAGUAACCUCAUCUUUUGAACGGCUUGGCAUUUUCUUUCAAACAGCCUCGCCAAAACACGGCUCGCUAUUAUGCUUCGUCGAAGAACGGCUCGACAUUUUUUUCCCCAAAAUGCCUCACCUGGAAUUGUUUCGCCACGGCCUAACUCGAUGGUUUAUCCCAUGGCCAGGAGCAAUAAACCUCGUCACUCUCGUCUCCGAAAGACGAGCAGGGGAGCUAACUGUUGGGGUCGGUUUCAUCCCAAGCGGAUAAAACCAUCUCAAAAAUGACUAAGUACUGGAGAAAACCGAUUUUGCAAGAAGGAACAGCUGCCCGCCGAAUAUGGGCCGAGCCGUCCCACAAAACAAGUGGGCCGAGCUGUGCUCACCAAGAUGAGUGGUCCGAGCCGUGGAAGAAGAUUAAUGGGCCAAGCCGUGAGAAGAACAAAGAGUGGGCCGAGCUGAGCAAGAGGAAGAAUGGGCCGAGCCGCUUUUCUUCGUGUUGGGUCGAGCCAGUCCUUCUUUAAUGAGAUGAGCCAAGAUCGUAAAGGACCUACGCCCAUAAAAACCUUAGGCAAAGUGCUAUGGCGGCGGUUGCACGAAGCGAUAAGGAAAUAUUCCGAAAAUCUUUCCCGAGAUUCUCGGCUAGGCGGUUCAUAGACUCUAUAUAAAUAGUCGCUGUAAACAAUUCAUGAUGUAAUUUUUGACAACUCGAGAGCAAUAAGACUUAAACAUUUUUAAGCAAAACCCUUCUUUUGAUCUUACUGUUUUUGCGAUAAACGAAAUUUUGGAUCCCUUAAGUUUUCCUUAACAAAUUUUUGGUUGUGCGAGUUUUGGCUCACACACACCCCAUCGUGUUUUUGGGCCAAUGCGUUUUCUAGUUUUGCCGGAGACUUUCCCCUGCAGAGGAUAAAAAAUCCCAUAUAUAGUGUCAAGAAAAUCAAAAAUUCAAAACUUUGUAGCACAGCAAUGACCAAAGUUGAAUUAUGUACUUUUUAUAAAUUUAAAACAAUGAUGGGUAGAAAAAAAAUUCUAUGAAAUUUAGUGAUUAAGAAUAAUAAAAAUAAACAAGAAGUUUUACUAUAGAGACAUGAAUAACCCAACAAUGAUCUGGAAUUUAUACAUUUUUAGUUUUAUAUACUUGCGGAACUAUUUAUUUGCAGCAAAUAAAAAAAACAAUUAUACGCAAAAUGAGUUGUUUAUAGUUGUAGCUAAAAACUGAAAUAGUUAGGGGGUGUGAAUGGUAAAAACUUAUUAUAAGGAUUAUUUAAGCUACAACUAUAAACAACUCAUUUUGCCUAUAAUUGUUUUUUAUUGCUGCAACUAUAAAAAUAAUAUUAAAAAGAAAUAUAAAGAAAAUAUAAGAGGGAAAGGAAAAGUUAUUAUAAAAGGAAAUAAACCCAAAUUAUCACUUUGUAUUUCAUUUGUAUGUUCCUUAUUUUUAUCAGAUUUCAAAUUAAUGUAUAGUUGUGAUUUUUUUUCUUAACAGGUUUUUUUUCUAUUAAUUUUUAAAGGGGGAGAAAUUUAUUUAUAUAUAUUUUUUAGACUUUCUGAAAAAGAUGUCUCUCAAAAAAUAUGAACGGUAAAAUAAAUAUGGGACCAAAAUUCUCUCAUUAUAAUAGAAAAACUUACCGUUAAUUUUGGGUUUAGAUUAUUUUAUAGGUUUUGAUAUUUGCAUUAAAAUGAUUAAGCAAAAAGAGAUAUACAAGCUUUUAGGAUUAACAUAAAUUCAAAUGUUUGAAUAGAAUUUUGUUUUUGUUAAAGGUGAAUAGAAUUUUCAAAAAGAAGCAUUUCUUUAUUAUAGGAAACCCAAAUAUUUCAAAACACGAUUUGAUGAAACCAAUUCUCCCAUGAUUUAAUGACUUUAUGAUCAAGAACAACCAAACACUUUUUAAAAAUCUACACCAGUAUAAUAACUUACGGAUAUACGGUUGAUUAGACGCAAGAUUAAGAGCAAUCACAACAAUCUUAUAAUAGAUUGCUCGAAUUUAAAUAUUGUAUACUAUUGUACAUUAAGGGAAAAGCAUUAUUACAUAAAAAGCAAAUCAAGUAAGAGAUAGGCUUUUUUAUUUAAAGAGCAAAUUAUGAAAAAGAUAGAUCAACUUUAGAACUUGCGACCAAGAGUGAGCUCAAGGGACAAAGUCUCAUCAUUUUUACCAUCAACAUUGUCCACUUCAUUGUUUUCAGUUUCAUUCGAUCCAAUCUGCCAUAUCCAGUUAUAUACAUUAUUAUAUGUGAAUGAAAUGAUACGUAUCAAAUCUUCAAUAAAAUUUGUGCAAACUUGGUCAUUGAUAAUCAUGUUUGAUGAUUAUAGCAUAAGAAUUUUAAAAAGAGAAAAAACUUAAAAAUUUUAAACAGAGAGAAAACUUACUCUUGAAGAUUGAAACAGAGACUUGCAAGAUAUUUCAAAAAAUCUCUUACUUGAUUAUCCCAUUUCCAUUAUUUUUUCCUGCUUUCUUUUUUCUUCCUUACAAUAUUGAUUAAAAAAUAUACAUUCAAAUUUAAAACAAAAAAAACCUAUAUAUAUGUAUUAACUUUAAUUUAAUAUUAAUUAAGUAUUAUACAAACAUUUUUUGCAUAGAGUUGACAAUUUCUUCAAGACGUUCAUAUUGACGAAGGUGUUGUUGAGUUUGCCUCAAAAUCAUUUCUCUUGUCAGUCUUUCCCUUCGAAUUGCAUCUACCUCUUCUAUCAUAGGACAUUUAAGUGUAUAGAUUUUUAUUUUCUAUAUAAUAUUUACAUAUAAAUUUUUUUUUUAGAAAAAUUCAACAUAUUUGGUCUGAGCAUAUAUUUUUAUUUUAUUUUAUUUCUGAAAAUAUUUUGUUUUAUACAGACACUUAUAGAAAAUGCAAAUUCGUCAUAAAUAUAAUAAUAAAGUAAAUAGAAAUGUAUAUAAGACUUAUUCACCUUUUUUAUACUCAUCAAGCUUGGUGGUCCUAUACAUCUGAUGAAAGCCAAAACAUAAAACUGGUUCAUAUUAAGCCCAACAUAAUAUGAAAAAAAUUGACAAAAUAUAUAUACGCAUAUAUUGAGAAAAAAUGAAGAAAUUAAAUCAUGUAUAUAUAUAUAUAUAUAUGUUACAACCUGGAGAUGGCUCUUUACAUGUGAUAUAGUGAGUCUUUCAAUAUUCAUUAUCUCCAAAAUUCUCUUAGGAGUUGCUUCUGCAUUUACGAUGUUUAAUACAAGUUAAAUUUAUAUUAAACAAAAAUAAUGUUUAGCCCAUAACUAUAGAUCUAGGAUUGUUAUGUAGUUUUUAUAUAUGUUGGCAUCCUAAUUUAUAAUUCCGAUCCCUGAAUUUGACAAAUAUGAAUAUAUCACACUAAACAAAAAAUAGAAAAGAUAAAGAGAAUCGUAUAAUCAAAAAAUUGAAAAGGAUAUUUAUUUGAUGAUAAAUUGAAAAAAAUAGUUGAUGAUACCGGAAGCAAUCUAUUUUAUGAUUUUCCUGAUUUUGUUUUAGAAAAUCAUACAAAACAAGAAGAAAAAUAUUAACUUACGAUGUAUUCCGCCAAGUUGUAGAACCGCAUAAAUAAAGCGAUCGUGAUGAUAGCCACUCCAUUGCAUCCGAUCCAUUUCACGUAUUAUAAGGUCUAACAAUCGUGACUUUAAUCAGAAAAAUUCUCAAUUGGUUUUUAGUUAUAAAAAACUCCGAUCAUGAAUGGUCAAUAUAUAGUAGUUGUAGAAAACAUUUAUGAUAUUAAAAAAUUAAAUAAUAAUUUUCAUAAAUGUAAAGGGUAGAAAAACAUUAAAUGUGCUACUAAACUUGUUAUAGUGCAUAUCUUUUUACUUUCCUUUUUUUUUGGUUUUCUUAAUUAUUUUGUUUCUUAUUUCCAUUAUUUAGAAAAAAAUCUUAUACAACUAUGAAUGAAUUAUUAAAAACUUAUAUACAUAUAUAUAUAUAUAUAUAAGCAUUAUUCAAAUCUUCAGUUAUAUAUGCUAAGUUAAGUAUUUCCAUUAUUUAGAAAAAGUGCCAUACAACUAUGAGUUGGAUCAUCAAGAAAAUAAAAUAUAUGUAAGUAUUAUUCAAAUCAUCUUAGAUAUACUUUGAAAAGGAUCACUGGCAUUAUUUUAAAAAAUUUUAAUAAAAAAAAUCUUAAUAUAAACCCUAAAAACUAAACCCAUAAAAGCUAAGAAAUCAUGUUUCCAAUUCCAAAAGUGAUUUUUUUUUUUUUUGUCGGUCUAUCCUUCUUUUUGUCUUUUUGUUUUUCCUCACUUGAGGGGUUCCCAGCCUUUAUGCGUGUUGUGAUCCUUGGGCAGGUAGGAUGCUGUGUUCUUCCCUCGUAACUAUGCUGUCUUUCUCCGGUUCCCUUUUUCACCUCCGGGUUACAGAUCCGAUUUAGUUGACGUUGCGAUUUAUCUUGCUGGCCGUACCAUCCUUCCUUGGUAUAUCUCGUGCGUAUUUCUCGGUUUGCCUCCAGAGUCUUUCCAUCCUCCACCUGGUUGGGAACUCGAUCAAUCGUAGAUGUUUGCACACUGUGGCCUCCAUCUCGUCCACCCAAGGUUGACCUAACAGCGCUAUGUACCGAGCUGGCGUGCUGACUACUGUUAUGGCGAUUACCCAGGUGUUAUUAAGCGCAGUGACUAUGAGUGCUACCUCUCCUAUCGCUCGAGUCACCCUCCCAUUAUAUUCUAUGAACAUUAUCUUCGCUGGUUUGAGGGACCUUCGAAAUCCCACGAACUCUUUGAAGAUGGCUGCAAGAUGAGAUUAACAGGGCAGGUCUAGUCCACCAGAAUCUGCCUCAUCUGUUUGCCUCCUAUCUCCAACAUCACAUUCAGAGCAGGGUAUUGAGUGAUAAUUCUCAACAGUUCCUCUGCUGCGUUGAAGAACUCCGGCGGGCGAGGCAGUCGCCUUCGAAUUCCAGGCGUUCUAUCGUGACUUUCUUCCUCAGCUUCAUUCGUGUUUUUUUCGACCUGUCCGACCUUGUUGAAGCUCCCUCUUACACGGUCUUGUUUGUUCAACAUUCGCUUCACUUUUCUAGAGAGCAAAAGCCGUAUGGAAGGGUGGCAAACCAGAGCCAGCAUCUCCUCCGUAAAGGCCAAACAUCUCUCAGUCUGAUGCCCCCUGGAUCAGUGGUACUUGCACAAAUGUUCAUAGAGCGGGGUAAUGAGUGAUAAUUCUCGACACUUUUUCUGCUGCGUUGAAGAACUCCGGCAGGCGAGCCAGUUGCCUUCGAAUUCCAAGCAUUCUACCGUGACUUUCUUCCUCAGCUUCAUUCGUGUGUCUUUCGACCUGUCCGACCUUGUUGAAGCUCCCUAUUACACAGUCUUGUGUGUUCAACAUUCGCUUCACUUUCCUAGAGGGCAGAAGUCGUACGGAAGGGUGGCGAACCAGAGCCAGCAUCUCCUCCGUAAAGGCCAAACAGCUCUCAGUCUGAUGCCCCUUGGAUCAGCGGUACUUGCACCAUAGUUUUCUGUAUUUCCGUUCCUCUGAGGCGGGCUUAUCUUCUCCAUCUCGAUCCUGUAUGGUGUGAGAAUAUUUUACCCAUACUUCUUCCUCCAAUCACCUCUGGUCGCACCAUCUGGGGAUGGCAGUGGAACAUGCUACAAGGGGGUUUACCUCCGCCUCCUCUCCGUGGUCUUCGGUUAUCUCCCAGUCGUUGUCGCCUGCCCCUCCCUUGGCGUUCUGCCUUUGGUCAGGAUACUUUGAGCCGAUGGGUAUGUAAGGUUCAUUCUCUUUAAACUCGAUCAUACCCACCUAGCACUUGAAGUUUUUCGCUUUGGCUUUGACGGUAUUUGGUUUGCUGCCAAUCACUGUCUGGGUCUUUCCCAUUUGAAUUCAUAGGUUGUUGCCCCUAGAUCUGUGUUCUUGGUGCUUUGAUAACACCGGAUUUUGACAAUUUUUAUGGAUCACUUUAAUGUCUUUUACAAGUGUUUUUACUCCAUUUUCAAAGGUUUUCAAUGGAUUUCUAUGUUUUCAGAUUUUAAAAGACUUUUCAGGUAAUUUGGGAUAAAAAGGCACAAAUUGGAACAAAAAAACUCUUUUCGAUAAAUGCAGACCGUCAGAACUCUCAUGGAGAGACGAACACCUUCUCACCGUCUGAUCACCCUCAAAAGUGGAAAACUUAUAGAAAAAUCAACCAGCUUUCAAAUGCACUUGGUUUGGAGACAUUCCAACGGUUGGAUCUCAAGAUAUUCCAUUAGCCCCGGAGCCACUCGAAGACGGCCAGCAAGUCACACGACCGCGGCCAACAGCCCAUUUCCCGUGAUCACAAUCCUCCCGACCGCGGCCAGCCACCUAUUUCCCGCGGUCACGUCACUCUCGACCGAGGCCGGCCAACUCCGAACUAAAGCCCAUAUUUCUGAAGCCCAAAGUCACUCUCAUCCUCAAUUCCGGAACCCUAGAGACCAUGGAGUAUUGAAGACUAUAAAUACUUGUCAUUUAGGUCGUUUUUAGACACCACCCUUCAUACUUUACAGAAACCCUUUUCCUUUAGCCGUUUUUAUGCGAUUUUUGUAGAAGAUUGUUCAAGUCCGAGUUCUUCAAUAGAGAAGCUUUCUUCAUCUCUUUUCUUUACUGUUUUUGAUUACUUUUAUUAAAACCAAUGAUGAUGUCGACCUCAGCCAUGUCUGAGUAGAUCCCGAGUUGGGCUUAGGGUUCCCAAAAAGGGCUCUCAUAAUCGAUUAAGACAUCUAGGUUUAUAGAUCUGGGAUUUCAACUUUGUUCUCUGUUUAUUCUUGUUUUAUUGCAUGUAUGCUUGAUUGAUCACCUAGUAUCUGAUCUAGAUAGUUAGUGUUGUGAAAGUUUUCAUUAAGUAUCUGCCCUAGAAUGAAACAGGCGAUUUUUUCCGUAGGAGUGGAAACCUACCUGCGGCGAGAUCGUGAGUAUUGACGAGUCUUGUGCAGCUCUUGCGUUCUCUCCCUUCCAGGGCCAGAGUGGAAACCUACUGGUCAGGGUUGCGAGAAACAGUUGGUUAUGAUCACGACAAUGACGUAGUCAUACUGCCGUACUCUAGCUCUAGAACCCUAUAUAUCGAUAUCUGUCAAUCCCAAUCUAUCUACCUUAGUGUUAAAACUGAUUAUGAUCCCUUAGAGUUCCCAAAAGCUCAGCGUUUUUAGCCAUAGUUUACAAACCAAUCGAUUUUUACUUGCUUAUUUAGAUCUGCAUUUCAAUUGCCUUAGUUCGAUAUUUUAUUUGCUUUACUUGCUUUCCAUUCGAUUUUUCUACUUGCUAUUCUAGGAUAGAUUUAUUUGCUUUCUUUAAGUUUUGGUUUAAUUCGUGAUAAACAACCAACCUUUAAAACAAAUCUAGUCUAGACAUAAAGUUAAAAACCGUAGAAGAAUACCAGGCACACAAAUCUCUGUGGAUUCGAUCCCUAAAUACUACAACUGAUUAGCUGUGCACUUGCGGCUUUCAUUUGUUUUUGUUAAGGGUAAAACUUGUUCCCUCACGCAGUUGACACGCAUCAAGUUUUUGGCGCUGUUGCCGGGGAUUUGUUUCGCUGCCUUUUGCUAUUUUUCUUGUUUUAACUUCUGUUCUAGACACCUGAUCUCUAGUUCUUUCUUAAAGUUUUGCUGAAUUAUAUUUCCCUUCUUUUGUUUUUCUCUGAAUUGCAUGAAUACCAGGCGCAGACCUGUAGAAAACAUUCAAUUCUAGACGAGAUAGACAGACACGAAAGAGAACUUCGAAGACUUAGACGAACGCAAGGAAUAGCCAACGACGACCAGCCUGGAGAUCCUAUUAACCGAGCUUUAAAUAUGGACCAAGAGGGGUCCGAACAUGGAGAAAAUGAAGAGAAUGAUCACAGAGGAGGUGAUCAUGCUCGACAAGAUGGAGAGGAGGAUGAGGUUCCUUCGAGAAACCACCAGAACCGCGAGAGAGAAGAACGUGAAGACCUUGAUGCACCCAUCAAUGCAGCCAAUGGUGACCACCAAGGAAUGCAACCGAAUGGGCGCGCUAACUGCCCUGUGCAGCCAGCAAACCAACACCGAAGACAAGCCAGGAACCAUCGCAUAGCCGAUUUUGAUGCACCUACUCAAAAUUUUCAGAACCGAUCUGCAAUUCAAGUUCCAUUUCCGAACCGGAAUGAGUUUGAAGUCAAGCCUCAAAUCAUCUCAUUGGUGAAACAAAACCAAUUCCAUGGAGUUCGUUCUAAACACCCAAUGGACCAUAUCGAGCUCUUUGAAGAAAUCUGCAGCAUGAUGAGAACAAACCAAGUUCCAGCAGACUAUUUAAAGUGUAAGUUGUUCCCUUUUUCAUUAGCAGACAAAGCUCACCGUUGGUUGAAAUCUUUGCCUGCAGGAUCGAUUACUAAUUGGGAAGAGUGUAAAACUGCUUUCCUGAAUCACUUCUAUACUAAGUCAAGGUCAAAAUUGUUGACAACAAAGAUCUCAAGCUUUCAGCAAGGACCGACUGAAACUUUCUAUGAAGCCUAGGAACGUUUUAAGGAGUAUGAACAUGAUUUCCCUCACCAUAGAUUUCCUGGAUCAAGCCUGCUGAGCACAUUUUACCGAGGUUUGCAACCAAAAUACAAACUUUCACUUGAUACAGCUAGCAAUGGAGAUUUUGGACAAAAGACGAUAGCCCAAGGAAGAGCCCUCAUCGAAAAUUUGGCUCAAGCCAAUAGCAAUGAUUGUCCUGAAUAUGAUCGCUCGACGAAGCAAACCGGAACAGACAACAAGAAGAUAGCCGAGUUGAAGAACAUGAUGAGCCAGCUUCUGAAGAGUAACAAUCGCCCAAUCCAUGCUUGUGAGACCAACAAUGGCGCAGAAGAUGAAGGACCUAGUGAUAUCGAUCACAUUAAUCAAGCCUUUCAAGAAGAAGAGGUGAACUAUGUAGGAGCACUAGUACCAUAUAAAAUCCCUUCAACAAUGGUUUCAACAACAACUUCCGGAAUGCAAAUUACAACAAUCUCUCUUACCGCAAUCUAAAUGUGGAGAAUCCUCAAGAUCAGUACUACCCACCACAGCAAAAAUCCUUCCAAAACAAGUUCCAAGGUGGAAACUUUGGAGGGAAAGGAGCUUAUCAACUGCGACAGCCAUAUAACUACCAAGGUACGGGUUUUAACAAUCAAUUUGUACAACAGCAGGGAGUCACGACGAACCAGCUAGCUUCACAAAUCGGUAGACUUGAACAGUCCAUCCAACAGCUCGUUAUAACGAACGAAAAAGAAUCUAAAGACGUGAACGUGAAGGUUGACUGCAUGUACAACGACCUGAACGGGAAGUUUGAAGCUUUAUCUUUGCACGUCAAAAAGCUAGACGUACAAGUUGCCCAAACAGCCGACUCUAUGAAGAGGCAAAGUGGAGUUCUUCCAGGAAGAGUUGAAGAUAACCCUAAGAGGUUUUGCAAUGCUAUAACCACAUUGCCCGAAGAAGAGGCCAGAACCGAUGGAAAGAAAGAAGAAACCCCAAUCUUUGUACCUCUUUACAAGGAUGUCGAUGCCAAGCAGCCAUCAUUUAAGGUACCUCAACAAUCACCGUUUCAAAGGCUUACAAAAGCCGACGAUCCGGGACGUUUUGUUUUCCAAUGUUUCAUUUCAGGAAUCAGUUUUACAGACUGCCUGUGCGAUUUCAGAGCCAAUGUCAACAUCAUGUCAAAGACAUUUGCCAAAAAAUUGGGCAUAAAAACCUUAAAGACAUCGACGGUUAAGGUUAUCUUUGGAGAUUCAUCUCAAAAGGAUACUGAAGGGGCGAUUCAUGAUCUACAAGUUCUAGUGAGAGACAAGAUUGUUCCAGCAGACUUCCAAGUCCUGGAGAUCGAUAAAGACAAGGAGAGGCCACUCAUUUUCGGGAGACCAUUCCUAGCUACCGUAGGAGCAGUAAUCGAUCAUGCAAACCGGCAUGCUGUUUUCCUCAAUGUAGAUCGCAGAAGGUUUUACCCGACUAUCCUGGAUGAUUUUCCAAGCAAAGGAAACCGGCCAAAAGAGAAAGAAAAGGAGAAGCCGAAAGCUUUUGCAAAAAUCAAGAUCAUCAUUCCACCGGAUGCAACAGAAACUAGUGAGGACCAAAUCCAGGAGCUGAUCGAAAACACAAAAAGGGUUUUAAACAAUGUUAAAGUCCGAAAGAAGAGUAAAGGAAAGAAGACGGCUCCUCAAGGAGAAGAAGUAAAACCUCCAGCGACCAGAAGUGAUAAAGGCACAUCAAGUGGAGUGCCAUUCAAAUCAGCCUGAUUCUUCAUGCCUACGUCGAGCUAAACGACUUAAAACAAAAGCGCUUAAUGGGAGGCAACCCAUUUACGUACUCUUUCUUUUAGUUUUCUUUUCCUUUUUACAAUUUAUGUUUUCUUUUCCUUUUAAGUUUCAGAUAUUUUAUAAAACAAAAACACUAAAAUAUCAGAAAAUUAGAAAAAUCAAGAAGAAAAGGGUAGGUUUUUAGCUGCUCGGCCCGGCAAAGACCAGAAAGUUGGACAAAGGCCGCAGGAGAAAGAGCUGCGGUCGCGACCAACCGACCCGCGGCCAAGGGAGCAUCGACCGCGGCACCGUGAAUGUGACCGCGGCCGAGCCCUUAAUCGCCGCGGUCGCGCGUCUCCUGACCGCGGCCGUUGGUCGUUGAGACGAAAAUGCGGAUUUCCACCGCUUUUCGAAAGUUCCCGGAGUUUCCCGAUGAUUUCUGGAGUAUUCCCGGUAAAGCCCGUUAAGAUUUUUCGUAAGUUUUAAACCUUCCUUGCUUGCAAGACAAGAAAGGUAAGUUCCCGUAAACUUAAAAAUUCCCGAAAAUUUUCCGUUUUUGCUACAAAAACGCUUUUUAAAGAAAGGAAAUGCACUUUUUGGAUCAAAACUCCUUCUUCUCUUCUCUUCCAAAAGACUUGGAGAUUUAGGAGAUAAAACACCUUUUUCAAUUCUUAAGCUUUUUAAGAGAUUCUUGGCUCAAACCUCACUUUUUUUCAAAGCUGAUUUCAAUUCUGUCAUCAAAUCUCUCUUUCCAGCAAGGUAUGAAGCUCAAACUCGCCAUUUUUACUUGAUUUGAGAACUUAGGGUUUUCUUAAAAAGCCCAAAUCCUGGUUUAUUGAUGGCGGAAAUAGCUUAAGAACAGUAGAUUUUCCUUUUAGGUUAUCUAAAAAUCGAUUUAACACCUAGCUAAAGAGGAAUUGAGAUUUUUGAAAUUUGGAUUCUACAUGCUUUAUAAAAAUCGAGUUUGGAACAGAAAAAUGGAUGAAUCUGAUUAAGUCUUGUGUGAUUAGUGAUUAGUAUUAGGUAACCUAUAGAUUUGACAUGGAAAUUGCUCAUUAAAACCGAUUUCUAAAAGAUUUCUAUGUUGAGAACCUCAAAAAUCCGAAUCUAGUCACGAACUACUCGCUUUCUUUGAUUUAAUAUCAAUUCUGCUUGCUCAUGGUUUUAAUUAGACGUACAAGUUGCCCAAACAACUGAAUCUAGUCAUGGAUUGAUGCACUAUCUUUGGUCCUAGUUUAGGAGUUCAUGUCUAUGAGAUUUGUGCAUUCCCUAUUUUUUGUUUUCACUUAACCAGUUUAGGCUUUUGCUUUGUUUGAGGACAAACAAAGGUUUAAGUCUGAGGGAGUUGAUAACACCGUAUUUUGACCACUUUUAUGGAUCGUUGUGAAAUACUUUUUCAAUGUUUUUAAUUGCAUUUACGUACUUUUAUUACGUUUUUCUAGUAUUUGUAGUUCCUCUUUUUCAGGUACUUAGGAAAAAAAGNNNNNNNNNNNNNNNNNNNNNNNNNNNNNNNNNNNNNNNNNNNNNNNNNNNNNNNNNNNNNNNNNNNNNNNNNNNNNNNNNNNNNNNNNNNNNNNNNNNNGUAGUACUUAGGGAUCGAUCCACAGGGAAGAGGAUCUUUUUCCUGCAAAAAGCCUUUGAAUAAGUUAAAGUAAGGGAAGUCUAGAACAAAAACGGUUUAGUGGGGGUUUGGUAGUGUGUUUAAAAUCUAAAACGAAAUCUUAAAAGAGAAUACGGAAAUUAAAUGGCGUAAUAACUAAACUUCACGAAAAGGACUAAAAAUGAUAAAAACGAAUAUUCUAAUGCUUAAAUGAAAAUGAACUAAAAAGGAAAGACAAUAUUGAAUUAAAGCUUAAAGAAAAUCGGUGUAAAACAAUGGAAAAGAAAGCGUUGGGCUUCAAGGAUGUUUUCUCAGGGGUACGAACGAUUCAAAACAUUGCUAGAGAGGAAAUUUGAUAAGAUCUUAGCUUAAACUUUUCGAACUGGAGUCACGGACGUAUGAAUACGCCACUGUCGUGAUCAUAGACAACUAUCUCUCUCAACCCUGACCAGUAGGUUUCCACUCUGGCCCUGGAAGAGAAGAGAUGCAUUAUGUUUAAGACUCGUCCUAAUUCACAAAUCGCCCAUAGGUAGGUUUCCACUCCUAUGUUUGUUUUGCUCUCCCAAACUAGAUCUGAUACCUGAUGAACACUUUCGUGUCACCAAGCAUCUGGAUCAGAUUGUAGUUCAUGACGCUACUCUCAUGCAGUAAAAACGAAUUCAGAAGAAAAAGUUCUAAGAUUCAGCUCAAUAGCUAAUGGAAUCCUCACCGAACAUAUAAAUCCCCAUCAAAAAUCCCUUAAUCCCAACAAUAAAACUACUCAGACAUAAUGAACGAAAUCAAAGACAUAAUAUUAAGAAGUAGAAUAGAAACCGAAAUUGAAAAAGAAAGAACAAGAGUUCAAGAGAACAAAUCUCUCUCUCCCUAAAAGCUAAAGCAAAAACAAUAAGAAUAUGAAGUAAAUAUUUCGGUGGUGAUAGGUUACACGAUUUAGGGUUCCUAAGACAUGUAUUUAUAGUGCUCAAGACCUCUCUGGACGUCACUUAGGGUUUCUCCAAAUGUGGGCUUCAGAAAUGGGCUUUUUGGGCUCAGAGGUUGAAGGCCGCGGUCGGGACAAGUGUGACCGCGGUGGAUGAGUGGUUUGCUGCGGUCGGGAUGCUCCUGACCGCGGGAAAAUGCUUGUUGGNNNNNNNNNNNNNNNNNNNNNNNNNNNNNNNNNNNNNNNNNNNNNNNNNNNNNNNNNNNNNNNNNNNNNNNNNNNNNNNNNNNNNNNNNNNNNNNNNNNNUAAGUUACCUGAAAAGAGUCUUGGAACUACAAAUACUAGAAAAACGUGAUAAAAGUACUUAAAAGCAAUUAAAAACAUAGAAAAAGUAUUUCAAAACGAUCCGUAAAAGUGGUCAAAAUACGGUGUUAUCAUCAAUCCACCUCCAAAGACCGGAAGAGUGCAGCCACUACACCAACAAAAUCAGCAAAGAAAAGCUCGACGAAUUCAAUGAUGUGGUUCGAAUUUUGCCUGAAGGAAUCACGUUUGCCAGAGCUUGCAAGGACUUCAUGAUAGGCCACUACUUCUGUGAGAGCAAAGAAUCAAUCCCUGAGAUAGAAGACUUGUUAAAUCAUGUCAGAAGAGGUAAACCUGUUCGAACACUUCACAAAAUCGAAGUUGUAGGUCAGUUUCUUAUCUAUUGUUUUAUUAGAGGAGAAAUGCUUAAAAACGUGCUAUGUGAUUCUGGAGCUUGUCUUAACAUGAUGUCCAAGGCAAUUGCUUUGAGAUUUGGUAUUAAACACCUGUGCAGGCCUAGAGCAAAUAUUAGCCUAGCUGAUGAUUCUAAUGCAACACCUCAAGGAAUAGCUCAUGAAAUUCCUUUGAGAAUAGGAGAUUGCAUAGUGCCUGUCGACUUCUACAUUGUCGAAACGAGAGAUGCAACAUAUCCAGUGAUUCUGGGAUGGUCUUUCCUAGCAACUUCCGGAGCUAUAAUGGACUGGCCAAACCGGAGGAUUUCAUUUGCUAAUAUCGACAAAGAUGUCUUCACACAAGCUGUCCCAUACAACAGCAAAGCAGGAAAACGUUCUGCAGCAGAAGAGUUUGAAGAAGAACUUUGGAGUGACGAAGAACCUGCUAAGCAAAGCAAGGAGAUGUCAAAAAAGACUUGUCUCAGGAGAAGGUCUUCUUCAUUGGAAUAAGUCACGUCCAAUACCAAAAGUCGAGCUAAACGACUUAAAAUAGAAGCGCUUAAUGGGAGGCAACCCAUUUAGGUAUUGUUUUCUUUAGGAUUUUUCUUUCUUUUUCUUUUGAUCUUUUUCUUUUUCUUAGUUUCAGGUGUUUCUUAUAAAACAAAAAAAGCCAAAAAAAAAUCAAAAAACCUGAAAAAACCAAAAAGAAGGAUGGUACCUGACUGCUCGGCCCAGCAGGAACCAAGGAGAAGCAGGAAGACGCCGCAAUAUAAGCCCCCGCGGUCGCAGACGUUCUGACCGCGGGAAACCUACCAUCGACCGCGGUCGCGUAGUCCUGACCACGGCCAAGUGCUUGAUCGCCGCGGUCGUGCAGCCCCUGACCGCGACACUUGGUCGUUGAGAUCCAAACCCGACCCAAACCACCCCUUUCACCUCAUUUCACCUCACCAAUCCCCAAUCCACCUCAUUCAUCACCCUCCACCACCUUCAUCACCACCUAAUCACCUUCCCAAACCCCUUCGAAUGAAUCCAGUUCAUCUCCACCAGCAUCCCGGAUCUAGGUAAGUUCUCUUUGUCCUUACCAGUUCGAUUAUCUAUGCAUUUUUCUCAUCCAAUCUCGACUUUUUUCACACUGAGGACAGUGUGAUUUAAGUCUGGGGGAGGAUUUCAUCCCUUUCUAACCACCUUUCUUUCAUGAGUCUUGCAUUAUCUACACUUUUUGCAUUUUCCUUAAAGUUUUUCAAAAUCGGUUUUCAAAACAAAAUACGUUUUAAAGGGAAUGGUGAACAUGAAUCAAUGAUAGUUGACUGUGUGCUUUAGACUGUUCCUAGUGACUUGCUCAUUCACGAUUUUGGACUAGACUAGGCGGUAGCUAAGCACAUUUGAAACGAAGUACCCCAGAGGAAUUUGAAUGAUUUCGAUUUAGAUGAAGGGAUACACUAGCUCUGUUUUAUUUGGACUUAAUUUGGACUUAAUUUUCUCAUUGAAGCAUUAGACCAGGGAAACAAAUCAUACAUUCAGGACUCCUUUAUCCUUUUACCACUCUCUGUUGAUCCUGAAUGGCUAGUUCAUCUUUAGCUAGUUCCCCACCUUAACCAAUCCUCUUUCAAACCACAUGCACUCUUGUUUUCUAUUGUCUUAUAUGCAGAUAAGUGCAAAAACGUUGGAGAGAAAGAGGAACGACGCAGUUUGCAGUCACCAAGGACAGAGACCUGCGAUUUGCCGGAAAAAUUCCCGGAAGGAUUCAACACAAGAGGAAGCUCAGUUUGCCUUAGAAAAAUCUCAAAUUUUGGUACAAUCUCGUCCUCUAGUCUCUCUCUCUUUAAAAGGCAUUUCCUUUCGUUCAAAAAAAAAAAAAAAAAAAAACAAAAACAAAAUCCGAAAAUAAGAAAAGAAAGGAAAUAAAAGCCUUAGAGAGUCUAGAGAGGUCGAAUUUUAAGUCCCAAGGCAACUGGAGUUUGAUUUUAUGGAGUUUUUGAGAUUGUUUUCUGAUUCCCGGAAAGAAUCUAAGUCUGGGGGAACAGCUGUUUACAACAAAGGAGGAAGGAUUAUGCAACAACAUUUGGCAAGAAGAAGUGAUUGAAAACUGUGGUCAUCAACAGGUCCUUAUCUCUCUUGCGAUUUUGCAUAUUAUCUUACAUCCUCCAGAUCUUCAGGUAACCCGAAACACUUUAACUCCACCACUUAAAUAGCCCUUUAAUGCCAAACGCCGUCUACCCUGGAUGAUGUCUUUAAUGAGAACUCACUAUUGAACUUAAUGAAUGUAGAGAGCUAGUUGACUGAAAUCAAGAUUUAAAUUAUUUAAGUUUUGCAUGAGGGAAAAAGUGGACUAGAAUCUCUUGUGCUUUGGUGAGAAUUUUCUAGACUAAGUUGUGGAUUGAUGCACUAUCUUUGGUCCUAGUUUAGGAGUUCAUGUCUAUGAGAUUUGUGCAUUCCCUAUUUUUUGUUUUCACUUAACCAGUUUAGGCUUUUACUUUGUUUGAGGACAAACAAAGGUUUAAGUCUGAGGGAGUUGAUAACACCGUAUUUUGACCACUUUUAUGGAUCGUUUUGAAAUACUUUUUCAAUGUUUUUAUUUGCUUUUAAGUACUUUUAUUACGUUUUUCUAGUAUUUGUAGUUCCAAGACUCUUUUCAGGUAACUUAGGGAAAAGCUUAACAAAAUGGAUAGAAAACCAGAUUUCAGCUCAGAGUCAAACCGUCAGAAGUUCACCCAUGAUUGAAGGCCUUCUCACCAUUUGAUCCAGCUCAAAUUUGGAGACCUUAAAGAUGGAAGUAUCAGCUUUCCAGUGCACUUUACAGCUUGGCAAUCCAACGGUUCAAUCAAAAGAUACGCGCAGAGCAAGAUGUCCCGUAAACCAGCCGGCAAGCACUUCCACCCGCGGCCAACAAGCAUUUUCCCACGGUCAGGAGCAUCCCGACCGCGGCAAACCAUACAUUCCCCAUGGUCAGAGCACUCCCGACCGCGGCUAGCCAACUCCGAGACCAAAAGCCCAUUUCUGAAGCCCACAUUUGGAGAAACCCUAAGUGACGUCCAGAGAGGUCUUCAGCACUAUAAAUACAUGUCUUAGGAGCCCUAGAAAUCGUGCAACCUUAGAGAACCGAAUACCAUCUAUCAUUACUUCAUACUUUUAUUGUUUUUGCUUUAGCUUUUAGGGAGAGGGAGAUUUGUUCUCUUGAACCCUUGUUCUUUCUUUCAAUUUCGGUUUCCAUUCUACUUCUUAAUAUUAUGUCUUUAAUUUCGUUCAUUAUGUCUGAGUAGUUUUAUUGUUGGGAUUAAGAGAUUUUCGAUGGGGAUACAUAUGUUCGAUGAGGAUUCUAUUGGCUAUUGAGCCGAAUCUUAGAACUUUUUCUUCUGAAUUUGUUUUUACUGCAUGAGAGUAGCGUCAUGAACUACAAUCUGAUUCAGAUGCUUGGUGACACGAAAGUGUUCAUCAGGUAUCAGAUCUAGUUUGGGAGAGCAAAACAAACAUAGGAAUGGAAACCUACCUAUGGGCGAUUUGUGAAUUAGGACGAGUCUUAAACAUAAUGCAUCUCUUCUCUUCCAGAGCCAGAGUGGAAACCUACUGGUCAGGGUUGAGAGAGAUAGUUGUCUAUGAUCACGACAGUGGCGUAUUCAUACGUCCGUGACUCCAGUUCGAAAAGUUUAAGCUAAGAUCUUACCAAAUUUCCUCUCUAGCAAUGUUUUGAAUCGUUCGUACCCCUGAGAAAACUUCCCUGAACCCCAACGCUUUCUUCCUUAUUGUUUUACACCGAUUUUCUUUAAAGUUUUAGUUCAAUAUUGUCUUUCCUUUUUAGUUCAUUUUCAUUUAAGCAUUCGAAUAUCCGUUUUUAUUAUUUUUAGUCAUUUUCGUUAAGUUUAGUUAUUACGCCAUUUAAUUCUCGUAUUCUCUUUUAAUAUUUCGUUUUUACAUUUUAAACACACUACCAAACCCCCACUAAACCGUUUUUGUUCUAGACUUCCUUACUUUAACUUAUUUCAAAGGCUUUUUGCAGGAAAAUAUCCUCCUUCCCUGUGGAUUCGAUCCCUAAGUACUACAAUUGAUCAGCUGUGCACUUGCGGCUAUUGAUUUCAAUUAAGGUAAAACUUGACAACCCUCGACACACCACACAUCAAGUCACCACCAACCAUCAACAAACUCUUAGCACACAAUAUUUUCUAUAGAGCCAACAUGGGAUGUGUUUUGAAGACCUAGCUCAUUACACUUCAGAUGCCAUUUAUGGACGACCCACGACUUGCCUGCUUUGCCUGGAUCAUAGCACAGAACAUGGUAAAGGUGAAGCAUGAUUUACAUGGUUGCGAGGACGCUACUCCAGCUUACGGGAGUGCUAUUACAGCGAUACUACAGGCUGUAGGAUUCGAUUUUUCAUCUGAUGAUCCACUUCCCGAUGUCUGGUAUGACCUACUUGAUCUCUCUCGCGAUCACACUAUCUCUCGUGCCGCUUUCGAUCCAGACAGGUUUGGUUACAAGUAUUGCACUGGCACUGAGGAGCACCGAGUCUGCUUGCCUUCAGCAUCAGUCCCGAGAUUGUGUAACAGAGGACGUCCGCGAUGGACUCCGGAACCCGAUGAGUUCUUGCCAUCUGUACCUCGUCUACCAUUCACCAUUGGCCAAUACAUAGUGGCCAAGGCAAAGCGUGAUGCAGCUGCGGCCCGUGCUCAUUUUCAUCCAUCUGUUUCGACCGGCCACAUCUCAUCAUCGACAUCAUCGCACACACAUUCUGAUCUGGAGCGCAGAGUUGAGAGACAGGGACGACGCUUUGAGCGCGUUGUCACUUUCCUACAGGAGCAGCACGAGUUCGAAGCAGACACAUUGGAGGAUGAGUGAUUGAUCAGCACUUCAUUGCCAUCACGGUUCUAUCAUCAUUUUCUUUUCUUUUAUCUUAUUUUAUUUCGCUUUUAUUCACCAUUUUCUCACCAACUUUUCACACUGGGAACAGUGUAAUUUAAGACAAGGGGAAGAUGUCUAUCCGUACUAAUCAUUUUCUUGCUUUUGCUUUCAAAUUUCAAGCAUUUUUAAAUUUUAAUAUGUAACAUAUUCGACAUUAAGUAUUUUUCAGGAAUGUUUGACACAAAACUAUGAUGAUUUAGACCUGCACACUUCUACACUAUGCAUGAUAGCUCAUUUGUGGUUAGCACUAGACUAGGUAGUAGCUAGAGUACUUGCACUACGAACUCCCACUAGAGGACUUCUAUUCAUGGAGAUUCUUUCUGACAGGAUAUACUAGCUCAUUUUACAACCAAAUCAAUGUUAAUUUUUGAUUGAAAGUUCAAAUGAAAGAUAGGAUUUUACCAGCUUUGAUCAUAUACAAUAAAUUUUAGAUCUAGACUUCUCAAUAAGCAGAUCCGGUAAUAGUGAUUUGAUAUUGUUGGGGAAAUAUUAUUUUCGAAGAGUAAAUUUCGAAGAUGAAAGUGAAAAAAAAAUACAAUAUAGACAUACAAAAUAGAGACGAAGAGAAGAAAUGAUAAAUGAGAAAGGAGAAUGGGGAAAAGAGAAAAGAGAAAGAGAAAGAGAAAGAGAAAGAGAGAUGAUAUGCUAGCCAUAUAGAUUAAUAGGAGUGAAAGUGUAUUAAAAAAAUUGUACAGUGUCAUUUUUUAAGCUUGGUCAUCUCUGCGAAUUGUGUUGAUGGGGUGGUCAUUUCUUAUAAUAAUUAUUAAAAAAUCAUUCAAUUUUUAAUUUUACCUGUCAUUAAUCUGCUGAUUAUUAUGUUCACAGUAAUUAUUUAGCUAAAGAAAUAAGAUAUAAGUGGAAUUUUUUUCAAAUAUUUGCACUCGAAUGUAAAAAUGACUUAUAUUUUAAAAACAAAAAAUUGAUCUUAAAACGAUUUAUAUUUUGAAACGAAGGAAGUAAUAUUCAUUAUAUCUCAGUAAAUGGACUUUUUUUUUUCUCUAAAUUAAAAUAUCAUCAUAAUUUCAUUUAACUAAUAAUAAACAAACUGCAAAGAUAUGUUUUCACAAAAAUUAUUUAAUUCUAUCUAAUAUAAAAGGAGAAGGGGGGCUCUCCAGCGUCGACAUGUCAACUCCAUAAUUGGUCCAUUUAAGUUUGUUUUUUCACAUCAGUAUUUAAUAUAAAAAUAAUCAAAUCUAAAAAUAAUCAAGUAUUGCACUGGCACUGAGGAGCACCGAGUCAGCUUGCCUUCACCAUCAGUCCCGAAAUUGUGUAACGGAGGACGUCCGCGAUGGACUCCGGAACCCGAUGAUUUUCUGCCAAAUGUACCUCGUCUACCAUUCACCAUUGGCCAAUACAUAGUGGCCAAGGCAAAGCGUGAUGCAGCUGCGGCCCGUGCUCAUUUUCAGCCAUCUGUUUCGAGCGGCCACACCUCAUCAUCGACAUCAUCGCACACACAUUCUGAUCUGGAGCGCAGAGUUGAGAGACAGGGAAGACGCUUUGAGCGCGUUGUCACUUUCCUACAGGAGCAGCACUAGUUCGCAGCAGACACAUUGGAGGAUGAGUGAUUGAUCAGCACUUCACUGUCAUCACGGUUCUAUCAUCAUUUUCUUUUCUUUUAUCUUAUUUUAUUUCGCUUUUAUUCACCAUUUUCUCACCAACUUUUUCACACUGGGGACAGUGUGAUUUAAGUCUGGGGGAGGAUGUCUCUCCGUACUAAUCAUUUUCUUGCUUUCGCUUUCAAAUUUCAAGCACUUUUUAAAUUUUAAUAUGUAACCUAUUCGAAAUUAAGUAUUUUUCAGGAAUGUUUGACACAAAACUAUGAUGAUUUAGAUCUGCACGCUUCUACACUAUGCAUGAUAGCUCAUUUGUGGUUAGCACUAGACUAGGCGGUAGCUAGAGUACUUGCACUACGAACUCCCACCAGAGGACUUCUAUUCAUGGAUAUUCUUUCUGACAGGAUAUACUAGCUCAUUUUAUUUGACCUUAAUAUUGAUAUCUAAUUUUCUUAUCAUUGAUUUUAGGCAGGCAUCGACAUACACAUCUAGGACGUCUUUUACCCUCACUUUUACCACUCUUUGUCGUCCUAGAUGACCAGUUUAUCUUUAUCUGGUACCAUAACCAAACACUUGCUUUCAAUCCUCAUGCAUUCUCUCUUUAGUUUAUAUCAGCAGAUAUGUGCAAAAACGUCGGAGAGAAGAGGAGCGACGCAGUUUUCAGUCACUCACAAAGGAGACUGAAUGGAAUUGGGAAGGAAGAGUAUCAGAAACCUUAUGAAGCUUUACAAGACAGAUAUAAACUGGUAAUUUCGUGCUCUCUAAGACUCUAUAUCUAAAGGUGUUCCCUCUCUUCUAAAAAAAAAAAAAAAAAAACCAAUGAAAAGAGAGAGAGGGAAACAAAACGCCUAAUGAGUCCUAGAUUGUCGAAAUUUGUGAAGCAAGAAGCAAUUACUAAACAUUUAUAGAGCUAUGUUUUUGAAAGAUUUACAAAAAUCUAAGUCUGGGGAAGUUAGGAGAGAACCUGAGGAAGAAGACCAGUAAUCUAUGGCAAGAAGAAAGUGACUGAAAACUGUGGAUACCAACAGCUUCACUCUCUCUUGUGGUUUUGCAUAAUAUCUUGCAUUCUCCAGAUCUUCAGGUAACCCGUAAACACUUUAAGCCUUACCCCUAGAAUAACCCUUUUGACACCUAGCCUAGAUUGCCUUGCCUAGACUUUCUUUGAUGAGAACCACCGAGAUUUUUAAUGAAUGUUAAGAGCUAGUUGACUGGAAGUUAGAUCUUAGUGAAUAGAUUUCUGCAUGACGGAUCAACGGACUAGUUAUGCAUGUAUUGCUAGUGAGAAUUUUCUAGGCUAUUCCCGAUUGAUGCAUACUGAUUGAUAGAGAUGUCAAACGGGUCAAUCCGCGUCCAAAUAACCCAAACCGAUGCGGGUUUAAUUUUUUUUUGGGUCUGGCGGGCUGACCCAUCAUAAGCUGUGGUCCCAAAUUGAUGUGUCCAAGUCCGACCCGCCUAUAUUCUGCGGUUUUGCGGGCUGGCCUGCGGAUUCAUACUUUCUUCUUCAUCUUAAAGUUUUUAUGAAAUUUAGAUUUAUAAUACCAGAAAAUCUGCAAGAGGAGAAUAAAUCACAAUAUGCAUAAGAAACAAAACUAAAGAAAAUUCUUGUCUAAGUAAAUUCGAUGAACAAACAAAUGAAUUCGAUAAACUUCUUAUACAAAACUCCUAACCCAAGGAUACCAUAAGAUUUGAAAAAUCAAUUUAACUGUAAAAAUAGACACUUAGUUUUGAAAAGCAAAUAAAUGAAUUACAAAUAAUGAUACACAUAAAAACUGGUAAUUUAAGCUAAAUAACCAUCAAGAUACAAGCAACAAGACAUUCACAUAUAUAAAAAAAAAAGAUGAACAAAGCUUAUUUGUUAGUCCAGCAUACAAACAAAUGUGAUUUUCAAGCAAAACUAUUUAUUGUCAAUUCAAGAUUUAAGAGAUUCUAAAUUACCUUUGUAUCGCUGCGGACAAAAUAAAAAACCACGUCCGUGAUAUAGUCGAUGAGCAAAACCAACAAAAAAAACAAACUUAUGACAUUAAACUGAAAUUAAUUAAAACUCUAAAAAAAAUACUAGUUUUUAUCUGGGAAGACAAUGAUCAGAUUUUCUCCCAAAUUCAAAAAUCUAAUCACAGAAUCUGAAUCAAAUCGAAUAUAAAACACAUACCAGUUUGAUGAUUCCUUGAUCUCAUUGAAAUGAAGCUAUCACAAAGCCCAAUAGCUGAAUUGUAUGACUCCACUAGGCUUCGAUUCACUCCAUGAAACUACUACUUCGAAAUCCACCAAUAAAAAAUGACAAAAUACUUCUCUUUUCGAAGUUUACAAGAAAACAUCAAAUUUUGCGGGUUGGCCCGCAAACCCGCGGAUCCGCUUUGACCCGACCCGCAAAAGCCCAACUUCCACGCGGGUUUAGACCGCAAAACCUGCUUUUUAUUUGGAAAAAUUUUAUGGAGCCCAAGCCCGCACCGCUGCGGUUUUACUUGGGCCGAACCCGCGGAUCAGAGCCCAAUUUGACACCUCUACUGAUUGAUAUUGGUCUAGAAGUUUGGUCUCUGAGAUUUUGUUUAGUUCCUGCGUUUUCAAACCUCUCGCCGAGAUUUAGCCUUUGUUUUGUUUGAGGAUAAACAAAAGACUAAGUCUGGGGGAGUUGAUAACACCGGAUUUUGACCAUUUUUAUGGAUCACUUUAAUGUCUUUUACAGGUGUUUUUAUUCCAUUUUCAAAGGUUUUCAAAGGAUUUCUAUGUUUUCGGAUUUUAAAAGACUUUUCAGGUAAUUUGGGAUAAAGAGGCACAAAUUGGAACAAAAAGACUCUUUUGGAUAAAUGCAGACCGUCAGAACUCUCAUGGAGAGACGAAGACCUUCUCACCGUCUGAUCACCCUCAAAAUUGGACAACUUAUAGAAGAAUCAACCAGCUUUCAAAUGCACUUGGUUUGGAGACAUUCCAACGGUUGGAUCUCAAGAUAUUCUAUUAGCCCUGGAGCCACUCGAAGACGGCCAGCAAAUCACGUGACCGCGGCCAACAGCCCAUUUCCCAUGGUCACAAGCCUCCCGACCGCGGCCAGCCACCUAUUUCCCGCGGUCAUGUCACUCCCGACCACGGUCGGCCAACUCCGAACUAAAGCCCAUAUUUCUGAAGCCCAAAGUCAUUCUCAGCCUCAAUUCCGGAACCCUAGAGACCAUGGAGUAUUGAAGACUAUAAAUACUUGUCAUUUAGGUCGUUUUUAGACACCACCCUUCAUACUUUACAGAAACCCUUUUUUCUUUAGCCGUUUUAUGCGAUUUUUGUAAAAGAUUGUUCAAGUCCGAGUUUUUCAAUAGAGAAGCUUUCUUCAUCUCUUUUCUUUACUGUUUUUGAUUACUUUUAUUAAAACCAAUGAUGAUGUCGACCUCAGCCAUGUCUGAGUAGAUCCCGAGUUGGGCUUAGGGUUCCCGAAAGGGGCUCUCAUAAUCGAUUAAGACAUCUAGGUUUAUAGAUCUGGGAUUUCAACUUUGUUCUCUGUUUAUUCUUGUUCUUAUUGCAUGUAUGCUUGAUUGAUCACCUAGUAUCUGAUCUAGAUAGUUAGUGUUGCGAAAGUUUUCAUUAAGUAUCAGCCCAAGAAUGAUACAGGCGAUUUUUCCGUUGGAGUGGAAACCUACCUGCGGCGAGAUCGUGAGUAUUUACGAGUCUUGUGCAGCUCUUGCGUUCUCUCCCUUCCAAGGCCAGAGUGGAAACCUACUGGUCAGGGUUGCGAGAAACAGUUGGUUAUGAUCACGACAGUGACGUAGUCAUACCGCCGUACUCAAGCUCUAGAACCCUAUAUAUCGAUAUCCGUCAAUCCCAAUCUAUCUACCUUAGUGUUAAAACCGAUUAUGAUCCCUUAGAGUUCCCAAAAGCUCAGUGUUUUUAGCCAUAGUUUACAAACUAAUCGAUUUUUACUUGCUUAUUUAGAUCUACAUUUCAAUUGCCUUAGUUCGAUAUUUUACUUGCUUUACUUGCUUUCCAUUCGAUUUUUCUACUUGCUUUCUAGGAUAGAUUUAUUUGCUUUCUUUAAGUUUUAGUUUAAUUCGUGAUAAACAACCAACCUUUAAAACAAAUCUAGUCUAGACAUAAAGUUAGAAACCGUUGAAGAAUACCAGGCACACAAAUCUUUGUGGAUUCGAUCCCUAAAUACUACAACUGAUUAGCUGUGCAUUUGCGGCUUUCAUUUGUUUUUGUUAAGGGUAAAACUUGUUCCCUCACGCAGUUGACACGCAUCAAGGUUCUCUGACUCGAGUAGGAAACUUUUGCUCAGAGAGUGUUGUCCAUCUAGUGCAUAACUGUUUAGGGGAUUUUUAGUCAUCUGCGCAGGCAAGUCUCCUGCAAAAUUAGCAAACGCGUGAAGGCCUAGAAAACACGAUGGAAGAGUUUUUUUUUAUGGCUCUCCUACGCUCAAGUCAGAAAACAGGGAAAGAAAGACCAUGAAAUGGAAAAUUGGAGAGAGGAAAGAGAUCAGAAAAUGGAGGAAGGAAGUUUUGCCGAGAGCUCCUGAGAAAAAUGGAAUCUGCUCGGACCUUCGUGUGGUAAUGGGCUUUUUGAGGUGAAAAAGAGGAAGUGUAAGAGUUUUGGGGUGACAGUGCUCCACUAGGAACCGCCGUGGAGAGGAAGUAAUGAGAUGGUCGUAAUAAUGACCAGAAAUGUAAAGUGAUAUGGCUUAAGGAUCACGAGUAUCUAGAGAGUUAGCAUGAGCCUUUAGUUAGCGAAAAGAGUGAACCCCCUUCUCGUUGAAAGAGACAAGGUAUUUAUAGAGUUUUACCUAAUCCGGAUUUAUAUACCGAAACGGUCCUUGGGUCACAGGUUUGGCGGAUCGGUUCGUGAUCCAACUUGGUUGGAUCUGAAUCUUAUGCUUGCAUCAUGCCUCUGAUGGUCUCACCAACUUUCAUUGAUACGUUAAAAAAAGUUGGUGAGAGCGUCAGAGGCAUGACGUGAGCAUAAGACUCGGAUCCAACCAAGACAGAUUACGAACUGACCCACCCGACUCACGGCCUAAGGACUAACCCACUAUAUGAACCCGGGUCAGGUAAAAUUUUAUAAAUACUCUAUUCUUUCUAACGAGGAAGGAGUUGACUUUUUUUGCUACCUUAAGGCUCAUACUAUCUCUCUAGAUAUUUGUGAUCCUUAAGCUGCAGCACUUUAUAUUUUAUGGUCAUUAAUCUGACCAUCUCUUCACUUUCUCUUUACGGUGGUUCCUAAUUCUCUUUUCAUCUCACAAAGCCCAUCACCACUUAAAGGCCCGAGUCGAUUCCACCUUUCUCAGAAAUCUCCAUCUCCUAUUCUCGUUUUCCGAUCUCUUUUCUCUCUCUGAUUAGCCACUUAGUAGUUUUUUUUAAUGUUUUCUUACUUGAGCAUCAGAGAGCCAUUGGAAAACACACCCAUCGUGUUUUUGGGCCCAUGCGUUUUCUAGUUUUGCAGGAGACUUUCCCCUGCAGAGGAAAAAAAAUCCCAUAUAUAGUGUCAAGACAAUCAAACAUUCAAAACUGUGUAGCACAGCAAUGACCAAGUUGAAUUACGUACUUUUUAUAAAUUUAAAACAAUGAUGGAUAGAAAAAAAAAUUCUAUGAAAUUUAGUGAUUAAGAAUAAUAAAAAUAAACAAGAAGUUUUACUAUAGAGACGUGAAUAACCCAACAAUGAUCUAGAAUUUAUACAUUUUUAGUGUUUUAUAUACUUGCGGAACUAUUCAUUUGCAGCAAAUAAAUAAAAUAAUUAUACGCAAAAUGAGUUGUUUAUAAUUGUAGCUAAAAACUGAAAUAGUUGGGGGGUGUGAAUGGUAAAAACUUAUUAUAAGGAUUAUUUAAGCUAUAACUAUAAAUAACUCAUUUUGCGUAUAAUCUUUUUUUUUAUUUUCUGCAACUACAAAAAUAGUAUUUAUGAAGAAAUAUAAGGAAAAUAUAAGAGGGAAUGGAAAAGUUAUUAUAAAAGGAAAUAAACUCAAAUUAUUACUUUGUAUUUCAUUUGUAUGUUCUUUAUUUUUAUCAGAUUUCAAAUUAAUGUAUAGUUGUGAUUUUGUUUCUUAAAAGGUUUUUUUUCAAUUAAUGUUUAAAGGGAGAGAAACUUAUUUAUAUAUUUUUUUAGACUUUCUGAAAAAAAUAUGUCUCUCAAAAAAUAUGAACGGAAAAAUAAAUAUGGGACUAAAUAUCUCUCAUUAUAAUAGAAAAACUUACCGAUAAAUUUUGGGUUUAGAUUCUUUAUAGGUUUUAAUAUUUGCAUAAAAAUGAUUAAGUAAAAAGAGAUAUACAAGCUUUUAGGAUUAACAUAAAUCCAAAUGUUGGAAUAGAAUUUUGUUUUUGUUAAAGGUGAAUAGAAUUUUCAAAAAGAAGAAUUUCUUUAUUGUAGGAAACCCAACUAUUUCAAAACCUGAUUAGAUGAAACCAAUUCUCCCAUGAUUUAAUGAUUUUAUGAUCAACAACAACUAACCAGUACUUUUCAAAAAUCUACACCAGUUUAAGAACUUAGGGAUAUUACGGUUGAUUAGACGCAAGAUUAAGAGCAAAUCACAUCAAUCUUAUAAUAGAUUGCUCGAAUUUAAAUAUUGUAUACCAUUGUACAUUAAGAGAAAAGCAUUAUUACAUAAAAAGCAAAUCAAGUAAGAGAUAGAUUUUUUUUAUUUAAAGAGCAAAUUAUGAAAAAGAUAGAUCAACUUUAGAACUUGCGACCAAGAGUGAGCUCAAGGAACAAAGUCUCAUCAUUGUUACCAUCAUCAUUGUCCACUUCAUUAUUUUCAGUUUUAUUCGUUCCAAUCUGCCAUAUCCAGUUAUAUACAUUAUUAUAUGUGAAUGAAAUGAUGCGUAUCAAAUCUUCAAUAAAAUUUGUGCAUAUUUGGUCAUUGAUAAUCAUGUUUGAUGAUUAUAGCGUAAGAAUUUUAAAAUGAGAAAAACUUAAAAAUUUUAAACAGAGAGAAAAAUUACUCUUGAAGAUUGAAACAGAGACUUACAAGAUAUUUCAAUAGCUCUCUUACUUGAUUCUCCCAUUUCCAUUUUUUUUUCCUGCUUUCUUUCUUCUUCUCUACAAUAUUGAUUAAAAAAGUUACACUCAAAUUUAAAACAGAAUAUAUAUAUAUAUAGAUAUUAAGUUUUUAAUUUAAUAUUAAUUAAGUAUUAUACGAACAUUUUUCGCACAGAGUUGAUAAUUUCUACAAGACGUUCAUAUUGAUAAAGGUGUUGUUGAGUUUGCCUCAAAAUCAUUUUUCUUGUGAGUCUUUCCCUUCGAAUUGCUUGUACCUCUUCUUCAAUAAGACGUGUGAGUGUAUAGAUUUUUAUUUUCUAUAUAAUAUUUACAUAUAAAUGCUUUUUAAAAAAAACUUUAACAUAUUUGUCUGAACAUCUAUUUUUAUUUUUUUAUAUUUCCUAAAAUAUUUUUUUAUACAGAUACUUAUAGAAAAUAAAUUUUAUUUAUAAAUAUAAUAAUAAAGUAAAUAUAAAUAUAUAUAAUACUUAUUCACCUUUUUUUUACUCAUCAAGCUUGGUGGUCCUAUACAUCUGAUGAAGGCAGAAGCAUAAAAGAUAGUUCAUAUUAAGCCCAACAUAAUAUGAAAAACUUGACAAAAUAUAUAUACGCAUAUAUUGUGAAGAAAUGAAGAAAUUAAAUCAUGUAUAUAUAUGUAACGUACUAGAGAUGGCUCUUUACAUGUGAUAUAGUGACUCCUCCAAUAUUCAUUAUCCCCAAAAAUAAACAAGAAAUUUUACUAUAGAUACGUGAAUAACCCAACAAUGAUCUGGAAUUUAUACAUUUUUAGUGUUUUAUAUACUUGCAGAACUAUUUAUUUGCAGCAAAUAAAAAAAAACAAUUAUCCGCAAAAUAAAUUGUUUCUAGUUGUAGCUAAAAACUGAAAUAGUUAGGGGGUGUGAAUGGUAAAAACUUAUUAUAAGGAUUAUUUAAGGUACAACUAUAAACAACUUAUUUUGCGUAUAAUUUCUUUUUUAUUUGCUGCAACUAUAAAAAUAGUAUUUAAGAAGAAAUAUAAGGAAAAUAUAGGAGGGAAAGAAAAAAUUAUUAGAAAAGGAAAUAAAUCCAAAUUAUUACUAUUUCAUUUGUAUGUCCUUAUUUUUAUCAUAUUUCAAAUUAAUGUAUAAUUCCGAUUUUUUUUCUUAACAGGUUUUUUUUCUAUUUGUUUUUAAAAGGAGAGAAAUUUCUUUAUAUAUAUUUUUUAGACUUUCUGAAAAAAGAUGUCUCUCAAAAAAUAUGAACGGUAAAAUAAAUAUGGGUUCAAAAAUCUCUCAUUAUCAUAGAAAAACUUACCGAUAAAUUUUGGGUUUAGAUUCUUUUAUAGGUUUUGAUAUUUGCAUAAAAAUGAUUAAGUAAACAAGAGAUUUUAAAGCUUUUAGGAUUAACAUAAAUCCAAAUGUUUGAAUAGAAUUUUGUUUUUGUUAAAGGUGUAAAGAAUUUACAAAAAGAAUAAUUUCUUUAUUAUAGGAAACCUAAAUAUUUCAAAACUUGAUUAGAUGAAACCAAUUCUCCUACGAUUUAAUGACUUAAUGAUAAACAACAACCAAACAUUUUUAAAAAAUCUACACCACUUUAAAAACUUACAGAUAUUACGGUUGAUUAGACGCAAGAUUAAGAGCAAAUCACAUCAAUCUUAUAAUAGAUUGCUCAAAUUUAAAUAUUGUAUACCAUUGUACAUUAAGGGAAAAGCAUUAUUACAUAAAAAGAAAAUUAAGUAAGAGAUAGAUUUUUAUUUAUUUAAAGAGCAAAUUAUGAAAAAGAUAGAUCAACUUUAGAACUUGCGACCAAGAGUGAGCUCAAGGGACAAAGUCUCAUCAUUGUUACCAUCAUCAUUGUCCACUUCAUUGUUUUCAGUUUCAUUCGUUACAAUCUGUCAUAUCCAGUUAUAUACAUUAUUAUAUGUGAAUGAAAUGAUACGUAUCAAAUCUUCAAUAAAAUUUGUGCAUAUUUGGUCAUUGAUAAUCAUGUUUGAUGAUUAUAGCGUAAGAAGUUUAAAAAGAGAAAAAACUUAAAAAUUUUAAACAUAGAGAAAACUUACUCUUGAAGAAAACAGAGACUUGCAAGAUAUUUCAAUAGCUCUCUUACUUGAUUCUCCCAUUUCCAUUAUUUUUUCCUGCUUUAUUUCUUCUUCCCUACAAUAUUGAUUAAAAAGGUACAUUCAACUUUAAAACAAAAUAUAUAUAUAUGUAUCUAUAUAUAUAUAUAUGUAUUAAGUUUUUAAUUUAAUAUUAAUUAAGUAUUAUACGAUAUUUUUUCGCAUAGAGUUGACAAUUUCUUCAAGACGUUCAUAUUGACAAAGGUGUUGUUGAGUUUGCCUCAAAACAAUUUCUAUUGUCAGUCUUUCCCUUCGAAUUCUUGUACCUCUUCUACCAUAGGACAUGUGAGUGUAUAGAUUUUUAUUUUCUAUAUAAUAUUUACAUAUAAAUGCUUUUUUAAGAAAACUUUAACAUAUUUGGUCUGAGCAUAUAUUUUUAUUUUUUUAUAUUUCUGAAAAUAUUUGUUUUUAUACAGACACUUAUAGAAAAUUAAAAUUCUUUAUAAGAGAUAAUUACAGUCUAUGGCUCUUUUUUCAGAAUAUUUACACUCUAUAGCUCUUUUGUUUGAAGUAGCUCUUUCUCAUGUUUUUUUAGGGUAAAAUUAUGUUGCUACCCCCGUAUUCAACUUCUCCUUCUAAACCGUUUUCAUCAUUUUAAACCGAAAGCUAGAAACCGGUAACUAGCUGUUUCUAAAUUCUUCCAAUUUCUGUAAUUCUAUCCUCACCAUCGUCGACCUGCACGAAAGCGAUGUUGCAGGUCGUGCUCGAAAGUGAAACCAAGAUCUGAGCUUUCACCAUCAUCGACAUUAAUCUGGAGGGAUGGAUUACCUGUGACGCUCCCCUUCGAUUGUGUUAGGUCUGUCAUUCGGUUCCUUAUCAAAAAAGAGCCAACCCCGAAGUCGCAGCUCCAUCUCAGAUGUCGAAUCGUUAGCUUUACUGCCAUCCACCCAAAUGCGGACACAACGAUUUAUGGUGUCAAGGUUAUUAUUAUAUAUUGAUGGUUCCAGAUUGGUAAGAAUGUAGUUUGCAUGGAUACGAACAUGUAACACCUGCUUUACAUGUUUCACCAUUGUAUGUGUCCACAUUAUGAGAUAAUUACACUAUGACUCUUUUUUCAGGAUAUUUUACAUUAUGAAAUAAUUUUCACCAUUGUACGUGUCCAACGUUCUCGUUUUUUCCCGUAUAUAUUAAAGGAUUAUCCACAAGUUUGAAUCUUAUCGGUCCAUUCAAAACAUGGCAUGUGAAACCUGUUACCAAAUUUCAUAUCCAGUAAUGUGAAUUCCCGUAUAAUUUACAACAUAUUAUAAAUGCAUUUUUGCAUGGACCCGAACAUGUUAUAGCUGUUAUUUUAACACGGUCGCUCUGACCCGGAGGUUACAACCGUAUUUUAUGACCAUACCCCGUAUUUCUGUAUAUAUUAUAGACUUAUCCACAUGUUUAAUGCUUAUUCAGCUCAAUGCCAAAAAAUGCUUUUUAAACUUGUAACCAUACAAUACAUACAGUACUCAGUAUUUUCGUAUAUACUAUAGGCCUAUCCACAUGUUUUUUUCAUGGACCCGAGCAUGUCCUAGCUGUUAUUUAAAGAAGAUUUCGCUUACACGAAGGUUCCAUGCUCAUAUUAUGACCAUAUCCAUGUUUAACGCGUAUGCGGGUCAAUGCCAAAUAGGCUUUUUAAACUUUUAACCAUACAAUAUAUACAGUACUCGAUAUCUAUAGGAAUUAGGUUUAGAUUAUAGGGUUUUUCAAAUGGAUGUAACUUACAUUAUUGGCUGCGGCCAUAGAGACUAUCAUUUUCAUGUUACAACAAAAGAGAGAAAAUACAACACCACCAUUUAUUUCAUCCAACUAAUCUGAUUAUCCCUAACAUGAGCAGACAUCCAACUACGACUAGCAUUAUCAUUUUCCUCAUACCACACUUGGCUUCAGCCAACACAUCUUCAACCCUGUCAAAUAUUUCCUUCUCAAGCUUCCUUUGAACUUUUUCAAAAAUCAUCUUCUCCAAACCCAAUUUCUCAGUUGCCGAUUCCUUUAUCUCUUGCUCAAGGCUUGAAUUCUUGAUUUGCAGUCUCUCAAUCUCAUCUAACAGAGCCUCAUCAACCCAUUUGAAGUUGUGAUUAUCAUUCACAAUCUACAAAAAAUGUUGAUUCAAGAAGACAGCGAUAAGAACCAUUUCCGUGUAAGCGACAUCACACAAAGCAUAUAUCCUUCACAUUACCUUCUUUGAUGCAGCAUACGCACACCUGAAGUAUCGCCGAUACGGAUUGUUGUCGGAUUUUGAAAUCAAAGCCACAAUCUGUUCACCACACCAAAAUUUCUUAGGAACACCCACAAUUCUUUUUGGACGGCUACUAGUCGAUCCACUCGAACCAGACACGCUGCCUGAUGCACCAGACAUCUCUAAUCUUAACCUACAAAAUAGAAGAAGUAUAGUACAAAAUAGUAGAGUACGAAGAAGUAGAGUUCGAAAUAGUUAGACUGCAAAAUCGGACUCCUUAAUAACGAAAUAGAAGAAGUAGAGUACGAAAUAUGGAUCUUACUUUGAUUUUUUUAUGGUCUAAUCGAAAUCGGCGCAAUCUAUCCAAUAUAUGGUCAUUUACAAAUAUAUGUUCUAAUCCAAUAUUACUUGAUUUCCGUAUACAUUUACGGGUUAUCCACAUAUAAUUGAUAAAGUAAUAUUAUUGCCGCGUUUUAUGGGUUAUCCACAUAUAAAGCAAUGGUCAUAUCCAUAGUUGCCGUGUUAAUAUGUGAGUCUCUAAUACGUUGCAUCCACAAGGAUUCGACCAUCACGUACUCGCACCUCAUUUGUAUGUUUUUCAAUAAACUAUAUCGCUCACCAUCACGUACUCGCACCCCAUUUGUAGUAUGUUAUCCACAUAUAAAGCAAUGCUCGUAUCCAUAGUUGCCGCGUUAAUAUGUGAGUCUCUAAUACAUCGCAUCCACAAUGAUUAGACCAUCACGUACUCACACCCCAUCUGUAUGUUUUUCAAUAAACUAUAUGGCUCACCAUCACGUACUCGCACCCCAUUUGUAGUAUGUCCAUACAGAACGCCUAAAAAAAGUGUUAUUCAUAUCAAACACUUUUAGUUUUUCCCUGUAAUCAAUUUCAUUUGGAUACUAUCCGUUAACCUCGUAUACAUAGUGGAAGUAUGGUCACUUCCAUAUUCUCCCAUAUCCACAUGGAUCACAUGUUUGAGCAUGGUGUAUUCCAUAACCCAUCGGCUACACAUCGAUGCGAUUUUAAGGGUCUUAUAUGGAUAAGCAAAUAAUAAUUCUAGGUGAUUAUAUGGAUAAGCAAACAAUAAGUCUAGGUGAUUAUAUGGAUAAGCAAUAUGGAUAAGACCCGUACAUUUUAACUGUCUGUUCGAUGUCAACAUUAAAAACAUGAGAAAGUCGUGGACACGACCAUAAUCUCACAUAUCCACACAAUACAUACAGGUUAAUGAUGCAUCCUUCGAGACCCCGAUUAUGUAACUACAAUGAUUUCACAUUGAUUUGAUUUUGGCAUUGAUAGUCUCCGAAUCCACUUUAUGGUUUUCAAUAAACUAUAUUGCUAACCAUCACAUACUCGAACCCCAAUGAUGGUCUAAUUCAUGUGGAUGCGAUGUAUAUGACCCCAUGUGAACCCCAACAUUAAAAACAUGAGAAAGCCGUGGAUAAUACCAUAAGUAGCGGGAGCAUGGGCACGACCAUAAUUGAUGCAAUUUUUAAGGGUCUUAUAUGGAUACGCAAACAAUAAGUCUAGGUGAUUAUAUGGAUAAGCAAUAUGGAUAAGACACAUACAUUUUAACUGUCUGUUUGAUGUUAACAUUAAAAACAUGAGAAAGCCGUGGACAUGGCCAUAAGUUGUGCGAGUAUGGGAACGACCAUAAUCUCACAUAUCCACACAAUACAUACAGGUUAAUGAUGCAUGCUUCGAGACCCCGAUUAUGUGAUUACAAUAAUUUCAUGUCAAACAUUUUUUACCAUGGUCGUAUCCAUAACUUAUUGUCUACACAUUGAUUCGAUUUUGGCAUUGAUAGUCUCGAAUCCACUUUAUGGUUUUCAAUAAACUAUAUUGCUAACCAUCAUAUACUCAAACCCCAUUUAUAGUAUGUCCGUAUCCAUAGUCGAGCGCAGCUCAAAAUAUGGGAGUCUCUAAUACAUCGCAUCCACAUGGAUUAGACCAUCAUGUACUCGCACCCCAUUUGUAGUAUGUCCAUACAGGGCACCUAAAAUAAAGUGUUAUUCAUAUCAAACACUUUUAGUUUCUCCCUGUAAUCAAUUACAUUUAGAUACUUACAAUUAACCUCGUUUACAUAGUGGAAGCAUAGUCACUACCAUAUUAUCCCAUAUCCACAUGGAUCACAUGUUUGAUAUGGUCAAAUCCAUAACCCAUCGGCUACACAUCGAUGUGAUUUUAAGGGUCUUAUAUGGAUAAGCAAACAAUAAGUCUAGGUGAUUAUAUGGAUAAGCAAUAUGGAUAAGACCCGUACAUUGUAAGUGUCUGUUCGAUGUGAAUAUUAAACUGAGUAUACCAUGGAUAUGAUAAUAUGUAGUGGGAGCAUUGGCACGACCAUAUCUCACAUAUCCACACAAUACAUACAGGUUAAUGGUUGCAUCCAUCGAAACCCCGAUUAUGUAACUACAAUAAGUGUAUGUGAAACAUUUUUGAGAAUGGUCGCGUCCAUAACUUAUUGUCUACACAAUGAUUCGAUUGUGGCAUUGAUAGUCUCGAACUCACUUUAUGGUUAUCAAUUUUAUAUCAGGACGCCUAAAAUAAAGUGUUAUUUAUAUCUCACACUUUUCUUUUCUCUCGGUUAUCAAUUUCAUUUGGAUACUAUCCGUUAACCUCGUUCACAUAGUGGAAGCAUGGUCACUUCCAUAAUCUCUGAUAUCUACAUGGAUCACAUUCUUGAGCAUAGUCAAGUCCACAUCUUAUCGAAUACACAUUGACGCGAUUUAAAGUGCUGAUUUGAAUGAUGAUAUUUCUAAGACGCGAACGGCCCCGAUAUGACUCGCCGACGUUAAGUGGAUGGCAAUCUGUAAUUUCAUCCUUAUGGAUAACCUUACAUUGUUUAUUCCGUUUCUUAAUAUGGUUGCGUCCACUGUCAUUCGUGUAAGCUUUUGUGUCCAUGUCCACGUAGAUACACUCAUAUCUAUAUAAAACUUAAAACGCAUUGGAUUUAGCUUUGUGGUCCAUAAAAUUUACCUCCAUCGUUGGAGGAAGCGGAAUUGGUUAACGGGGUCAUCACUUAUUAUACGACGACCAUAUAAUAUUAUAUAUUUACUAUCGACAUGUGACUCUAUCCACACUCAUGACAAUUCAUUAUAAUAUCCACGCCUUUCUGAGUAAUUUAGACAACCUUUUUCGCGUCUUCUAAUAUCCACGCGUCCGUAUAUGGUCACAUCCCCCAUCUAUUAUUACUGUUGACCUAAUUUGCGAGCCCGCCAGUCCUCAUCCGAAACGAUUUGUAUUCGACAACCUGCCAGACAAACAGGAAACGACUACACGAUCCCACCAUUUGAUUUGAGAUUCGACCGGCUAGUGCCUCUCGGAACUCGAUAUGAUAUUCGACCGGCUUGUUAAGAAGAACAGAGAAUCUACUCAGAACUCGAUCUUGAAAACACCCACCUGGGAAGUCCAAUUUCUUCUAUAAGGUAGAGGCUUGUUACAUGCCCCACCUGGGAACUCGAUCUUGAAAACACUGUGCCCCACGAAUUGAUAUAACACUCAACGGAAUUUUGUAACUCGGAAUUAUGAGUCAACUUGGAACUCGAGACUGAAAACAACCAUUCACCAAAGUUAUCUUCCCGAAACAAUGAGAAAACUCUUGAAACAGUCGGUUUAAUCUUUCUCUUGGUUUAAUCUGCUUAACCGAAACUCUUUAGUUUAGAAUGGGUAAGGACAAGACAAUAAUUUUUAACCUCAAUCUCAAAAAAAGAGCUACUACAAACUAAAGUGCUAAAACUUGUAAAUGUAAAGUCAAAAAGUGCCAUACAGUGUAAACGACUCUUCUUUAUAAAUAUAAUAAUAAAGUAAACAGAAAUGUAUAUAACACUUAUUCACCUUUUUCUAUUCAUCAAGCUUGGUAGUCCUAUACCUCUGAUGAAGGCAAAAUCAUAAAAAUAGUUCAUAUUAAACUCAACAUAAUAUGAAAAAAUUGACAAAAUAUAUAUACGCAUAUAUUGUGAAGAAAUGAAGAAAUUAAAUCAUGUAUAUAUAUGUUACGAACUGGAGAUGGCUCUUUUCAUGUGAUAUAGUGACUCCUCCAAUAUUCAUUAUCCCCAAAAAUAAACAAGAAGUUUUACUAUAGAGACGAGAAUAACCCAACAAUGAUCUGGAAUUUAUACAUUUUUAGUGUUUUAUAUACUUGCAGAACUAUUUAUUUGCAGCAAAUAAAAAAAACAAUUAUACGCAAAAUGAAUUGUUUAUAGUUGUAGCUAAAAACUGAAAUAGUUAGGAACUGUGAAUGGUAAAAACUUAAUAUAAGGAUUAUUUAAGCUACAACUAUAAACAACUCAUUUUGCGUAGAAUUGCUUUUUUAUUUGCUGAAACUAUAAAAAUAGUAUUUAAGAAGAAAUAUAAGGAAAAUAUAGGAGGGAAAGAAAAAAAUAUUUGAAAAGGAAAUAAAUCCAAAUUAUUACUCUUUCAUUUGUAUGUUCCUUAUUUUUAUCAGAUUUCAAAUUAAUAUAUAAUUCUGAUUUUUUUCUUAAAAGGUUUUUUUUUCUAUUUUUUUUUUAAAGGGGAGAAAUUUCUUUAUAUAUUUUUUUUAGACUAUCUGAAAAAAGAUGUCUCUCAAAAAAUAUGAACGGUAAAAUAAAUAUGGGUCCAAAAAUCUCUCAUUAUCAUAGAAAAACUUACCGAUAAAUUUUGGAUUUACAUUCUUUUAUAGGUUUUGAUAUUUGCAUAAAAAUGAUUAAGUAAAAAAGAGAUUUUUAAGCUUUUAGGAUUAACAUAAAUCCAAAUGUUUGAAUAGAAUUUUGUUUUUGUUAAAGGUGAAUAGAAUUUUCAAAAAGAAUAAAUUCUUUAUUAUAGGAAACCCAAAUAUUUCAAAACUUGAUUAGAUGAAACCAAUUCUGCUACGAUUUAAGGACUUUAUGAUAAACAACAACCAAACAUUUUUAAAAAAUCUACACCACUUUAAGAACUUACAGAUAUUACAGUUGAUUAGACGCAAGAUUGAGAGCAAAUCACAUCAAUCUUAUAAUAGAUUGCUCGAAUUUAAAUAUUGUAUACUAUUGUACAUUAAGGGAAAAGCAUUAUUACAUAAAAAUCAAAUUAAGUAAGAGAUAGGUUUUUUUAUUUUAAGAGCGAAUUAUGAAAAAGAUAGAUCAACUUUAGAACUUGCGACCAAUAGUGAGCUCAAUGGACAAAGUCUCAUCAUUGUUUCCAUCAUCAUUGUCCACUUCAUUGUUUUCAGUUUCAUUCGUUCCAAUCUGCCAUAUCCAGUUAUAUACAUUAAUAUAUGUGAAUGAAAUGAUACGUAUCAAAUCUUCAAUAAAAUUUGUGCAUACUUUGUCAUUGAUAAUCAUGUUUGAUGAUUAUAGCGUAAGAAUUUUAAAAAGAGAAAAAACUUAGGAGAAAACUUACUUUUGAAGAUUGAAACAGAGACUUGCAAGAUAUUUCAAUAGCUCUCUUACUUGAUUCUCCCAUUUCUAUUAUUUUUUCCUGCUUUCUUUCUUCUUCCCUACAAUAUUGAUUUCAAAAGGUACAUUCAAAUUUAAAACAAAAAACUAUAUAUAUAUAUAUUAAGUUUUUAGUUUAAUAUUAAUUAAGUAUUAUACGAAUAUUUUUUGCAUAGAAUUGACAAUGUCUUCAAGACGUUCAUAUUGACGAAAGUGUUGUUGAGUUUGCCUCAAAAUCAUUUCUCUUGUCAGUCUUUCCCUUUCAAAUUGCGUGUACCUCUUCUACCAUAGGACAUGUAAGUGUAUAGAUUUUUAUUUUCUAUAUAAUAUUUACAUAUAAAUUCAUUUUUAAGAAAAAUUCAACAUAUUUAGUCUGAGCAUAUAUUUUUAUGGGGUUUUUGCUAAAAAUGACCUAAAAUUUGAUUUUGAAUACAAAAUAGACUCCUGAUGCAACAUUUGGCAAAAAUAAUCUAAAAGGGUUGUGAAAAGACAAUAAAAUCUUGUUAACCAAACAAAAAACCGAUGUCUUAAUUACGAUUUAAACCCUGACGAAGUCUACUAAAGAUUGUUAGAAGUCUAAUAGUAGACUUCAGACAAAGCUUAUGAAGUCUACUAUGUAAUUAAAUCAUAAAAUUUUAUUUUAAAAUUAAUAAAAAAUAAUUUUGAUUUCAAAUUUGCAAUCAUAAAUUAGAUAUUGGUAAUCCUAAUGUUUAUAAAUGAUUGUUUCAUAUUCAUAAGUUUAAAUUUAUGAUUUCAAAUUAAGAACAACAUAAUAUUUGAUUUAGGGUUUAUAUUUGGUAGACUUCAAAUAGAAGUCUACUAAACCGAAUAAAUUACCUUAACCAAGAUUUUAACCGAAAUUGAACCAAAAUUUUAGAUUCAUAUAUAAAGUAAAUAACCCUAAUUUUUUUCAAUAACAAAGUUUGGGAGUUCGCCCUAACAUAAUUUCUCCCAGACACAGUUUAUGAGGCAGCCGCGAUCUAACUGAGCCCGCCGGUGACUUCCGACCAACCACCGAAAUUCUUCCUUAUUUCAACCACCAGCGAACUCCUGCUCUGGUCUAACUACGGCAACUGUUAGCUCCACCAGAUCUAAUGUGUUUCAUCUCUCACCGUCUGAUGCCGCUCUCUCUGUUGUUCCUCUCUGGUCUCUCUCCUCUCAUCUUCGUCUCCUCUUUUCCUUAAAGUCAUUGAUAAAGAGAAAGUUAUGAGAAAGUUUUCUUCCUUUUACUCGUUGCUUGCAUGUUUAGAAUCUGAAACUUAAUAUUUGUAUAUAUAUAAUAUAUUAUUCUAUGUAUUCUUUUGGAAUCUUUGUAUGUAGUAACUGAAUCUUUCUUCCUUCAGGUGUUGGCCAGCAAAACUAAGAUCUAUUUCGUUUUGGAAUUCUUUACUGGUGGAGAGCUUUUUGAUAAAAUUGUAAGCAUUCAAUCCAUUGAAGAUGUUUUUUUUUUCAUAUGUUGAAAAUGAGAUCUCGAGUGAAGAAGUACUAAUGACUUGAUUCUCUAAAAUUGUCAUGUAUUUAGUCAAGCAAUGGGAGGUUGGAGGAAGAUGAGGCAAGGAAGAUGAUGCAAGGACUAUUGCUAUUGCAGAGGAGUUUAUCAUCGAGACCUUAAGGUUAGGAAUCUUAUUUCUGAUUUUGCUGAUUUGUUAAUCAACAACAAAGGUUACAAUGGAGGCAAACCUGAUUUGUGGUCUUGUGGUGUGAUUCUCUUUGUCUUAAUAUUUGGAUAUUUGCCUUUCAAAGAUUUUAAUCUAACGUCAUUGUAUAAAAAAGUGUUAUUCUUUGCUCUUUUUUCUCUCCAUCCUUUGAUGCAUAUUCUUAGCUCUUGGUGUUUUGGUUUUUCUUUUGCUGGGAUUUUUGAAUUGGCGACAUCUCACUAUCUUUCAAGGUUUCAUCAAUUCUCACAUUUAAUUUUUUACAUGCAUUAAUUCUUUUUAAAAUUAUGAUUUAUGGUCUCUGUUUUGGGUAUGAACAAUUGAUGGAAGAACAAUGGAAGAUAGAGAGAAAUGGUGGGAAAUGGGAUUAAAGACUACCGAUGAAGAAAAAGUUAGGAGUUGUGCUUUUUUCUGGUGUUCAGGUAAAACUUCAAUUUUUAUUUUACUUAAUCCAAUCUGUCUUACUUCGUUGAUGCUAAUUUAUUAACUAAGUAGCUACUUGAGAUUAACUAAGUUCCAAUUUCUUCUCCAUAUGUGUUUCAUUUUAAAAAAUUUGUUCUUGAUCGUGAUCUGUUUGCAAAUUUUUUGAAUUUAAAAGAGAUUAUGAAGACAGCGAUUCACCUGAGUCUGCCAAAGAAAGUGCCUUUGCUCUUGCUGCUCUGAUGGAAAUUCCUUUUCUGAACCGAGCAAAUGAAGCAGAAGCUUUAUCUAGCAAAACUGGAUCUCGGGUUGUUGGUCACACACGACUCUUCUCUAUAACUGGUUACAAGUCCGUUAGCUAAUUUUUUUGUAAAAUUGUGUUUAUAGAUUAUUAGAACUGUAUAAUCUUUAGUUCAUGUAUUUUAUCAAUAUAUUUGUACAGUUCAAAGUUCAGAACAAAAAAAGAACAAAAUAACUUCAAAAUCAGAGUAUUUUAUGCACAAUGUCUCGUUAUUUUUUUUUAAUUGCAUAACAAUUCAAAGCAGAAGCAAACCAUAGGAUGCAACUUGUUUCAAAACCAUAAAGUAUGCUAUAAACGCAAGUUUUUUUCUUCACAUUCAAAUACAAGUCUAGAUAAGCUAUGAUUCUCCACAUCAUUAUCUCAAUAGUAGAAGCACCAGUUUUAAAACCAUCAAGUAUGGCAAAUCCAAAGAAGAAGAAUGGGUUGGUGUUACUAACAACAAAAUUAACAAAUGUUUAACUCUACAAUGUUACAAUCUAUGAAGCAAAGUUUCUAUCAACAUUAUACAUGUAACAAGAAAACCUAAAAACAAUCAUUAGAAAUAUGCUAUAACUAUAUUUUAAAGAAAAUUAACCACUCAGAAUUCACUUCAAAGCAUCGUUUGGAGAAUUCGUGUGCAGACUUCAUCCGUACACUGCUGGAGAAGUCUACUUUUACAAGCUGACUAGUUUAUAUAUCAAAAAAUUUGAUUCCACAAUAAUUAUCGACUUAAAUCAAAUGAAAAUCAUUGAGUAGUUCAACCACUUGCUAACACGCAUGUCAAAACCUAAAAAUUAAAAAAAAAACAUUAUAAAUAUUUUUGAAAAGCGUUUUUAAAAUAAAUACAAAAACAGACUUCCCAAUUAGACUUCAUCUGUAGACUACACGACGAAGUCUACUUUGAUAAGCUAAGUAGCUUAAAAAUCAAAACUUCUGAUUCAACAAUAAAUAUCGAAUGAAAUGAAAUGAAAUUCAUUGGGUAGUUGAAUCACUUACUAAAAAGUAUUUCUAAUCUAAAAAAUUAAGAAAAUACUUUAUAAAUUUUCCUAAAAUGCGUUUUAAAAAAACUACAAUAAGUAGACUUAUACAGAAGACUUCAAACGUAGACUGGAGGAGAAGUCUACUUUUUCAUAGUGAAGUCUACUAAAGAAGUCUACUUAAAAACAGGUUAUUUUUGCAAUUGACCAAUUCGUUGACUUUUCCUUAACUAGACUUCAGAAGUAGACUUCCGGCCAAAAAUGUUACUUUAGCAUUUGACCGAGCCAUUGACUAACAAAGUAGAUUUCUAUUGUAGACUUCAUGCAAGAGUAGACUUCUCUGACAGUCUACUUUUUCAAUAGAGGUCUACGGAAAAAUAGGUUACUUUUGCAAUUGAAUUUUUUGAGUAGACUUCACUGUGAAGUCUACUCAAAAAAAAAUUCCUUCUAAGUUUGACCGAAAAAUAUAAGUAGACUUCCCAAAGAAGUCUACAGUUUUUAGACUUAUUUGGGAAGUCUACUAAAGUUUUUCGGAAUUUUUUGAAUUUUUUAUUUUUUUAAAAACUGUAGUCAAAUACUAAAAUGACCUAUACAUUUUUUGUCAAACUACAAAAGUAACUUUAACGUAGACUUCUUAUGCACACGUAAACAGUAGACUUCAUACGGAAGUCUAUAUUAAAAAGUCAAAAUAUGGUCAACUACAAAAAUAACCUCUUUUCUUUCGUAGACUUCUUAAGCCUUCAAACGAAGUCUACUAGGUGUUUUUUUGUUUUCAAAGGAUAUCGAGUAGACUUCUCGUGAAGUUUAAUGAAGUCUACUUUUAAAAAGUCAAUUGCAAAAAUAACCUUAUGUUGACUAGUAGACUUCAAAAUGAAGUCUACUUUCGCGAUACAGAUAUAGAUAUUACCAAAAUUGAAGUGUAUCAUUACCUAUAUCGGUUUUGAGUUUGUUUUUAGGUCUCUCAUGCACCCAAAACUCUGAAUUUGACCCAAAAAAAAGAACCCAGAUCUUGAUUAAGCUGAAAUCACCAAAAAUGCAUAACAUUUGACAUUGUAACUCAGCCCAGAAGUUUUAGAGAAGAAAUUAGGAAAGAAUAUAGAAGGUUAUGAGAGUAUGAGCUCUUAUAUUAACUUAUUACAGCUUUAAAUUUAGUUGAGAAGCAUUUAUUCUAUUUUUGGGGUUGUUCAUGGUGGUUGAAGGUAUUGAAGAAGAUGGCAUUAUUGUAAUAAAAAAAUGUUUUAGGAGGUCCAAGGAGACUUUAGCCAAUAUUUAAAAAAAUCGAAAUAAUGGGUUUAUAAUGGCAUUUUCGUUAAUAUCUUGAGUGAGAAGGAUAGAAUUGUGACAAAAUAGCAAAAGUUGGAGAGAGAAAAAAAGAGGUUAGUUUGGUGUUUGACUUUAAAAUUCUAACUAAUAGUUGUAAUAAACCGCGUUAUGAUUCUAAAAUAAUUGAGUCAUCAAAAAAAAGUUGGCAGACAUUCAAAAGAAAAAAUACCCGAUUAAUUCGUAAAUCUAUUUUUUUUAUAAAAUUUUGCAUUGAACAACUCUCUAUAACUCUUUUUCUAGGUAUCAUUAAUAUUCCAAGAAUUACUACACAACUUUUUUUUAAAUUAACAACAACAAUUCUUAAUAAAUAUAUUUACAAGACUGAAGAAAAUAGAGAAAAAAUUAAUAAAAAAAAUACCAUUUAUUUUAUUUCGGCUAUAAAAAAUUUAAUAUCCAAUAAAAAUAAAAAUAAAAUUAAUUAUGACCUAUGCUCUUUAUCACAAGCAUAUGUAUUUUAUAAAUUAUCACAAAUUCAAGUUAGUACCGUUUCUAAAUUAACGGCUAUUUUUAAAUAUAAUAUAUGCAUAACAUCCUUUUUUGUUAAGAAUCAACUAAAGGAUUUGUUUCAAGAACAAGGACUUUUUCAUUGUGAAUUGAAAGAUAAAACCUUUUUAAAGUCCGAAGUAAAUCCAUGGAAAAACUGAUUACGAAGUCAUUCUCAAUACAAUUUACCUCAGAUUACAUGGGCUAGAUUAGUAACCAAAAAAUGGAAAAAUUAAAAUAAAGCAAAACUCUCUAGUUCUAAAUCCAAGUUUAACUAAAACAGAUUCAUAUGAAAAAAAAAAUUUGAUAAUUACAAAAAAAAAAAAAUUUUGAGGCCAACUCGUUAUUAAAUCCAAAACAUAAUUUCAAAAAAGAUUCUAUAUAUAAUAUUUUUUGCUACCAAUCUAUUCAUUCUACAGAAAAAAUUUUUGACAUGUCUAUAGGCAUUGCUCUAGAUAAUUGUUUAGUCUCGUGUUUUCUAGAAAAAUAUAAUAUUCGGGGUAUAGGGCAAAUUCGGCAUCGAAAAUAUUUGGAUUGGAGAAUUCUCAACUUUGGGUUUAGAGAAAAAGUAAAUAUUGAGCCCUGGGUUGAUACCAAGAGUAAAAAAAAAUAUAUUAAGACUAAAGUUCAAAAUUAUCAAAGAAUUGAUAAAAUAACUAAGACGGGUCUUGCUAAUCAAAAAAGUUUAUUUUUUGAUUGGAUGGGAAUGAAUGAAGAAAUACUAAAUCAUCAUCUAACAAAUUUUGAAUUUUUUUUCUUUCCAGAAUUUUGCUUAUUUUCUAGUACAUAUAAAAUGAAACCAUGGGUCAUACCAAUUAAAUUACUUCUUUUCAAUUUUAAUGAAAAAAAAAUAUUAAUAAAAAGAUCACUCUAAAGACAAACGGUUUUAUACCAUCAAACGAAAAAAACUCCCUUCUCUUUUAUGAAGAAUCGGCGGAUCGCGGAGAGCUUGAAUCAGAUAAAGAAAAAAAAAAGAAAUCCUGAAACAGAAAACAUAAAGAGAAUCGUAUAGUCAAAAAAAUUGAAAAGGAUAUGUAUCCGUUGAUAAAUUGAAAACAAUAGUUGAUGUUUCCGGUAGCAAUCUAUUUUAUGAUUUUCCUAAUUUUAUUUUAGAAAAUCAUACAAAAUAAGAAAAACUAUUAACUUAAGAUGUAUUCCGCCAAGUUGUACAACCGCAUAAAUAAAGUGAUCGUGAUGAUAGGCUCUCCAUUGCAUCCGAUCCAUUUUUUCACCUAAUAUAAGGUUUAACAAUCGUGACUUUUAUCAGAAAAAUUCUUGAACUUUACGAUUUUUGUUUUUAGUUAUAAAAAACUCUGAUCAUGAGUGGUCAAUUUAUAGUAGUUGUAGACAAAAUUUAUGAUGUUAAAAAAUUAAUUAAUAAUUUUCAUAAAUGUAAAGGGUAGAAAAACAUUAAAUGUGCUACUAAACUUGUCAUAGUGCAUAUCUUUUUACUUUCUUUUUUUUGGUUUUCUAAAUUAGUUUGUUUAUUAUUUCCAUUAUUUAGAAAAAAAUCUUUUACAACUAUGAAUGAAUUAUUUAAAAAUUUAUACAUAUAUAUAUAUAUAUAAGCAUUAUUCAAAUCUUCAAUUAUAUAUGCUAAGUUAAGUAUUUCCAUUAUUUAGAAAAAGUGCCUUACAACUAUGAGUUGGAUCAUCAGGAAAAUAAAAUAUAUGUAAGUAUUAUUCAAAUCAUCUUAGCUAUAUUUUGAAAAGGAUCACCAACAUUAUUUUUAAAAAAAAUUAAUAAAAAAAAAUCUUAAUGUAAAAACUAAAAACUAAACCCAUAAAAGCUAAGAAAUCAUGUUUCCAACCCCAAAAAUGAUUUUUUUUUUGGUCGGCCUUUCCUUCUUUUUGUCUUCUUGUUUUUCCUCACUUGAGGGGUUCCCAGCCUUUAUGCGUGUGGUGAUCCUUGGGCGGGUAGGACGCUGUGUUCUUCCCUCGUAACUAUGCUGUCUUUCUCCGGUUCCCUUUUUCACCUCCGGGAUCCGAUUUAGUUGAUGUCGCGAUUUAUCUUGCUGGUCGUACCAUCCUUCCUUGGUAUAUCUCGUGCGUAUUUCUCGGUUUGCCUCCAGAGUCUUUCCAUCCUCCACCCGGUUGGGAACUCGAUCAAUCGUAGAUGUUUGCACACUGUGGCCUCCAUCUCGUCCACCCAAGAUUGACCUAACAGCGCUAUGUACCGUGCUGGCGUGCUGACUACUGUUAUGGCCAUUACCCAGGUGGUAUUAAGCGCAGUGACUAUGAGUGCUGCCUCUCCUAUCGCUCGAGUCACCCUCCCAAUAUAUCUAUGAACAUUAUCUUCGUUGUUUUAAGGUACCUUCGAAAUCCCACGAACUCUUCGAAGAUGGCUGCAAGAUGAGAUUAACAGGGCAGGUCUAGUCCACCAGAAUCUGCCUCAUCUGUUUGCCUCCUAUCUCCAACAUCACAUUCAGAGCGGGGUAUUGAGUGAUAAUUCUCGACACUUUUUCUGCUGCGUUGAAGAACUCUGGCGGGCGAGCCAGUCGCCUUCGAAUUCCAAGCAUUCUACCAUGACUUUCUUCCUCAGCUUCAUUCGUGUGUCUUUCGACCUGUCCGACCUUGUUGAAGCUCCCUAUUACACGGUCUUGUGUGUUCAACAUUCGCUUCACUUUCCUAGACAGCAGAAGUCGUAUGGAAAGGUGGCGAACCAGAGCCAGCAUCUCCUCGUAAAGGCCAAACAGCUCUCAGUCUGAUACCCUCUGGAUCAGUGGUACUUGCACCAUAGUUUUCUGUAUUUCCGUUCCUCUGAGGCGGGCUCAUCUUCUAUCUGGAUCCCGUAUGGCGUGAGAAUUUUUUACCCACACUUCUUCCUCCAAUUACCUCCGAUCGCACCAUCCGGGAAUGGUAGUGGAACAUGCUACAAGGGGGUUUACCUCCGGCUCCUCUCCUUGGUCUCCGGUUAUCUCCCAGUUGUUGUCACUUGCCCCUCCCUUGGCGUUCUCCCUUUGGUCAGGAUCCUUUGAGCCGCUGGGUAUGUAAGGUUCAUUCUCUCUGAAAUUGAUCAUGCCCACCUAGCACUUGCAGUUUUUCGCUCUGGCUUUGACGGUAUUUGGUUUGCUGCCAAUCACUGUCUGGGUCUCUCCUAUUUGCAUUCAUAGGUUGUUGCCCCCAGAUCUGUGUUCUUGGUGGUUUUCUGACUCGAGUAGGAAAAUUUUGCUCAGAGAUUGUUGUCUAUCUAGCGCAGAACUAUUUAGGGGAUUUUUAGUCAUCUGCGCAGGCAAGUCUCCUGCAAAACUAGCAAAUGCGUGAAGGCCUGGAAAACACGAUGGAGGGUUUUUUUUUGAUGGCUCUCCUACGCUCAAGUCAGAAAAGAGGGAAAGAAAGACCACCAGGUGGCAAAUUGGAGGAGGAAAGAGAUCAGAAAAUGGAGGAAGGAAGUUUUGUUGAGAGCUCGUGAGAAAAAUGGAAUCUGCUCGGACCUUUGUGUGGUAGUGGGCUUUUUGAGGUGAAAAAAGAGGAAGUGUAAGAGUUUUGGGGUGACAGUGCUCCACGGUUUACGAACCGCCAAUGAGAGGAAGUAAAGAGAUGGUCGUAAUAAUGACCGGAAAUGUAAAGUGCUAUGGCUUAAGGAUCACGCGUAUUUAGAGAGUUAGCAUGAGCCUUAGGUUAGCGAAAAGAGUGAACCCCCUUCUCAUUGAAAGAGACAAGGUAUUUAUAUAGUUUUACCUAAUUCGGAUUAAUAUACCGGAACGGUCCUUGGGUCACAGGUUUGGCGGAUCGGUUUGUGAUCCGACUUGGUUGGAUCCGAAUCUUAUGCUUGCAUCAUGCCUCUGAUGGUCUCACAACCUUUCAUUGACACGUUAAAAAAAGUUGGUGAGAGCGUCAGAGGCAUGACGUGAGCAUAAGACUCAGAUCCAACCAAGACAGAUUACGAACUGAACCGCCCGACUCACGGCCUAAGGACUAACCCAGUAUAUGAACCUGGGUCAGGUAAAAUUUAUAAAUACUCUAUUCUUUCUAACGAGGGAGGAGUUCACUUUUUUUGCUACCUUAAGGCUCAUACUAUCUCUCUAGAUAUUUGUGAUCCUUAAGCUGCAGCACUUUAUAUUUUAUGGUCAUUACUCCGACCAUCUCUUCACUUUCUCUUUACGGUGGUUCGUAAUUCCUAAAACGUGGAGCAAUCCCACCCAGCAACUCUUAUACUUCUUCUCUUUUCAUCUCACAAAGCCUAUCACCACUUAAAGGCCCGAGUCGAUUCCACCUUUCUCAGAAAGGCCAAUCUCCUACUCUCGUUUUCCGAUCUCUUUUCUCUCUCUGAUUAGCGACUUAGUAGUAAAUUUUUAAUGUUUUCUUACUUGAGCGUCAGAGAGCCAUUGGAAAACACUCCCCAUUGUGUUUUUGGGCCCAUGCGUUUUCUAGUUUUGCAGGAGACUUUCCCCUGCAGAGGACAAAAAAAUCCCAUAUAUAGUGUCAAGAAAAUCAAAAAUUCAAAUUUGUGUAGCACAGCAAUGACCAAGUUGAAUUAUGUACUUUUUAUAAAUUUAAAACAAUGAUGGGUAGAAAUAAAAUUCUAUGAAAUUUAGUGAUUAAGAAUAAUAAAAUAAACAAGAAGUUUUAUUAUAGAGACGUGAAUAACCCAACAAUGAUCUGGAAUUUAUACAUUUUCAUGUUUUAUAUACUUGCAGAACUAUUUAUUUGCACCAAAUAAAAAAAAACAAUUAUCCGCAAAAUGAGUUGUUUAUAGUUGUAGCAAAAAACUGAAAUAGUUAGGGGGUGUUAAUGGUAAAAACUUAUUAUAAGGAUUAUUUAAGCUACAACUAUAAACAACUCAUUUUACCUAUAAUUGUUUUUUUUAUUUGCUGCAACUAUUAAAAUAGUAUUAAGAAGAAAUAUAAGGAAAAUAUAAGAGGGAAAGGAAAAGUUAUUAUGAAAGGAAAUAAACCCAAAUUAUUACUUUGUAUUUCAUUUGUAUGUUUUUUAUUUUUAUCAGAUUUCAAAUUAAUGUAUAGUUGUGAUUUUUUCUCUUAACAGGUUUUUUUUAUUAAUUUUUAAAGGGGGAGAAAUUUUUUUAUAUAUUUUUAGACUUUCUGAAAAAAUAUGUCUCUCAAAAAAUAUGAACGGUAAAAUAAAUAUGGGACUAAAAUCUCUCAUUAUAAUAGAAAAACUUACCGAUAAAUUUUGGGUUUAGAUUCUUUUAUAGGUUUUGAUAUUUGCAUAAAAAUGAUUAAGUACAAAUAGAUAUACAAGCUUUUAGGAUUAACAUAAAUCCAAAUGUUUGAAUAGGAUUUUGUUUUUGUUAAAGGUGAAUAGAAUUUUCAAAAAGAAGAAUUUAUUUAUUGUAGGAAACCCAAAUAUUUCAAAACUUGAUUAGAUGAAACCAAUUCUCCCAUGAUUUAAUGACUUUAUGAUAAACAAUAACCAAACAUUUUUCAAAAAUCUACACCACUGAUAACACCGUAUUUUGACCACUUUUAUGGAUCAUUUUGAAAUACUUUUUCUAUGUUUUUAAUUGCUUUUAAGUACUUUUAUCACGUUUUUCUAGUAUUUGUAGUUCCAAAACUCUUUUCAGGUAAUUUAGGGAAAAGGUAAACAAAAUGGAUAGAAUACCAGAUUUCAGCUCAGAGUCAAACCGUCAGAAGUUCACCCCCGAUUGAAGGCCUUCUCACCGUCUGAUCCUACUCAAAUUUGGAGAUCUUAAAGAUAGAAGUAUCAGCUUUCCAGCACACUUUACAGCUUGGCAAUCCAACGGUUCAAUCAAAAGAUACGCGAAGAGCAAGAUGUACCGUAAACCAGCCGGCAAACGUUUCCACCCGCGGCCAACAGGCCAUUCCCCGCGGUCACAACCAUCCCGACCGUGGCCAGCCACCCAUUCCCCGCGGUCGCGCACAUCCCGACCGCAGCCAGCUAACUCCGACCACUAUAAGAAAAAGUGUUUAUUGCAACAGAUAUUUUUGUGGCAAACAACUAAAAUUCGUGGCAAUAUAGGUAUUUACCACAAAUUAUCAUAAAAUUAUUGUGUGGCUAUAGGGUCGUUACAAAUAAAAAUAUGUGGAAAUUUGUGGCAUAUUUACCACAAAAUACCAUAACAAUAUUUUGUGAUAAAUUAGCCACAAGUUUUUCAGAAAACAAUCCUGGCAAAUUUACCACAAAUUAGUACAAAAUAAUUGUGGCAUAUUGUAACAAAUGAUCACAAUGCCAUUUCUUGCAAAUUCGACACAAUCACCACAAAAAAAAAUUUGUGGCUAAACUGUGGGUUUUUUAAAAAAAAUAUAUUCAAAAAACAUAUUAAUGACAAUAAAUUGCACUGUACUCGCAUCUUAUAUAUACUAAUAAAAGUUGAAGUUAUAUGCUUUUAAGGGUAUCCACAUAAGAUUUAAGAAAUCAAUUUAAUUGGUCCACAUAAACAUUCAAAAAUAAGGAAAAUUUACAAAUAGUAAUACUUUUGCUGAAAAAAGGAAAUUAAAAACGUGUCCACAUAGGAUUUAAAAAAUCAAUUUUAUUGGUCCACAUCAACAUUCAAAAUUAAAAAGAAAAAUUACAAAUUGUAAUAUUAUUGCUGAAAAAGGAAAUUAAGAAAGUUUAUUGGUCCAAUAAAAUUUUUUAUUGGUCCACCUCAACACAGAAAAUUGAAAAAUAUUUGAAUAAAUUUUUUAUUGUCCACCUCAACAUUGAAAAAUGAAAAUUUCCCAAAUUCUAUUAUUGUUUUUAAAAUUAUUAAAAGUAAAGAAAUUAUAUAUAAAAUUGGUUUUAAUAAUAAAAAACUAAAAUAAAUAAUAUUGAAACAGGAAAAUUUUAAUUAAAUUAGAUAUAGACACACAUAUUUAGAGACUCUUACAUUAUCAUCUAAUUUUUUGUCAUAUAAUUAUAAUAAUUUUAAAGUUUUUUUUCCUAUGUGUGUAACCAUGUAAAAUAAACAAAAACAAAAGAUAGAGUAAGGUUUCACUACAAAAUAAGUCAUUACAACGUAAAAGAACUAACUUGACUAAACUAUAAGUUUAACUAUUAGCUAAAUUAUAAAGAAUAUAAUGAAAGAAGAUAUAAACAAAGCCACUACAAUAACAAACUUGACUAAAGUAUAUGUUUAAUUAUUAGCUAAAUUAUAAAGAAUAUAAUAAAAGGAGAUAUAAACAAAGGCACUACAAGCCGCUUUAAUAUUGAAAAAGAAACCGUAAAAUCUCCAAAACUUGGCCACCAAAUUUGAGAAGAAUGAGAAAUUUCAAACAAUCCGAGAAACAUGUCAAGUGAUUGAUACUCGACACUUUUGAAAAACUAAGCACUAAAAAUAGAGAAAAUAACAUAUUGGAGGAGACUGAGGUAUCUGAAGAAAUUUUUUGAAAUAACAUAGCAUCUGAAUGAGUUUUAACAACCCAACAUGAACCACAAAAGUAACAAUUAGCUGACCAAACAGCAUCCGAAUACAUUCGGUAAGCCUCAAAACAAUGAGAAUAGGCUAAAAUCACUUGCCGCAAUAGGCCUCAUGUGAAAUUUUUCAAUUUUGAUUUCUAAAUCUAUUACUAAUAAAAGUUAAAGCUAUAUGCCUCUAAGAAUGUCCAUAUAUGAUUUAAAAGUUCAAUUCUAUUUGUCCACAUCAGUAUUUAAAAUUAAGAAAAUUUCUACAUUUCAAAAUUAUAUUGUUAACAAACAAAUAUAUUUAAAAACAAAAAAAAGUUGAAGCUAUAUGCCUCUAAGGACAUCCACAUAAGAUUUAAAAGGUCAAUUUUAUUAUUCCACAUCAAUAACUAAAAUUAAUUUUUUUUCUAAAUUAUAAAAUUACAUUGUUAAUACAAAAUAAUAUAGGAAAUAUUGUUAAUUAAAAUUAUUCUAUUAUUAAUGAAAGUUAAAGCUAUAUUAUUUUCAAGACAUCCACAUCAGCAUUUAAAAUUCAUAUAUAUUAGUAUAUAUCAAAAUUAAAAUUAAAAAAAAAAUUAUAUUUCUAAUAUUAUGGUUAAAAAUAUAUUAAAAAAAUAAAGAAAUCUCGAUUAACAAAAAAAAAACUAACAUGAUAUUAAAAUCUCCAUUAUCACUGUUUAAAUCACAAAUUUAAUUUAUUAUCUAUAAAAAAUAUAUGCUACUUAUACAAAUUUAAUUUACUUGAUUUUAAAGCUUUUCAUGUAGAAUUUUAAAUAACUAAUAUUUAUGAUUUAUUUUCAUCAAAAGUUUUUCACAUAUGCAAAACAAAUCAUCUAAAUAUGUAAUAUAUUAUGCAAAAAUAUGUAAUAUUUUUUUCUCGUGUAAUAUAUUAUGCAAAAAUGAUCAAAAUUUUUACAUUUUAUAUAUUUAAUUUGGAAUUCAAUAGAUUAACGUAGAAGUUCUUAGUUUUGAGUUGUUCAAUUUGUUAUUUCACUUUUAUAAAUUUGUAUAUAUUAAUUUGUACUGGUUUUAUCUAUUUAAUUACAAUUAGAAGUGAGAAUAAAUAUGAUUAAACUGAAUAUAAUCAUACAAAAAUAAUUAAAAUAAAUAUGAUAGAUUCAUUGAAAAAACAGAUAUAACAAGAAUAAAAACGAAGAAGAUGAAAAAAAAAUUUCAUUCUUAUUAGAAGAUAUGAUGUAUAAUCAUUGAAAAAUUAUUUAAAAGUUUACACUACCAAUUGACAAAAAUAUAUUUAUUCACAAAUUUUGUGUGAUUUUAUUCAUUUCAUAUUCAACUAUUGUUUUAGUUUCAAAUUUAAAGUUGUUAUUAUAUUAGUAUGUUUUUAAAUUAAUAUAUCAAAAUAAAAAAAUUUUUGUUAAACAAGAGAAGAAAACAGAUUAAAUUUUAAUUUUUUUAUUAUUUUUAGGAACAUAUAUAUAUAUAAUUAAAAUAAAAGUGAAAAUGAUGGAAAAAAAUUAUCUUCUUGAUUUAAAGAAGUGAAUGUAUAAUAUUUUACUAUCAUGUUAAUAUUAUGUUUAAAAAGUAACAUUUGAUUAAUUUGUAAAAAUUUUAGUUGGUUUUGGUAUCUUAACUUAUAAGUGUUUGACCAAAUAAUACAUUUUUGAAAUAUGAUAUACUUUAUAUAGAUUCAAAACAAAACCGUUAUAAAAUCACAAUUUACAUAAAAAUUAUUAGAUCAACACUAUUAUAUUUUAAUAUAUUAUUAAAACACUAAAACACUAAUAUAUAAAAUUUAUAUCUUAAUAAUUAUAAUUAAUUGCAUAUAAUUUUUAUCAACAAAACAUGGACGCAAAAUCUAGUUGUAUAAAAACGAUUAAUUGAUUUAAUCAACAAUAGCACAUCUAGCGAUUAUUCGGCCCAGUUAACAAUUAACUAGACAUAGAAUUAUACUAAUCGAUGGGCCUUCUACAGCCCAAAUGUAAAUAUCUUUUCGCUUUAUAGAAAGGAGAGUAUAUCAUUAUUUAUAGAACAUGAUGGUUUGGACUCUCACUCAAUUUUGUCAAUGUGGGACAUUCUCUCUUCCUUUCACAACAAAGACUUAAUUAAUACACAUAUAUUAAAUCCAUACAUAUAGGACACUCGAUCAUAGAGAUGGUAUUAAAUGACAAAAUUUAAAACUAAUUUAUCAAUUAUAGAAUUUUAUAAAUUAUUCAAUAAUUGUAAAAUUCUUCUUACACUUUAAUUUAUAAUAACUUUUAAUUAAUAUAUAUGUUCACAUAUAAAUAUAAAAUUAACAAUAUAUUGAAUUACUUAACAUAAAUUAAAGAAAAUUAUAUUAAAAUUAAAGAAAAUUAUAUUUGAAACAAAAUUUUGAAUAAUAAUAUGUGGUAAGUUUACCAUAAAUUUAAUAAUUAAAAAUAAUAAUAUGUGACAAGAUUAUCAUAAAUUACUAUGGUUUUGUGUUUUGGCAAAUUUGCUAGGAAAAAUCUCUAAUAAUGUGGCAAAUAUUGAUACAAAUUUUUUGUACCAAUUUGUGGUAAAUGUUGCCACAAAAUGCCACAGAUUCUGUCAACGUGGCAAAAUUGACACGAAUUUACAACAAAAUAUAAGAAAGUUUUUAAAAAUCGUUAUUUGUAGUAAAUUUGUGGUUAUAUUGUCACAAAAUGCCACAGAUUUUGUCAGCGUGGCAAAACUGACACGAAUUUACAGUAAAAUGCAAGAAAGUUUUUAAAAAUCGUUAUUCGUGGUAAAUUUGUGGUUAAAAACACUUGCCAUAAAAAAAUAUGGCAAAGUUGUGGCAAUUGACAUUUUUUCUUGUAGUGGAUUUUGAAGGCUCAUUUCUGAAGCCUGUAUCAUUUUCUCAGCCUCAAUUCUGGAACCCUAGACACCAGAGAGUAUUGGAGACUAUAAAUACAUGUCAUUUAGGUCAUUUUUGAAAAGAGAAGAAGGGAGACGAAAUACUUUACAGAAAUUUUACUUUAAGCUUUGUUUUUAGGUUUUAGGAAAAGAGAGAUCUGUCUCUUGAACCCUUGUUCUUUUUUUUUCAAUUUUGGUUUCUAUUCUACUUUUUAAUACUAUGUUUUUGAUUUCGUUUAUCAUGUCUGAGUAGUUUUAUUGUUGGGACUAAGGGAUUUUCGAUGGGGAUAUAUAUGUUCGGUGAGGAUUCCAUGAGCUUUUGAGCCGAAUCUUAGAACUUUUUCUUCUGAAUUCGUUUUUACUGCAUGAGAAUAGCGUCAUGAACUACAAUCUGAUCCAGAUGCUUGGUGACACGAAAGUGUUCAUCCGGUGUCAUAUCUAGUUUGGGAGAGCAAAACAAACAUACGAGUGGAAACCUACCUAUGGGCGAUUUGUGAAUGCUGACGAGUCUUAAACAUAAUGCAUCUCUUCUUUUCCAGGGCCAGAGUGGAAACCUACUGGUCAAGGUUGAGAGAGAUAGUUGUCUAUGAUCACGACAGUGGCGUAUUCAUACGUCCGUGACUCCAGUUCGAAAAUUUUAAGCUAAGAUCUUAUCAAAUUUACUCUCGAGCAAUGUUUUGAAUCGUCUAUACCCCUGAGAAAACUUCUCUGAACCCCAGCGCCUCUUUUCUUAUAGAUUUAUACUGAUUUUCAUUCAAGCUUUAGUAUAGUAUCUUUACUCUUUCAAUCGAUUUUCAUUUAAGCAAUUAGGUUAGCCGUUUUUCUCGUUUUUACCCGUUUUUGUUAAGUUUAGUUAUUAGGUCAUUUUAAUUCCCGUAUUUUCUCUUUAAGAUUCUUUUUUACGUUUUAAACACACCACCAAAACCCUCACAAAACUCGCCUGGUUCUAGACUUCCUUACUUUAUAUUUCUUUCGAAGGCUUUUGCAGUAAAGAUCCUCCUUCCCUGUGGAUUCGAUCCCUUAGUAGUACAAUCGAUCAGCUGUGCACUUACGGCUAUUGAUUUCAUUUACGGUAAAACUUGACACCCUCACCACGACAGCACAUCAACCACUUUAAGAACUUACGGAUAUUACGGUUGAUUAGACGCAAGAUUAAGAGCAAAUCACAUCAAUCUUAUAAUAGAUUGCUCGAAUUUAAAUAUUGUAUACCAUUAUACAUUAAGGGAAAAGCACAAAGUCUCAUCAUUGUUACUAUCAUCAUUGUCUACUUCAUUGUUUUCAGUUUCAUUCGUUCCAAUCUGCCAUAUCCAGUUAUAUACAUUAAUUAUUAUAUGUGAAUGAAAUGAUAUGGAUCAAAUCUUCAAUAAAUUUUGUGCAUACUUGGUCAUUGAUAAUCAUGUUUGAUGAUUUAUAGAAAAUGCAAAGUAAAUAGAAAUGUAUAUAAUACUUAUUCCCCUUUUUUAUACUCAUCAAGCUUGGUGGUCCUAUACAUUUGAUGAAGGCAAUAACAUAAAAUUGGUUCAUAUUAAGUCCAACAUAAUAUGCAAAAAAUUGAUAAGAUAUAUAUAUAUAUAUGCAUAUAUUGGGAAAAAAUGAAGAAACUAAAUCAUGUAUAUAUAUAUAUAUAUAUAUGUUACGACCUGGAGAUGGCUCUUUACAUGUGAUAUAGUGAGUCAUUCAAUAUUUAUUAUCUCCGAAAUUCUAUUAGGAGUUGCUUCUGCAUUUACGAUGAUUAAUACAAGUUAAAUUUAUAUUAAAAGAAAAUAAUGUUUAGCCCAUAACUCUAGAUCUAGGAUUGUUAUGUAGUUUUUAUAUAUGUUAGCAUCCUAAUUUAUAAUUCCGAUCCCCGAAUUUGACAAAUAUGAAUAUAUCAGACAAAACAAAAAACAGAAAAGAUAAGAGAAUCGUAUAAUCAAAAAAUUGAAAAGGAUAUGUAUCUGAUGAUAAAUUGAAAACAAUAGUUGAUGAUUCCAGUAGCAAUCUAUUUUAUGAUUUUCCUGAUUUUAUUUUAGAAAAUCAUACAAAACAAGAAAAAUAACUAACUUACGAUGUAUUCCGCCAAGUUGUACAGCCGCAUAAAUAAAGCGAUCGUGAUGAUAGGCACUCCUUUGCAUCCGAUCCAUUUUUUCACCUAUUAUAAGGUCUAACAAUCCUGACUUUUAUCAGAAAUAUUCUCGAACUUUACAGUUUUUAGUUUUUAGUUAUUAAAAACUCCGAUUAUGAGUGGUCAAUUUAUAGUAGUUGUAGACAAAAUUUAUGAUGUUAAAAAAAUUAAUUAAUAAUUUUCAUAAAUAUAAAGGGUAGAAAAACAUUAAAUGUGCUAUUAAACUUGUCAUAUUACAUAUCUUUUUACUUUCUUUUUUUUUGGUUUUCUAAAUUAGUUUGUUUAUUAUUUCCAUUAUUUAGAAAAAAAUCUUUUACAACUAUGAAUGAAUUAUUUAAAAAGUUAUAUAUAUAUAUAUAUAUAUCUGUAAGCAUAAUUCAAAUCUUCAAUUAUAUAUGCUAAGUUAAGUAUUUCCAUUAUUUGGAAAAAGUGCCUUACAACUAUGAGUUGGAUCAUCAAGAAAAUAAAAUAUAUGUAAGUUUUAUUCAAAUCAUCUUAGAUAUAUUUUGAAAAGAAUCACCGGCAUUAUUUUAAAAAUCUUAAUGUAAACCUUAAAAAUUAAACCCAUAAAAGCUAAGAAUUCAUGUUUCCAACUCCAAAAAUGAUUUUUUUUUUCUUUUUGGUCGGCCUAUCCUUAUUUUUGUCUUCUUGUUUUUCCUCACUUGAGGGGUUUCCAGCUUUUUAUGCGUGUUGUGAUCCUUGAGCGGGUAGGACGCUGUGUUCUUCCCUCGUAACUAUGUUGUCUUUCUCCGGUUCCCUUUUUCACCUCCGGGUUAUAGAUCUGAUUUGUUACCCACACUUCUUCCUCCAAUUACCUCUGGUCGCACCAUCCGGGGAUGGCAGUGGAACAUGCUACAAGGGGGUUUUCCUCCGGCUCCUCUCCUUGGUCUCCGGUAAUCUCCCAUUCGUCAUCACUUGCCCCUCCCUCGGCGUUCUCCCUUUGGCCGGGAUCCUUUGAGCCGCUGGGUAUGUAAGGUUUAUUCUCUCUAAACUCGAUCAUGCCCACUUGGCACUGGCAGUUUUUCGCUCUGGCUCUAACGGUGUUUAGUUUUUUGCCAAUCACUCUCUGGGUCUCUCCCAUUUGCAUUCAUAGGUUGUUGCCUCCAAAUAUGUGUUCUUGGUGGUUUUCUGACCCGAAUAGAAAAAUUUUGCUUGGAGAGUGUUGUUCAUCUAGUGCAGAACUGUUUAGGGAAUUUUUAGUCAUCUGCGCAGGCAAGUCUCCUGCAAAACUAGCAAACGCGUGAAGGCCUUGAAAACAUGAUGGAGGGGUGUUUUUUGAUGGCUCUCCUAUGCUCAAGUCAGAAAACAGUGAAAGAAAGACCACGAAGUGGCAAAUUGGAGAGAGGGAAGAGAUCAGAAAAUGGAGGAAGGAAGUUUGGCUGAGAGCUCAUGAGAAAAAUGGAAUCUGCUUGGACCUUUGUGUGGUAAUGGGCUUUUUGAGGUGAAAAAAAGAAGAAGUGUAAGAAGUUUGGGGUGAGAGUGCUCUAUGGUUUAGGAACCGCCGUGGAGAAGAAGUCAAGAGAUGGUCGUAACAAUGACCGGAAAUGUAAAGUGUUAUGGCUUAAGGAUCACGAGUAUCUAGAGAGUUAGCAUGAGCCUUAAGUUAGCAAAAAGAGUGAACCCCCUUCUCGUUAAAGGGAAAAGGUAUUUAUAGAGUUUUAUCUAAUCCAGCUUAAUAUACCUGAACGGUCCUUGGGUCACAAGUUUGGCGGGUCGGUUCGUGAUCCGACUUGGUCGGUUCAUGAUCCGACAUGGUCGGAUCCGAAUCUUAUGCUUGCAUCAUGCCUCUGAUGAUCUCACCAACUUUCAUUGACAUGUUCUGCCUGCUGCGGAACCGCUCCUUGUUGGUACCGUUUUCAACCUCAACGAGCUUACCCUUCUUAGAAAUGACUAAGUGUUUGAAACCCGAGCCGUAGCUGCAGGUGGGCCGAGCUGGCAAAAGAGAACAACGGCUCGUCGAGUAUGGACCGAGUCCAGCCAAGAACAACAAAUGGGCCGAGCUGCUCCGUGGAGCAUCUGGACUGAGCCGUGAGGGAACAAGCGGCUCCGUGCUGCGUCUGGUUCGAGCCGCAUCAUAAACAAUGGGUCGAGCUGCAUCGUGAAUAAGUGGGCCGAGCCGGAUGAUCUCCAGGGGUUAACAUGCCUAACCGCGAGAUUGAAGCCCACACAAAACCCUAGGUUAUAAGAAGACGACUGUGCAAGGCGAUAAGGAAAAUCUUCGAGAAUCUCUCCCAAGAUUCUCGGCUAGGCGGUUUAUUGAUUCUGCAUAAAUAGUCAAUAUAUGCAUCUCAUUAUGUAACUUUGGCAACCCUAAGCAAUAAGACUAAACACUUUCGCAGCAAUAAAAAUCUUAUUUUGAUCUUUAUGUUCUUGCGCUAAACCCUAGAAAUUUUUGAUCCCUUUAAGUUUCUUUACAAGUUUUGAUUGUACGAAUUUUGGCUCACAAAAUUUGGCGCCAUCUGUGGGGAAUCGAAAUCUUCUUACUUGAAAAUUGACAAGACUCUAAGAUCCAAAGAGUAUGGCGAAAAACACCUCGAUGACGAGAACAACAACAACAAUAGCAACAACAGCAUGGAGAAGAAUGCACCCCCAGAAAAACCGGCAACAACAACCGAAGCUCAGGACGAGAUAAAGAGCAUGCUAACCACGUUAAUGAAGAAGAUCUCGGCUCGUUGCCUAGGCAUCAUCUUACCUCGUCACCUAGGCAUUAUCUCGGCUUGUUGCCUAGGCAUUAUCUCGGCUCGUCGCCUACGCACCAUCUUGCCUCGUCGCCUAAGAAUCAUCUUGCCUCGUCGUCUAGGCAUCAUCUUGCAUUACCGCUUAGGCAUCAUCUUGCCUUGUCAUCUAGGCAUCAUCUUACCUUGUCACCUAAGCAUUAUCUUGCCUUUUCUCCUAGGCAUCACCUCGCCUCAUCGUCUAAGCACUAACUCGCCACGUCGUCUAGAUAUCAUCUGACCUUGUCGGCUCGACAUUAUCUUGAAUAAAAACGCCUCGUCAUUAAUGUAGAACGGCUCGGAAAAUCUCGUAAAAAAUUGCCUCGCCGUUAUUAUUCUAAACAAAAAAACACUCAAACAACCACACACGAAGUACAAGACCAGUGAGCCUCAGGAACUUUGCCAUUUCUUCACGGCUCGGUAUUAUCUGAAGUCAUAGACACGCCUCAUUGUUGUAAACACGGCUCGGCGCUGUUCCCAACAACGGAAACGCCUCGUCAUUGCUGACGCGAUUGGGUGAUCUUCUUGAAACAUUAAAAACACUUCGCCUCGCUCAAGAGCUAGCUUUUGUUACUUGAUUAACAUUUUUGUGAUGAAGCUAUAUUAAUCUGAAACAGACGAGCUUUUGUUCAUUUUUCUUUUCUUUUUUCCCGUAUUCGGAGUACCUGUAUAACAAAGUGACUUUAUAACCUGAUAACCAUAUACAGUAUAAUCAAAGUGGUUCGAUAGUACCACCACAGUAUAACCGGUCCAUACCGAUACCGGACUUGGGCCGUUUCAACUAUUCUUCAUGUCAUCGAUAACAAAAUGUCUAAGAUCUUCCAGCAAAAUCUUGGUGGUUUUGAUGACGAUCGCACGCAUGAUCCAAGAAACCGGUGGUAAAUUAAGAAGAGGAGAAGGCUCAAAGAUCUCCUCCAUUGUCACCUUCGAUGCAAUCCUUCCUUGUCCUCCGCUACAUUUUUUGUACUCUUGUUGAUUCUUGGGGUCAAUGUGCUUGCACAAGCGGUCUGCAUCUAUGUAUAGUGGCUCAACUUUCCAGCUACCCUCCAACACUUUCAUGUACAUCAUCUUCUCUUUUUUAUAUUUUGCCUAAUCAAGAGAUGAUCAAAAUCAAAAUUUAGUUCACUCAAAAUCGAACCCAACAAAAAAAAAAAAUUGAUUCUUGUGAGGGAUAUAGAUAAGGUAUGUCACCGUAAGAUUUUGAUGGUUUUCAUCGAUGAUUAGAUGUAUCGGGAUAGUUCCAGACCACCAAAGGAGCUUCCAUCUCAAAGCUUUCCCCACCUUUGUGAUCUGCCUUGGUCCAUCCUUCUUCAAAACCUUUGUUGAUUUGUUUUCCUUUAUAAGAAAAAAGACCACACACUCUCAAGUUUUUUGGAAUAAUUCAUACUCAAUUUCAAUCAUACAUAUGAGAAAGAAAAAAAACAAACCAGACGCUGGCUAGAGUGAUCGUUGUCGAAUGGACUGAAGAAUGAUAUGUUUCUUGGAUUAGUGAGCAUCUCAUAGGCUCCUUGAGGAAAUAAUCCUAAUGUGAAUUCUAUGUUCAAAUGGCAAAGACCAUUUUUUGUUUUCACCUUUAAAAAAAUGUUAGAAAGUUUUAACAACUUCUUUUCAUAAUUCUAGCAACUCAUAUAAUUAAAUAAAAAAAUAUUGGUAUUUUGUUUGAUGAUUUGCUAUAUUUACCUUCACCUUAGCCGGAGCAUCAUACCAUGGCUGCUUGUUGUUUGCAUUUGUCCAAACUCUUGCUUGUCUCUUCAGCUCAGCUAAAUCAAAAUAUUUAGGAUCUACCGAAUAUAAUGUCCUAGAUUUAACAUCCCCAUGUUUCUUGGCCGCGGCCUAAUACAACAAACAUAAUCUAAUUUUAAUAUCAUAAAAAAAAACAAAAACAAAAAUCUAAUUUAACAAUUAACCGAUAUAGUAAAAAAAUUAUAUUUUUUCUUGAUUUGUUAUUACCUUCGACUCAGGGUCCUCAUCAGGAUCCUCAUACCAUGGUUCCGGAUUAUUAGUAUCUGAAUUAGAUUUAACAUUCUCAUGUCUCUUGGACUCGGCCUACGUACAAAAACAAACAGAAUCAUGGUAUAAUUUGUAUAAUGUAUAAUUAAUCGGUUUUAUUGAUCGAUGGAAAUGAAAACUGACCUUAAGAGGCUGUUGCAUGUUCUGAUUGAUCCACCCACCAAAUCCAGGAAAUACACUCAUUAUGCUAAGUACAUAAUCAGAACAAGAGAUAAAUUAUGACGAUCCAAUCUUGAAUAUAUUAUGGUUGGAAGAACCUUAGAUAAAAGCUAAAUUUAGACAAGAUACAAUAUGAUAAUCAAAAGAAUAGUGUACGUUAUCUGAAACAAAGAAGUGGGAAGCUCCAUUCUCGUGAGUUCUUGACGUACAAGCGAGAGCUUGCUACCUGAAGAAAGAAGAUAUUGAAAGUCGAUAGAUUAAUGAAGCUUCCUUUUCACGGAAACAAAAUUCAUCUAUAUAUGUCUGAUUUGUAUCUGAGAAAAUUUAGGAAUGUAUGAUCAUUAUAUAGCUUUUGUCCUAUCUCCGUUUGUCCUAAAAUUUUGUUACAUUUUUUUCACAGGUUUAAUCUGUGUUAAUUACUUUCCUUAGCAGAUUUAAGUAGUUCGCCGUGGCCCGUGGGUAUAGUAGGUGAACUCUAGGCGCAUUAGUGUAUGUUAAUUGGAUUAUAAAAAUUAUUUCUGAACCCUAUAAACUAAAUCCUACACCUAACAUGAUGUUUUUUAUUUGUUUUUUGUUUGAAUGUGAUAUUUAUUAAAUAGGACUAAAUAUCUACAAGUGUAACCAAGAACAAAAAGUCAAAGAAAUAAAAAAUGAAGUAAAACAGAGCUUAAAAAAAUAUUUCCUAAACAAUAACAGUUGGAUUUUGCACUUGAGAAGCAAACCUCCAUUAUCAACUUGUAAAGUUUCGAGUUGUCACGAUAACGAAUAUAGGAUGUCCAUACGUGAAUCAUUCAUUUAAUCUCACGGGCAAGGGGAUGAGGAAGUUUCUAACCAUAACAAUGAAAUCGCGUGUUCUUCACUCGUCAAAUUUGAUACAUCGACACUUAGUAAGCGAGGCAGUGGAAGAUUAUGCUUGCACAUUUCAUUGGCAAAACUAGUGUAGAGGAAGAUGAGAGUUUCCAACCAGUUAGGAUCAACUUCAUGUCCAAGUAUAAUUCCCACAACCUUAGAUCGUACCAUAAAAAUGUAGGAAAAUUAAACAAAAAAAAAGGUGAACCUUCGUUUUGCUGAUUCUCCACACAAUAGACAACUACGGUGUUGUCUCCAAGCUUGCAUUCCAUAACCAUUAGAGGUGGUUGUGCACUGCCGACCAUGCAAUGAAGGCACAACGUGAAAUAUCUUGUUUGAACCAUAGUUCCACCUAGGGGUGUAUUCGAAUCCUCGGGUUCAGGCUGGGUAUUUCAGAUUUCAGUUAGUUCAGGUUCAGGCACUUAGGUAUCGAUUAGGUAUUUUAAAAAUUUGGAUCACGUUCGGUUUGGUAUUUUUUGGGUUUGGAUCGGUAUAGUUUGAUGACCAGACCAACUAGCGAAGUCAUCCAGAGUUUAACUAAUACCAUGUAAAGAUGAGCUGCUACCAAUGAAAAAAAUCAUCACAUCAUCCGCAAACAUCAAAUGAGAAAUCUUCAAAAACUCGGUGUUUGGGUGAUAGUUGAUGUAACAUGAUUCAAAGCGGGAGUGAAGCAGCCUCGAGAAAAUUUCCAUAGCUAGCACGAAAAGGUAUAGAGAAAACGGAGCCAGGGAGCUUCUAAAGAAACCACUGGAUUGCCCAUUAAUUGACACUGAGAACCAGGGAGUGGAGAUACACUCUGAGAUCCAGUUCACAAACUUUUCUAGAAUGUUAAGGCCUCUAAGCAUUGUAAGAACGAAAUCCCAUCUCACCGAAUAAAACGCUUUACAGAGGUCAACUUUAAGCAUUGCACGAGGCUCAAUAUAUUUCCAACUAUAACCAUUUACAAUCUCCGUAGCGAGCAAAACAUUUUCAGCUAGGAGCCUCCCAGACAUAAAAGCAGACUGAUUAUGCGAUAUUACCACAUCAAGCAAAUGCUGCAAUCUCGAAGCAAUAAGUUUAGACAGGAGAUUGGCCUGAAGUCAGAAAGCUUGGCCACAUUUAACACCUUUGGGAUGAGAACUAGAGAAUUCCAUUGUCUUAACAUUCUACCCGACUUGAAGAAUUCACCGACGGCUUCAGUCACUUCUGGGCCAACAAUGCUCUAGCACCCAGUGAAAAACUCCACAGAGAAGCCAUCUGGCCCACAGGUCUUGUUCGCAGGCAGAGAGAAGAAGACGUUUUUAAUUUCCAACUCUGAGAACUCCUUCUCCAGAUUGGCUCUUUGGAUCUGAUAACAUUCAAAAUCCAAGAGAUUAGAUAUGUCCUCCUGAGUGAAAAUAGAGGGACUCACCUCGCCCCCCCCCCCCCCCCACAAAAGGUCCUCAUAGUAAUUAAUACAGUGGCUUUAAAUGUCCUGCUGGGAUUCAUAGAUGAAUCCAUCUGAGUCUUCAAGAGAGUGAAUGUGGUUAGAAGAUGACCUCGCCGACAUCAUUCUCUGAAAAUAAGCAGAACCGCAAUCUCCUUCUUUAAUCCAAGUGAUUCUGGAUUUUUGGAAAAGAAACGCCUCUUCUGCUCUACUAAGUAUCUGCCAUUUUCGGGUUGCUUCAAGUUCCAAAGCAGCAUUAGAAGAUGUGGGAUCACGAAGCAUGUUCUCCUGACUAGCAAUAACAAACUCAUGGGCCUCCUCUGUUCUUUUCUCCAGAUUAGAGAAGUUUGCUUUGCUAUAGGACCUGAUCGGAUUCUUCAGAGCUUUCAACUUCUGGGAAACAAGAAACAUGGCAGAUCCCACCACCUUAUGAGAAACCCAAUGGUUCUCCACCACAUCCAAAAAGUCACCACUUUGCAGAAGAAAAUUUAGAAACUUAAAUGGCUUCUUCUAACGUUGGUGAGUGAUAACAAAUGAUUUUGACCAUAUUCAUGGAUCGCUUUCAGUAUCUUAUGCAUGUGUUUUCAAUCAGUUUUAAAGGUUUUAUAAGUGUUUUUCAUGUUCUGGAAAUUUAAAAGAUUUUUCAGGUUUCUGAGACAAAAACAAUGCAAAUUAGACAAAAAUCCACUUUUGCCCAAUUUCGUACUGUCAGAAGUUUCACAUCCGAUGAAGACUUUCUCACUGUCUGAUCAAGCUCAUAUUUGGACACAAGAUAGAGGAGACAACCGGCUUUCUAAUGAAAUUGAAUUGGACGCAAUCCAACGGUUGGGUCAUAGGUUAUUUUCAAUUUACUGAAGACAUGUUCUGCAGUCUCGCAAAAGAAGCAAGAGAAGGAAUGAAGUUUGGACAUCAUAGGCCAACCACCGCGGUUCAGGAGCUCGUGACCGCGGUGAACACCAUCCUGGCCACGCCUCAGAGCCUCCACCCACGGUGAACUCAUAUUUACCAGCCAUGGAAAGCCCAAUUCUGCGACAAAUCCAUUUUUGGUCUAAUGACCCGUUUUCAAGCCCAACUCAUUCUCUCUUCAAAGAAAGCCCUAAAAACGACCAGAAAUACUUAGAGACCCAGGGCCAGCCCGUAGCUAAAUCAGGUAAAGCCCUUGCUUUAGGGCGUCAACAAAUAUAUAACAAUUUAGGGCAUCAAAAUCUGAAAUUGUGUUGAAGUGCAGUGUCAAAACAUCGAUUAGUAAACCACUAGUACAUGGGUUCGAGACUAGAUGAUGGUAUAUUUUGUAAUUUUUUAAUAAUGGGCUCAAAUACUUUUUUUUUUUUGCUUUAGGCAGCAACACCCAUUGGGCCAGCCCUGUGGAGACCUAUAAAUAUGUAUUUUAGAAGACCUAAUUUUGUGUGUGCUCCUUUUCCCUUGAUAGGGAGGCACCCAACUUUUGUUUCUUAGGUUUAGUCAGGGAGAUAUAUAUUUUUCUCUUAGAACUUUUGUUCUUUUUUUUUUUAUCAAACUAUUCAGUUUAUGCAAUCUAAUUUACUUUACUGCUUUUCUGUUUCAAAACCAAUGAUGAUGUUGUCAAGCUCAGCCAUGUCUGAGUAGUUACCUUGUUGGGUAAGAGGGCCAUCGAAAGGGACCCCAUGACCGAUGACAUCUAGGUUUUUUAGAUUAAAGGAUUUUGAUUUUAAAUAAUUCUCCCAUUCAUCCUGUUCUUAAUGCUGUAUGCUGGAGUAGCUAACCAGUAUCCGAUCUAAGGUUAAAUCCGAGCCAUGAGAGUGUUGUAUAUGGGUAAUCUGAACUGGAUCUUAUGGACGUCACCGUCGAGACGAAAGCUACCUAUGGAGGAUACGUAAGCCGAGAUAGAUUCCGAUCUGAAAUGCAUGAUCUUAUUCCGGCAUGAGCGAGAGUUAAUUUCCGAGAUUAAGUUAUUAGAUGAUUAGGGUGACGAGAGUUGGCUAAUCUUAUAAGUGUAUAUCCUAGUUUCAGAAUCAUAGAAAAUCCUUACCUAGAUUCUUUGUGUCAUAGAUCAUGAACCCUAAAGAUGAACUCUAAUACCCUGCACGUUUUUCAUCUUUGUUUUGAUCUAUUUUUAUUUCUUGUUUAGCUUAGUAGAAAUCGUGACCCCAAAACCCUACAAAAAAACUCCAUUGGUCUUUGACUUCGAUUACUAAUCCAGUUUGAAGUUUUUGCAGAAAAGACAACUCUCCAUGUAUCCUAAGUACUACAACACACGACUGUACACUUGCAGACACUAGGGUUUACAAAUUUAAAACUUCUUUUGCGACAUCAACCCUAGCUCGCAUCAGUGAGCAGGGUAUAAGACGACACCACAAGAGGUGUGAUCUGAGAAAUCAGGCGUACCAAAAACCCCAAAAGAAGAGGAGAACUGUAUAUGCCACAAGACAUUUACCAGGAUCCUAUCAAGCUUUUUAGCCACAGGGUUCAGAGCCCUCUUAUUCCACCAGGUGAACAGACAACCUCUGUAAGUUAAAUCCUCAAGCGAGGCAUCUAGGAGAGCUUCACAGAAGUCUCUAGUCGGCGUAUCCACAUUUCCACCAGGAGAAGGGGAAUGUUCAGAGGGGUACAAGGUCUGAUUGAAAUCACCAAUUACAGCCCAGGAUUUACCAGAGACACUUGGAUUUGCAGAAAGCUGAACAAUCUCCUAUCAAAGCUGCUUUCUCAUCUCCUCAUUAUUAGAAGCAUACACAGAGCAUACUAUGAACUUGCUUGUGUACUCAGGAAGCUUGACCCCACAGGCCACCAUUUGAAGAGACUUUGAUAGAAUAGUGAUUUUAACACUAGGGUGCCAUAAAACCCAAAUUUUACCUAAAUCUGAAAAGCCGUAGUUAUCGUUGAAUUGCCAGCCAGGAAGAAUAGAAUUGAUGAACUUCCUCUGCUUAGCCUGCUUGACGUGAGUCUCCAUAAGACUACCAAAAAGUGGAUUUUUCUGCUUGAACCAUUUCUUAAACCCAGUGCGGUGGCUAUUCUUAUUAAAACCACCCACGUUCCAGCCAAAAAAGUCUUAUACACACAAAAAAAAAUCAGUGUUUUUUGGGACCCUUAUCCCGAUUAUUCCUUUGCUUCCUUCUAGACAGCACUUCAAAUAAAAUCAUCUUCUUUAUCUCUCAAUUCUCCUUCCUCUGAAUCAGUUGAUUCCACAUCAGAAGAUUCUGGUUCAGCCUCCAAGAAAGAGAGCAUAAUCCCCUUUCCAUUAGCUUUCUCCACUCUCGAAGCUUCCUCAACAACAACAGUGCUCAUUGCACUCGAUUCACCAACAAGAGACUGGUUGAAAUAUGACUCUUUUCCACUCUUAGCAUUGCCGCUGUCCUUUUGUAGAGGAGCAGAGGCUGGCUUAUCAAGCUUCUUUGAAACGGCAAUGUACUGACCUUGCAAAGCUUCUACCGAUGCUUUUCCCUUAAAACUCUUCUGCUUUGAUUUCGAUCUCGUGCACUUCUCAUCAGAAUGAGCAGAGGAUUUACAGAUAGAGUAUGUGGGAGGCGCUUUCUUACAUCUCUUAAUGCUAUGCCCUAUUUCUUUGCAGUGAGAACAAACUUGAGGCAUCCAAGGGCUAGCAACGUUUACUCUCCAAACCUCACCCGACUGGAACCGCACGUUCACUACCUCCGGCAGCGGUUUUCUCGGAUCGAUGAUGGUGAAGACCUUAGCCACCUCCAAGUUUGUUUUAUUCGCAGUUGAAAGGUGCAGAAAUUUGAGGUCACCAGCUUGAGUGGAACAUUGAAAAACUGAAGGGGAACAUUUCUGGAUUCAUCGGGACAAAUCCUAGUUCCCAGUCAACUACAAGCAUGGUCUGCCUUUCAAUAUUCCAGAGGCGUUGAGCAAGAACCCGAGCUCGAGUGGCAGGCUGGCAGCGUUUGGGAUUCUGAACAAAAAAGCAUUUCCAUCCAUUUUAGUUAUUGAAACAUUCAGAAACUGCUUACUCCAAAUCCCAUUAACAAUUGCGUGAACAAUUUUUUUUUAAAUUAUCGAAAACUUAAUUUAAAAUAUUUUUUUUUCUAGGCCCCUAUAAUUUAUGCAUUGUUUAAGCGGCUUACAUCGUUGAAUUCUACCAUAGUUAAAGUCUAAUCGCCAUGGUGGAAGUAGAGGUGUCAAAUUGGGCUCUAAUCCGCGGGUUCGGCCCAAGUAAAACCACAGCGGUGCGGGCUUGGGCUCCAUAAAAUUUGUCCAAAUAAAAAGCGGGUUUUGCGGUCUAAACCCACGUGGAAGUUGGGCUUUUGCGGAUCGGGUCAAAGCGGAUUCGCGGGUUUGCGGGCCAACCCGUAAAAUUUGAUGUUUUCUUGUAAACUUCGAAAAGUGAAGUAUUUUGUCAUUUUUGAUUGGCGGAUUUCGAAGCAGUAGUUUCAUGGAGUGAAUCGAAGCCUAGUGGAGUCAUACAAUUCAGCUAUUGGGCUUUGUGAUAGCUUCAUUUCAAUGAGAUCAAGGAAUCAUCAAACUGGUAUGUGUUUUAUAUUCGAUUUGAUUCAGAUUCUGUGAUUGGAUUUUUGAAUUUGGGAGAAAAUCUGAUCAUUGUCUUCCCAGCUAAAAACUAGUAUUUUUUUUAGAGUUUUAAUUAAUUUCAGUUUAAUGUCAUAAGUUUGUUUUUUUUGUUGGUUUUGCUCAUCGACUAUAUCACGGACGUGGUUUUUAUUUUGUCCGCAGCGAUACAAAGGUAAUUUAGAAUCUCUUAAAUCUUGAAUUGACAAUAAAUAGUUUUGCUUGAAAAUCACAUUUGUUUGUAUGCUGGACUAACAAAUAAGCUUUGUUCAUCUUUUUUAUAUAUAAUAUAUAUAUAUAUAUAUAUAUAUAUAUCUAUAUGUGAAUGUCUUGUUGCUUGUAUCUUGAUGGUUAUUUAGCUUAAAUUACCAGUUUUUAUGUGUAUCAUUAUUUGUAAUUCAUUUAUUUGCUUUUCAAAACUAAGUGUCUAUUUUUACAGUUAAAUUGAUUUUUCAAAUCUUAUGGUAUCCUUGGGUUAGGAGUUUUGUAUAAUAAGUUUAUCGAAUUCAUUUGUUUGUUCAUCGAAUUUACUUAGACAAGAAUUUUCUUUAGUUUUGUUUCUUAUGCAUAUUGUGAUUUAUUCUCCUCUUGCAAAUUUUCUGGUAUUAUAAAUCUAAAUGUCAUAAAAACUUUAAGAUGAAGAAGAAAGUAUGAAUCCGUAAGCCAGCCUACAAAACCGCAGAAUAUAGGCGGGUCGGACUUGGACACAUCAAUUUGGGACCGCAGCUUAUGAUGGAUCAGCCCACCAGACCCAAAAAAAAAUUAAACCGCAUGAGUUUGGAUUAUUUGGACGCGGAUUGACCCGUUUGACAUCUCUAGGUGGAAGUCCACCUAAUUUACUUUCUUUAACACUAACUAUAUAGAAAACAUGUGACAGUUUUAUUUAUAUAUACAAAGUAUGCACAACGUUUUUCUGUAUGAAAACAGCGCAACGCUCUUUAAUUUAGUACCACAACAUCGUGCUGUGUUUUCCGGUGACUGCUUUCUGAAAGAGACGUCUAUGUUCUCUGGAAUCCACAAUUCCCAAUCCUAAAGAGGGUUAAACCCAAACCCCUCAUUUGUGAAAUCAGGUAAAUUUCUUUGUUCCAGUUUCUUUAAUGUUGGGUAUAGAAGUCUCUUCGUAUUGUUUAGCGCAAAGUUUUCAUUUUUUUGUCUUCUUCUGAUGCUUAUGGUUUACAAUCGAAACUGUAAAUUGAAAAGUGCAAUGUAAUGCUGACUCGAAAUGUUUUAGCUUGUAAAGGUCAUUCAACUGAGUAUAAAGUUAACAAAUUUGAAGUAAGUUUGGAUGAAUGAGGUUAUGGUGUUUUCGAUAAGCAAGAAGUUGAUGCUGUGAUAAAUGAAGUUCCUUUGAAUGUUUUCCUUUAGAAAUGGAAGGAAAAGAGACACAAAUAGGCUGCUGAUUUUAUGUAAAAUUGAGUAAAGUUAACAUUUUUGUAACUAUCUAGGAAGAAUCAUUGGUGGGUACAAUGUUUAUACAAAUAUUAAGCAUGAAUCAGGAUAUGGUCUUCUUGAUAAGCUAGAAGUUGAUGUUGUGAUAAUGAAGUUCCUUUAGAAAUGGAAGCAAAUGAACAGAAAUAUGCUGCUGAUAUAUCUUCCAUAAAGGAAGCACAUGAGCGUAUCAAGCCGUUUAUUCACAAAACCCCGGUGUUAACAUCUGAAUCGUUGAAUUCAAUCUCCGGAAGAAGCUUGUUCUUUAAGUGCGAGUGCUUUCAGAAAGGGUAGGUGAGGGUACUUAUUAGCUAUCAAUGUUGCUUUUCUCUCUGAAGUUUCUCUCAUUGUCCUCACUAUUGAUCACUUUUCCUUUUCUGUUUAUUGUGAAAAAACAAGUGGAGCUUUCAAAUUCCGGGGGGCGUGCAAUGCUGUUUUGUCGCUUGAUGCUGAACAAGCAGCCAAAGGGGUUGUAACACACAGCAGGUUCUGUACUAGUGAUUUGGGUACUUGAUGAUGUUUUUCUAUUGUAUUCACUUGGUAGUCCCUUACUGAUUUACUGUUUGGUUUUGUUAUAACAGUGGCAACCAUGCUGCUGCGUUGUCUUUAGCUGCAAAGAUUCAUGGAAUCCCUGCGUAUAUCGUUGUACCUAAAGGUGCUCCAAAGUGCAAAGUUGAUAAUGUGAUCCGUUAUGGUGGUAAGGUUAUAUGGAGUGAAUCAACAAUGUCUUCUAGAGAGAAAGUAGCUUCAAAAGUUUUGCAGGAAACAGGUUCAGUUCUCAUCCACCCAUAUAAUGAUGGACGUGUUAUAAGGUAUUGUGGCUUUCUCGAUAAUGGUUUUUCAAAUUACUGUUACUCUAGAGCUUUCUUUUGGCUAGAAAAACAGAAAUUUCAAUCUUAUGCAUAACUCUUAAUACAGCAGAGUAGUAAAUCCUCUGAAAGAUUAUGUUAUAUCUUUUUGGGGCAAAAAUUCAUAUUAGUAUGAUUUGGGAUGGGUUAUCUGUUCUUUUCUGCUAUAAAAGUGUGAUGGCUGCAACUGCCAAGUCAUUUUCAACUAAAAGUUUGGGUUAUGAUUCUUUGAACAGUGGUCAAGGCACAGUUGCAUUGGAACUGCUAGAGAAAAUCCAAGAGAUUGACACUAUAAUUGUGCCAAUAAGUGGGGGUGGGUUGAUCUCUGGUGUGGCUCUUGCUGCCAAAUCGAUUAAGCCUAGCAUCCGGAUCAUAGCCGCUGAACCCAAAGGAGCUGAUGAUGCGGCUCAGUCUAAGGUUGCUGGUAGAAUCAUCACUUUACCUGUCACCAAUACCAUAGCUGAUGGCCUUAGAGCUUCUCUAGGAGAUUUAACAUGGUAAAUCUAAUUCUUACUUAGUAGAGGAAUCAUGUUAUAGAACAUAAAAUGUUGCAAUCUGUAUCAUUCCAUCUAAAAAUAUUUUGUUUUUGUUCAAUCAGGCCGGUAGUGAGAGAUCUGGUAGAUGAUGUGGUGAUUUUGGAAGAUGGGGAGAUAAUAGAAGCCAUGAGAAUGUGCUACGAGAUACUGAAAGUCUCUGUGGAACCAAGUGGUGCCAUUGGACUAGCAGCAGUUUUAUCAAAGAGUUUCCGUAGCAAUCCUUCUUGGAAAGAUUGCAAAAACAUAGGGAUUGUACUCUCUGGAGGUAAUGUUGAUUUGGGAGCUCUAUGGGAUUCAUUUAGGAGUUCUUAAAUAUCUUAGAUAAGAAUUGUCCGUAAAGGGAAUCACGUUCUUGCAAGAAACCUGUGUUGCAUUCAUAUGAUUGUUGUUGACAUCUGAAGCAAGUAAGACCCAAAUCAUCAAACAUUUGCAGAGUACAUGUUAAAAAUCCAUUAUCGCUUGUUGUUCCCAAGUGUAAUAGGCGUGGCAAAGGACAGGUUGAGAGUAGUUGCAGGCUUGCAGCUAGAUGGUUAUACUCUAUGAACAGAAUCGAAAUUUCACCUGAUUUUGCUGUAAUACUCAUUGAUUCCAUGACUAUCUUUAUCUUUUUGGCUAGCUACCAAAUUUAGUAGAAAGAUACGAUCAACCAUCUAUAAGUUGAUCAAAGAUAUUUCCUUUUUUGUUCUCAUUAAAUUGAUAAAAGACAAGAUUUCUGGAUUUGAAACUACAAAUGCAAAACAUAAAACAGAUUUUUACCAUUAAUCUACACCGAAGAUGAACCGUUUGAGUUGGAUCAAUUUCCAUAAAAUAUGGAAUAAUUGAUCAAGGUCAAACAGAACCCUUUCAUUACAUCAAUAAGAAAGACAUACAUAUCUCUAACCAAAAUGAACAGAACACAUAAUAGUUGUGGGUAGGGUUAUACAUGAUCAGAACUCUGUAGUGUUCUCCUGAGUACCCUCGAAAAGGCAAUCAUCGAAGGCUGAAGCAUCAAAAGCCAUGUCGAAAUCUAUUAACUGAUCAAUAUCCACUUCUUGAUCGUACCCAACGUCCAAGCUUCCAGUUAAAUCCUUGUCGUCGUUGUUGUUGUUAAUGUUAUUCUUCACCUCCGUAACACGAAAGCUUUCACAAAUCGCAACUAUCUUACUCUGCUCUUCAGUGUUCUCGUUGAAAUUUGCAGGCAAAUCAUCAUCAGGGAUUAGGGUUUGAGGAAUUAGGGUUUGAUCCGUCUCGCUCUUCUCGUUGUCAGAUUGAGGAAUUAGGGUUUGAUCCGAGUUAGGGUUUGAUCUUAAAGCUUCUCCCGAACGCAACUCCUUGAAUUUUCUCAACAGAGUCGACAUGGAUUUCAUAGCGUCGUUCAAUUCUUGAGGAUUCUCCGAUUUGGCAAGAACUUCGUCCUCCCACCACAACCCUAAACCCAAAUCUUUACGAGCCAAGAUGACACCAAUGUCUUCCUCCCUCGUCUCUUCUCGAGCCACAGGAAGAGGACGCUUUCCCUUGAGAAAAUCCGAGACGAGAGAAUCUACGGAAGAGUGGCCAAAGGAGAAGAAGGAGACAUGUGAAUGCGAAGAAGGAGGAGUCGCUAAAACGGCUAUUUGUGCGUCGGAGAGAAGACAGAGUUGCGAGGCUUUACUGAAAAGACCGUAACUCCUUUUGGUGAAAGCAGUCGCGAGUGAUUCUUUCUUCGUGAUCUUCUCCAUAGGAAUCUUCCUCUUGUUACCGCCUCUUUUCACCAUAUCUUCGAAUUUCUUAAAUAAUUUCACAACAACAGAGACACAGUUACGAGAGAAGAGAGGUUUUUUCCUUUGUGGAGGCAAUAUUUUGUUUUCCGUGUGGAACAGACAAGUGAUGGCUUCUCUGUGUGUAUAUAUAGAAGGUUUAUAGGGUAUGAUGCUCUACCAAAAAAGGAAACCUAGCUUCAACGUUAUACCACAUCAAACCAAUAUCGGUUUAAUUAAACCAAUUAUAAAAGUAAAACCCCGCGUUAAAUUACAACGUUACGAAACCAUAGUCAAAACCAAACCAAUUUAAGUUCAAUUUCUUCGGUUUACCUAAUUGCUAAUUGCUAAACCAAUUAAAGCAAAACUAAUUUUUAGAGAGAAUUAAACAUAAAUACGUUUGUAUUACCUGGCUCUAUUCACGAACUGUGAAAAUCGAUUACGUACACACACAAAAAUGGAAAUCCUUUUUUUCAGUUAAAAAAGGAAAGAUCAAAGAUUAGAUAGCCUUACGAUUUUCUAAUAAUCUGAAAAUCUUACGAAACCCUAAAUCUACACACAGAAGUUGAGAUUGGGAUGAAGAAACUAGUUGCGUGCGAUCCAGAAUUAGGGAAGAUAUUAAUUAGGGAUUCUUGAGUUGGAUUAUCCCUCGAAGAAAAUAAAGUUGAUGAAAUUAUCAAUUGGCUUCUCUCGAGAAACUUUGCUCUGUAUGAAUAAGAAUCACGUAUCAAAGUCAAGUUUUGGUUACAAAAUUUUCUUGCUCUGCACUCUAUUCACCACACAUGAAAAGUGAAAACUAUUCCGUCCAAUGAAAACAACAUGUUAUAUUUAAAUUUGAUGUUAUCCACGACUCCACGAUUAAUGGUUCUGAUGUGUGUGUGUGCGUGUAUAUAUACAGUACACAAUAUUCUUCGGAGCAUUGAGCUCCAACAUUUCGACCCGUAAAAUGUUUAAAUGCAUUACGCUGCACAGAUAUGAUGAUUCUUUCACCUGUGAAUCAAUAAAAAAAAAAAAGUGUUCUUGGUUCCAUAUAAAUCAUUAAAGAUAUCGAUUCUUUUGAUUCAGUGAAAGCUAAAUGCGUCUCUCAUUAGAUUAAUCUCUUAUACUACAGAAACUGGUAACCAAAAGAAAGGAAUUAAAACAAACUAUGGAAUGGUAAAAUUAUGAGAAAGCCAUGGCAGAAGCAAGGAAACAAAUAAAGUUACCAUAAAUCAAGUGAAACUAACAAAAAUCAACUUGAACUGUUACAAAGACAUGAGAUUCUCGAUGUGAUCCGCACAUAAAUGGAGGCUAUACACACCGUUUCCAAGUCCAUUACUGAGCCUAAAUUCUUCGUCGGCAAAUUCAAUUUCUCUGUAGCUGUUUCUCUUGGGAUCAUAAUAUAAAAUAUAAAACGGGUUGAGAGGUACUUGCCACGGUACAUAAAUAAACUCACCAGCUGGAGUGAUACCAUCUAGGUGGAAAUAGGUUUCCAAACUCGGAUAGUAAAGGUUGAUACGUGCAAAGAAGGGUUUAUACGUCCACUCGUGUUUCUCUGCAUCCUCCAAAAUACACAAUGUAAUGCCACAUGCAUUAUUGUAAACAUAAGCUAAUCUUCCCUCAUAAGGUAUUAGCAUACCAUAAGCGGUAUAAUUCAUUGGUAAUGGUAUCACACCGAACUUCUCAGAUCUGACAUCAAAACUCAUUAUAACAUCAACGUUCGAAUGAUCAAGACAGGCUUUAUAAUACACAACCCCAUUGAUGCAUCGCCAACAGGAGCUCUUGUAAGAAACAUGUGUAAGAGUCAAGGAGUUGACGUUCAAUAGGGAGACAUGUGUAGCACAGAGUACGAAGGACGCAGGAAACUCAAGUUGAAGACAAGAGAAUAACUCAAGUGGUGCUGACGUGGCAGCGAAGAAUUGAAGCUAGCAGGAAGCUGUUUUGAGAUAUCAAAUAUCCAAGAUAUGGAGAUUAGAGGAUCUCAACAAUAAGGAAAGAAGAUAUUCACGAGGGUGGAAAAUGUGAAUAAAGAGUAGUGAAAAGGGUUUCUGAACAUUUUGCCCUUUAGAGAGAACAAGUCACAAAAAGCUAGCCGCACGAGAGGUUGGGAUUUUUGGUGAGCGUGUUCAUUGUGAUAGUUGCAUAGCUGUUGCUGUGUUUAGGAUUGGGUAGAUUAAGAAUUGUUCAGUAUCGAGUUGCAGAUGCAAGGUCGUGUAAUUCUGAUUAGACAGAUCUAAAGGAUUGUCUAAGUGAUUCUUAAUAAAAGGAAAAGAGUGUUUUUGCAAUUUUGUGUGUUCAACUCUUAGUCUCUGUGAUAUAGAUCUUACAAUUGGUAUCAGAGCAUGACACCUUCUAGAAACUAUUUUCUACAUCAGGUGAAGAUCUUGUGGAGAUCAUGGAGACGAUGAAAGAACUGGUAGCUGUUCAGAAGCCUUUGUUACUUCAGUCGGGAAACUUUGGUCAUUGGAAGGCUCGAAUGCGACACAUCAUCCGAGGCAUUGAUGAAGAUGCAUGGACGGCAGUGGAACAGGAUUGGACUGCUCCAACUGUAGUGUCUGAGGAUAAGGAAGGAAAUAAGAUCACCAUCGAUAAACCUAAGAACCAAUGGACUGAGACUGAGAAGAGUUUGUCGAAAUUCAACUCAAAGGCCAUGUCUGCGAUCUUUGCCGCAGUGGACCUUGAUGAAUUCGGGAUUAUUCAAGGUUGUGAAUCAGCAAAAGAGGCGUGGGAUACCUGGUGAAUCACUUUGAAGGAGACACGAGCGUCAGAAGAACUCGUAUUGAUCACCUUGCAUCUGAAUUUGAAAAUCUCAAGAUGUUUGCUGAUGAAUCUGUCGCAAGCUUUACCACAAAACUGAACACCAUAGCAAAUGAGUCAGCAGUGUUAGGGAAGAAAUUCAAGGACAAGAAACUCGUGAAGAAGUUACUUAGAUGUCUGCCUCCCAAGUUUGCUGCUCACAAGGCUGUAGUGAAGUAUUCGAUGGACACUGACACCAUGAAGUUUGAGAAACUUGUUGGUCUUCUCAAGGCUGAGGAAAUGGAAGCCAAUGCUGAUCAGAAAACCUCUCAGAAAAGUAUUGCGUUCACGGCUGCAGAUGAAAAAGAUAGAAUGAGCCAAUGUGAGGAAAAUCUCAGUCUGCUAGCCAGAAACUUCAACAAAAUGCUGAAAAAGGUUGAGAAAGGUCACAACAAGUUUACAAAGUUUCCAAGAAAUGAAGGGGAAAAAGGUAGCUAUCGGAACACAAGAACCGAAGGUGAUAGGGGAGGAAGAAAACGAGAUCUUCAAUGUCACGAAUGUGAAGGAUUUGGCCACUUCAGGAGUGACUGUCCUCUGACGAAACGAAAAAAGUUGAAAUGUCCUGAGUGUAAAGGGUUUGGUCACACAAAAAGUGAGUGUCCAAAUGCUCUGAAGUCUAAAGACAAGUCUAUGAUUGUCUUUGAAGAUUCCGAAUCUGAGGACGAAGAGGAAGAUAACGAGAAUCUGAUGCUGAAUUUUGUUGCCUUUACUGCUGAAGGGAAGGAACAGGCUCAAACACCAACAACUGAAACAGAUUCGGAGUCAGAUGAAGAGGAAAUUGACCCAAAGGUUGAGUAUCGAAAACUGUAUGAUAACUGGGUAAAAAUCAGCACUGAAAAUCUGCAACUGAUCAAGGAGAAAGCUCUUAUGAAAGCUCAGAUUAACAUCCUUGAAAUGGAACAAGGGACUACCAAUACAGAGAAAGAACAGUGUGUAACACAAGUGUUGGAAGAUGCAGAUGCUGGAGUUGACAAGAUCAAAGAAGAACUCAUGGCAGAGCAAAAGAAAAGACGUGAAUUGGAAGAAAAACUGGACAACCUGAGGGAAGUGUGUUAUCAGGAGAAAGAAAGGGCAAGAACGUUGCAAGGUGAACUGAUUGAGAAUCAUAAACGGAUCAGGAUGCUCAACACUGGUGCAGAGAAGCUAGAUCAGAUACUCUCCUCAGGCCAACCGCCAAAGAAGAACUGGGGUCUCGGGUACACUGGAGGUUUUCAUGUCGGAGAAACCUCAUCUGUCUCUGGAACCCUACAGGGUUUUGUCCACGGUGGUAUUUCAGUCGGCGAGCUUUCUACACGACCUGCACCACUGAAAGAAGCAGUUGAACAAUGCAAUCCUAAGAAAAAUCUUCAGACUGUGUCGACAGACCAACCAAAACCUGAUAAACGGAGAAAAGGAGUCUGUUUCUUAUGUGACAAACGAGGCCACAAGAAGAGGAACUGUUACAAAUUUUGGAGUAAAAUAAAACAGGCCUGGAAACGCCAUCUAUGCUAUCCUGAACCCAGAUUCUAUGGCAAGGUGUGGGUUGCAAAGAAUCUCCUCUAUGACUUGCCCUCACAAGGUGAAGUAGCUGAACCGGACUUAGCUGAAGUGAAUCUUGUCUGCAAUCUUGCUCACAUAGGUCCUGAAGUACCCGAAGUUGUGAGCAAUGUAGCCUAUACCUCAUCCCAAGUGGAAGUUGCUAAGGCAUGGUACUUUGACAGUGGAUGCUCACGGCACAUGACUGGGAAUCAUGACUACUUUAACAAGAUAAAACGUAUCAACGGUGGUCAAGUAACCUUUGGUGACGGAGGUCAAGGGAAGAUUCUUGGAGUUGGGAGCCUACUGGAGGAAAGCCAACCAAAUUUGAUUAACGUUUACUAUGUUGAAGGCUUGAAAGCUAAUUUGAUUAGUGUAAGUCAGCUAUGUGACGAGGGGCUGAAAGUGAUCUUCACCAGGUUUGAUCGCAAGGCGGUAGAUGAGAAUGGGAACACUGUGCUAUUCGGAGUGAGAUCAGGCAACAACUGUUAUAUGUGGUGUGUGUCGGACCAAUGCUUUUCAGCAAAAGAAUCACAACUUGACUUAUGGCAUAAGCGUAUCGGUCACAUGAACACCCGAGGAUUAAGCAAGCUAGCGAAGGCGGAAGUAGUUCGUGGGAUUCCAUCCUUGGAGGCUUCAACAGACACCGUGUGUGAAACAGAAGGGAAAGCAAGUGAAAGUUCAGCAUAAAGCUCUGAGAGAAACAAGGUUUCAAAAAAUCCUGGAACUGGUGCACAUGGAUUUGAUGGGACCAGCUCAGACUGAAAGUGUUAAUGGGAAGAAGUAUAUUUUUGUAUUGGUUGACGACUUCUCUAGAUACACUUGGGUGAGAUUCUUGCGCGAAAAAAUCCGAUGCAGCAGAGAGCUUCAAGAUACUUGCUUUGCAGCUUAAAACUGAGAAAGGACCGAUCAUUCAGAUUAGAAGUGAUCAUGGUGGGGAAUUCCGAAACGAUGUGUUUGAAAAGUUAUGCCAAAGCCAAGGGAUCAGACAUCAGUACUCUGCUCCAAGGACACCUCAGCAAAAUGGUGUUGUGGAGAGGAAAAAUCGAACCUUGCAAGAAAUGGCUAGAGCGAUGCUACAUGGAAACAAGGUAUCUCCACGGUUCUGGGCAGAAGCUAUCAAUACCGCAUGCUAUAUCAUCAACCGCGUCUAUGUCAAACAUGGUACCAAGACCACACCCUAUGAGAUCUGGAAUGGGAAAACUCCAAACCGCAGUUACUUUCACAUCUUUGGUUGUGUGUGUUAUAUCCUGAACGACAAAGACAACCUUGGGAAAUUUGAUUCAAGAAGUAACACUGGCAUUUUUCUUGGAUACGCUACCAACAGCAGAGCGUUUCGGGUGUACAACUAUCGGACGAAGACCAUUGGUGAAAAUAUCAAUGUGGUCUUUGAUGAUAAUAGCCAAUGCACUCUUGAAGAGAUCAUUUCGGACGAUGUGUGUCACACAGACAUAAGGAACACAACUCCUGCCUCUGAGUCAAAUGAAAGUAUAACUGAGCAUGAAGAUCAAAUCCACGACAAAGACGAUCAAGGCUGUGACCGCCAAGUUGAGGUUCAUAGAAAUCACUCAGCCUCAGAUCUGAUUGGAGACCUUCACGGUGAGAGAAUCACGAGGAAAAAACAGAUAGACUUCAAAGCCAUGGUCAAAUUGGCAUGCUUCAUCUCGUUCACAGAGCCUAUGACCAUUGCUCAAGCACUGCAGGAUGAGUUCUGGGUAGCUUCCUGCCAUGAAGAACUUGAGCAAUUUGUUCGGUUGGAUGUAUGGGAUCUUGUUCCUCCUCCAGACAAUGUCAAUGUCGUAGGGACAAAGUGGAUUUUCAAAAACAAAACCGAUGAAGAAGGAAAUGUGAUUCGUAACAAAGCAAGGUUGGUAGCCCAAGGAUAGUGUCAAAUCGAAGGUGUAGAUUUCGACGAGACAUUUGCUCCGGUUGCAAGACUUGAAUCUAUUCGAUUGCUCUUGGGUAUAGCAUGUAAAAUGAACAUCAUGUUUUACCAAAUGGACGUCAAGAGUGCCUUUCUGAAUGGGAUCCUUCAAGAAGAAGUUUAUGUUGCACAGCCUAAGGGAUUCGAAGAUCCAGCCUUUCCUAAUCAUGUAUACAAGCUCAAAUGAGCUCUGUACGGGUUGAAACAGGCUCCCCGAGCUUGGUAUGAGAGGCUUGCUACCUUCCUGCUUUAGGCUGGGUUCACGCGAGGUGGUGUUGAUAAAACCCUGUUUGUUCAGAGUGCAAAGCAGGACAUCUUGAUUGUCCAAAUAUAUGUUGAUGACAUAAUCUUUGGAGCUACUCAUCAGAACUUGGUUAAUCAGUUUGUGACAACGAUGACUACUGAGUUUCAAAUGAGCAUGGUGGGGGAACUAAAUUACUUUCUGGGACUACAGAUCAAACAGACCUCAGAAGGAAUUUUUGUUUCUCAAAGCACCUACGCCAAGAAUUUGGUAAAACGGUUCGACAUGCAAACCAGCCGGGUUGCCAACACUCCCAUGAGCACCACCAGAAAACUGUCCAGAGAUGAUGACGGACCCAAGGUAGAUGAGAAACUUUACAGAGGAAUAAUAGGCAGUCUGCUAUAACUCACUGCGAGUCGACCUGACAUCUGUUUGAGCGUGGGGUUAUGUGCAAGAUAUCAAGCAGCUCCUCGUGGGUCACAUCUCACUGCUGUCAAAUGAGUGAUAAAAUACGUGAAAGGGACACUUGACUAUGGAAUUUAUUACUCGAAAGACACUAACCUUAAUCUUGCUGGAUAUUGUGAUGCAGAUUGGACAGGGUGUUUGGAUGAUCAAAAGAGCACCUCAGGCGGCUGUUUCUUCCUUGGCAAUAAUGUGUCCUGGCACAGCAAAAAGCAGAAAUGUGUUUCGCUGUCAACAGCAGAGGCAGAAUACGUAGCACUUGGGAGCUGUUGCUCACAACUGUUAUGGAUGAGACAAAUGCUCAAUGAUUACGGUAUCCACUCAGACUCUUUUCUUGUACGAUGUGACAAUAAAAAUGCAAUUGAUUUGAGCAAAAAUCCUGUCCAACAUUCUAGAACUAAGCACAUUGAUACCAGACAUCACUUUGUUCGUGAAUUGGUUGAGGAUAAACUUGUUAUCAUAGAACAUGUUGCAUCUGAGCAUCAGCUUGCUGAUAUUUUUCUUAAACCGCUUGAUCUCAAUAGCUUUUUGUAUUUAGGGGUCUGUGAGAACUAAAUUGUCGUAAUAUGGGAAGGGGAGGUGAGUCAAGUACAGGCUGAAUAUGUCAUAAAACCUCCUGAGAGCAAGUUGUCCAUAUGAGAGCUGUUUUAUGCUGACGAGGAUGGCGAUACAGAACUGACUUGAUGAGAUGGUCACUCAGAUUGGACUAGGAUGCAACCACAUUUUAUGUCUACUGUUGAUCACUGACCGGAUUGAGCAUAAGACCGCUGACUGGUUCUCAAUGAAAGUGUGUGAUCCUUGGCUCCCAAGUGUCAGUUUUUUUUUUGGCUCCAGGUGGGUGUGAAUGCUCCUCAGUUGGGGAAAGCAGCACUAAUGAGAGACACGAGUGCACACAGACAUUCUGCAUCAGAAUCAGAUCAACAAAAAAAAAAAUGAAUCACUCAUUGACUAUAUAGUUAUUACCCACAGCUGGUACGUGUGUGAAUGCUCCUCAGCUGAGGGUAUGCAGCAUAAUCUAAACAAUUGUCUGAUUCUGGUGUCUGAACGUCUGUGGACCGUUGGGAGAUCGCACAUGUCUGGAGAAGAAGUGGAUCAUUGAGAAUCUCUGUCAAGUCAAGUCCACAGAUGUAUCAGCACAUCAUUGUCGGGUGUAACACAGUGCUCUCUGGUCAAUCAAGGGUGUGAAAGCUCCUUGGCUAAGGGUAUGCUGCAUUCUUGAGCUCUCAGGUUGAUUUUUCUAACUUUUUCACACUGUUGUUCUUCAGAUGUUGGUACAGUGUCCCUUCCCCAGUAACGCUUUCACAGAUUACCUCUAUGUUCUUAGGCGUGUUUCUCUCAGCUCAGAUGUUCAUGUCUUGAUGUGCAUGGGGAAUUUGACCGGUUUUUGUUCUAAGUGGUUGUGAUGGGCUCAUAUGUGUGUUUCUUUUUUAUGUUGGGCAUGUUGUAAUUGCGUGUGCUUGCUGGGCUUCCGGCCAAUGUUUUUGUCACUGAUCCAUGUCUUGAGUGGUUGCCUAGGGUUUGCGUUUCCCGCUUGUUUAAAAGUGUCUGCUGUUUCAUGUGCCACCAACCCUAAUCGUGUGUCACGGUUUUUUCUCCCGCAUCUCGCUUCACCAAAUUCUCUGACUUCUUGCGAUGCCGCGAAGCACACGUUCAGCCACCGCCAAGCUCCUUGCUUCCGCAAUUGAGGCCUCUCGUCGUAGGUGCCCAGCCGAUGAAGAAACCCUUGCAGAGGCCCUACUGCGACUCCUGGAGAAGCGGAAGACUCUUCAGCGAUCUGGAAAGGAGCCCAUUGAAAUUCCAACCGCCAAAGACGACGAGAGUGAUACCUCCAGUGAUGCGAAAGAAUUUCGUCCGCUGUUUGAAGGAUCAUUGGCUCCUCCGGUUUAUUUUGAAAACCCGUUUGGUCGCUCCGACGAUGAGAUGGAGGUCGAAUCAGCUGAUGACCUCGAAGACUUCGUUGAUCCUCGUGAACCUGACCAUCCUCUGUACCUGGAUCUCGAGUCAAGAUAUGCUGCUAAUCGCCGGGAACAGAUCGUCAAGGAUCGCAUGCAUCCGGAACGCACCAGGCCUCGCCACCGUCCUUACAACAACUUCUCGUCUCUCGCUGCGUAGGAGAGGUUUGUCUCGUUCCGGGUUCGGCCAUUUGAUGUGUUCGUGUCAACUACGUGAGGGAACAAGUUUUACCCUUAACAAAACAAAUGAAAGCCGCAAGUGCACAGCUAAUCAGUUGUAGUAUUUAGGGAUCAAAUUCACAGAGAUUUGUGUGCCUGGUAUUCUUCUACGGUUUUUUACUUUAUGUCUAGACUAAAUUGGUUUUAAAGGUUGGUUGUUUUUCUUGCGAAUUAAACUAAAACAAAAGAAAGCAAAUAAAUCUAUCCUAAAAAGCAGGUAAGAAAAUCGAAUGGAAUGCAAUUAGAAUAGGCAAAUAUCGAAUGAAAGACUAAUAAGGCAAGUAAGAUAUCACAUAAAAGGUAAAUAAAGCAAGUAAAUAAUGAACUAAGGAAAUUGAAAUGCAGGUCUAAGAAAGCAAGUAAAAAUCGAUGGAAUUGUAAACUAUGGCUAAAAACGCUGAGCUUUUGGGAACUCUAAGGGAUCAUAAUCGGUUUUAACACUAAGGUAGAUAGACUGGGAAUGACAGAUAACGAUAUAUGGGUUCUUGAUAACACCGUAUUUUGACCACCUUUAUGGAUCGUUUUGAAAUACUUUUUCUAUGUUUUUAAUUGCUUUUAAGUACUUUUAUCACGUUUUUCUAGUAUUUGUAGUUCCAAGACUCUUUUCAGGUAACUUAGGGAAAAGCUUAACAAAAUGGAUAGAAAACCAGAUUUCAGCUCAGAGUCAAACCGUCAGAAGUUCACCCCUGAUUGAAGUUCUUCUCACCGUUUGAUCCAGCUCAAAUUUGGAGACCUUAAAGAUGGAAGUAUCAGCUUUCCAGUUCACUUUACAGCUUGGCAAUCCAACGGUUCAAUCAAAAGAUACGCGAAGAGCAAGAUGUCCCGUAAAUCAGCCGGCAAGCACUUCCACCUGCGGCCAUCAACCUCCGAGCCCAAAAAGCCCAUUUCUGAAGCCCACAUUUGGAGAAACCCUAAGUGACGUCCAGAGAGGUCUUGAGCACUAUAAAUACAUGUCUUAGGAACCCUAAAUAUCGUGUAACCGAAUACCAUCUAUCAUUACUUCAUACUUUUAUUGUUUUUGCUUUAGCUUUUAGGGAGAGAGAGAUUUGUUCUCUUGAACCCUUGUUCUUUCUUUUUCAAUUUCGGUUUCUAUUCUACUUCUUAAUACUAUGUCUUUGAUUUCGUUCAUUAUGUCUGAGUAGUUUUAUUGUUGGGAUUAAGGGAUUUUCGAUGGGGAUUUAUAUGUUCGAUGAGGAUUCCAUGAGCUUUUGAGCCGAAUCUUAGAACUUUUUCUUCUGAAUUCGUUUUUACUGCAUGAGAGUAGCGUCAUGAACUACAAUCUGAUCCAGAUGCUUGGUGACACGAAAGUGUUCAUCAGGUAUCAGAUCUAGUUUGGGAGAGCAAAACAAACAUAGGAGUGGAAACCUACCUAUGGGCGAUUUGUGAAUUAGGACGAGUCUUAAACAUAAUGCAUCUCUUCUCUUCCAGGGCCAGAGUGGAAACCUACUGGUCAGGGUUGAGAGAGAUAGUUGUCUAUGAUCAUGACAGUGGCGUAUUCAUACGUCCGUGACUCUAGUUCGAAAAGUUUAAGCUAAGAUCUUACAAAAUUUCCUCUCUAGCAAUGUUUUGAAUCGUUCGUACCCCUGAGAAAACUUCCCUGAACCCCAACGCUUUUUUCCCAUUGAUUUACACCGAUUUUCUUUGAAGCUUUAGUUCAAUAUUGUCUUUCCUUUUUAGUAGACUUUCAUUUAAGCAUUAGAAUAUCCGUUUUUUACAUUUUUAGUCAUUUUCGUUAAGUUUAGUUAUUACGUCAUUUAAUUCCCGUAUUUUCUUUUAAGAUUUCGUUUUUACAUUUUAAACACCCCACCAAACCCCCACAAAACCGUUUUUGUUCUAGACUUCCUUACUUUAACUUAUUUCAAAGGCUUUUUGCAGGAAAAGAUCCUCCUUCCCUGUGGAUUCGAUCCCUAAGUACUACAAUUGAUCAGCUGUGCACUUGCGGCUAUUGACUUCAAUUAGGGUAAAACUUGACAACCCUCGACACCACACAUCAAGUCACAUCAGUUCUAGAGCUAGAGUACGGCGGUAUGAUUACGUCACUGUCGUGAUCAUAACUAACUGUUUCUCGCAACCCUGACCAGUAGGUUUCCACUCUUGCCCUGGAAGGGAGAGAACGCAAGAGCUGCACAAGACUCGUCAAUACUCACGAUCUCGCUGCAGGUAGGUUUCCACUCCUACGGAAAAAUUGCCUGUUUAAUUCUAGGGCUGAUACUUCAUGAAAACUUUCGCAACACUAACUAUCUAGAUCAGAUACUAGGUGAUCAAUCAAGCAUACAUGCAAUAAGAACAAGAAUAAACAGAGAACAGGUCGAAAUCACAGAUCUAUAAACCUAGAUGUCUUAAUCGAUUAUGAGAGCCCCUUUCGGGAACCCUAAGCCCAACUCGGGAUCUACUCAGACAUGGCUGAGUUCGACAUCAUCAUUGGUUUUAAUAAAAGUAAUGAAAAACAGUAAAGAAAAGAGAUAAAGAAAGCUUCUCCAUUGAAGAACUUGGACUUGAACAAUCUCAAAAAUCUCAUAAAAACGGCUAAAGGAAAAGGGUUUCUGUAAAGUAUGAAAGGUUCUCUCUAAAAACGACCUAAAUGACAUGUAUUUAUAGUCUCCAAUACUCCAUGGUCUCUAGGGUUCCGGAAUUGAGGCUGAGAAUGACUUUGGGCUUCAGAUAAGUGGGCUUUAACUCAAAGAUUGAUUGCCGCGGUCGGGAGUGUUGUGACCGCGGCAAUUGGCUUGUUGGCCGCGGUCGGGAAGCUUCUAACCGCGGCAAAUAGCUUGUUGGCCGCGGUCGGGUGAGUUGCUGACCGACUUCGAAUGGCUCCGGGGCUAAUGAAAUAUCUUGAGAUCCAACCGUUGGAAUGUCUCUAGACCAAGUGAAUUUGAAAGCUGGUUGAUUCUUCUAUAAAUUGUCCAAUUUUGAGGAUGAUCAGACGGUGAGAAGGUCUUUGUCUCUCCAUGAGAGUUCUGACGGUCUGCAUUUAUCCAAAAGAGUCUUUUUGUUCCAUUUUGUGCCUCUUUAUCCCAAAUUACCUGAAAAGUCUUUUAAAAUCCGGAAACAUAAAAAUCCUUUGAAAACCUUUGAAAAUGGAGUAAAAACACCUGUAAAAGAUAUUAAAAUGAUCCAUAAAAAUGGUCAAAAUCCGGUUUUAUCAACUCCCCCAGACUUUGUCCUCAAACAAAACAAAGGCUAAAUCUCGGCGAGAGCUUUGAAAACGCAGGAAAUAAACAAAAUCUCAGAGACCAAACUUCUAGACCAAUAUCAAUCAGUAUGCAUCAAUCGGGAAUAGCCUAGAAAAUUCUCACUAGCAAUACAGGCAUAACUAGUCCGCUAAUCCGUCAUGCAGAAAUCUAUGCACUAAGAUCUAACUUCCAGUCAACUAGCUCUUAACAUUCAUUAAAAAGGAUAAUUUUGGGGGGGGGGGGGUAAGACUUAAAGUGUUUACGGGUUACCUGAAGAUUUGGAGGAUGCAGGAUAUUAUGCAAAACCGCAAGAGAGAGUGAAGCUGUUGGUAUCCACAGUUUUCAGUCACUUUCUUCUUGACAUAGAUUCGUGGUCUUCUUCCUCAGGUUCUCUCCAAACUCCCACAGACUUAGUUUUUUGUAAAUCUUUAAAAACAAUAGCUCCUUAAACGAAUAGUGGUUGCUCAUUGCUCCAAAAAUUUUGACAAUCUCAGACUCAUUAGGCUUUUUGUUUCCCUUUCUCUUUUCAACUUUUUUUUUUUUUUUUUUUUAGAAAGGGAACGUCUUUAGAUAUAGAGAGCACGAAUUUACCAGUUAAUAUCUGUCUUGUAAAGCUUUAUUAUGUUUCUGAUACUCUUCCUUCCCAAUUCCAUUCAGUAUCCUUUGUGAGUGACUGAAAACUGCGUCGCUCCUCUUCUCUCCGACGUUUUUGCACAUAUCUGCUGAUAUAAACUAAAGAGAGAAUUCAUGAGGAUUGAAAACAAGGGUUUUGGGUUUAGGGUAUGGUACCAGAUAAAGAUAAACUGGUCAUCUAGGACGACAAAUAAUGGUAAAAGUAAUGGUAAAAGACGUCCUAGAUGUGUAGGUCGAUGCCUGCCUAAAAUCAAUGAUGAGAAAAUUAGAUAUCAAUAUUAAGUCCAAAUAAAAUGAGCUAGUAUAUCCUGUCAGAAAGAAUCUCCAUGAAUAGAAGUCCUCUGGUGAGAGUUCGUAGUGCAAGUACUCUAGCUACCGCCUAGUCUAGUGCUAACCACAAUGAGCUAUCAUGCAUAGUGUAAAAGUGUGCAGGUCUAAAUCAUCAUAGUUUUGCGUCAAACAUUCCUGAAAAAUACUUAUUGUCGAAUAAGUUACAUAUUAAAAUUUAAAAAGUACUUGAAAUUUAAAAGCAAAGCAGAGAAAAGAUUAGUACGGAUAGACAUCCUCCCCCAGACUUAAAUCACACUGUCCCCAGUGUGAAAAAGUUGGUGAGAAGAUGGUGAAUAAAAGCAAAAUAAAAUAAAAUAAGAUAAAAGAAAAGAAAAUGAUGAUAGAACCGUGAUGGUAGUGAAGUGCUGAUCAAUCACUCAUCCUCCGAGGUGUCGUCUGCGAAAUGGUGCUGCUCCUGUAAGAAGGUGACAACGCGCUCAAAGCGUCGUCCCUGCCUCUCAACUCUGCGCUCGAGAUCGGAAUGAGUGUGUGAUGAUGUAGAUGAUGAGGUGUGGCCAGUCGAAAUAGAUGGCUGAAAAUGAGCACGGGCUGCAGCUGCAUCACGCUUCGCCUUGGCCACUAUGUAUUGGCGAAUGGUGAAUGGUAGACGAGGUACAGAUGGCAGAAUAUCAUCGGAUACCGGAGUCCAUCGUGGGCGUCCUCCGUUGCACAAUCUCGGGAUAGACGCUGAAGGUAAGCAGACUCGGUGCUCCUCGGUGCUCCUCGGUGCUCCUCGGUGCCAGUGCAAUACUUGUAACCAAACCUGUCUGGAUCGAAAGCGGCACGAGAGAUAGUGUGAUCGCGAGAGAGAUAGAGUAGAUCAUACCAGACAUUGGGAAGUGGCUCGUCAGAUGAGAAAUCGAAUCCUACAACCUGUAGUAUCGCUGUAAUAGCACUCCCGAAAGCUGGAGUAGCGUCCUCGCAACCAUGUAAAUCAUGCUUCACCUUUACCAUAUUCUGCGCUAUGAUCCAUGCAAAGCAAGCAAGUCGUGGGUCGUCCAUAAACGGAAUCUGAAGUGUAAUGAGCUCAGUCUUCAAAACACCUCCCAUGUUUACUCUAGAGAAGAUCGUGUGUGCUAAGAGUUUGUGCACAACUCUCACUGCUGGGUGGCUAAGAAGGGCUGACUUCGAUCUCCCACUAUCAUAGGUUCCAUGACCCAUCUCUCUCCACAGGUUAAGAUCAGGUUCAUCUUCAAGGUAAAUGCCAUCAGUGUAUGGAAGCUUAAGAGCUUCACAAACCUCGGAAAUGGUGAGAGAAUAAGGCUGUCCGCGGAUAGAGAAUGACAAGAUGCCAUCUGAUGCUCUGGGGUUCCUCCCCUUCGUGUGGUGGAGUGUAAUAGUCGCUAAAAGCUCACGGACUAGCUCAGGAUAAGUCGGAAGGUUCAGCUCCAUGUAGGGUCUCAGCUUAAGUGCAUCGAUGUACCAGAUAACAUCCUCUCUGAUUCCAAGCAUCUCGAGUGUAUGAUAAUCUAUGCAAGGCGUGGGUUUGAUGUUCAGCUUCUUGAAACGUCCUGCAUAGUCCACUCUCGGGUUUGUCUCCCUCCCAAUGUAUCGAAUCUGUGGUGGCUCGGGAGCUGCUCGUGUUUCUCUUGAAUGCUGGAGAAAUCUCAUCACAUAGUUUCUUCUUCUCGGUCUGGCUUGGUUCAGCAUGUACUCUCCUAGAGUAGCAUCAUCGGGAAUGUCCUCGGAGCUGCCACCAGUUCGACAGCUCCUUCGGGAUCUGGUUUCGUCCAUUUUCUGCAAAAUGAAAUGAUUCUUGGAAAAAGAAUGAAUAUGGAUGCUGAUUUUAACACAUUAAGAUCUGUUAUACUAAUACUAGUAUAAAGAGAUUAAUUAAAACCAUGAGCAAGCAAAAUUUAUAUUGAAUCAGAGAAAUCAAGUAGUUCAUGACUAAAUUCGGAUUUUUGAUGUUCUUAACAUAGAAAUCUUCUAAAAAUCGGUUUUGAUGAGCAAUUUCCAUGUAAAUUCUAAAGAUUACCCAAUACUAAUCACUAAUCACACAAGACUAAAUCAAAUUCAUCAAUUUUGCUGUUCCAAAUUCGAUUUUUAUUAAGCAUGUAGAAUCCAAAUUUCAAAAAUCUCAAUUUCUCUUAAGCUAGGUGCUAAAUCGAUAUUUAGAUAACCUAAAUGGAUAAUCUAUCAUUCUUAAGCUAUUUCCACCAUCAAUAGACCAAGAUUUUGGGUUUUUAAAGAAAACCCUAAGUUCAAAAUCGAGUAAGAAUGGUGAGUUUGAGGUUCAUACCUUGCUGGAAAUAGAGAAUUGAUGGCAGAAUUGAAAUCAGCUUUUAAAAAGAGUGAGGUUUGAGCCAAAAAUCUCUAAAAAAGCUUAAGAAUUUAAAAAUGUGUUCUUUCUCCUAAAUCUCCAAAUCUUUUUGGAAGAGAAGAGAAGAAAGAGUUUUGAUCCAAAAAGUUUGUUUCUUUUCUUUAAAAAGUUACGGGAACUUACCUUUCUUGUUUGCACAUUAGGAAUGUUUAAAACUUACGGAGGAUCUUUUCGGGUUUUACCGGGAACAUUUCGGGAAACACCGGGAAUCACCGGGAAUCACCAGGUAACACCAGGUAAACACCAGGCAACACCGGGAAAACACCAGGCAACACCGGGAAAACACCAGGCAACACCGGGAAAACACCAGGCAACACCGGGAAAACACCAGGCAAACACCAGGCAACACUGGAAAAACACCAGGAAACACCGGGAAUCACCAGGCAACACCGGGAAAACACCAGGCAACACCGGGAAGCGGCAGAAAUCCUCGGAAUCACCUCAACGACCAACGGCCGCGGUCAGGAGACGCGCGACCGCGGUGGUCAAGUGCUCGGCCGCGGUCGAUGCUCCCUUGGCCGCGGGUCGGUCAGUCGCGACCGCGGCUCUUCCUCCUGCGGCCUAUUGUCCAAUCUUCUAGUCUUUGUCGGGCCGAGCGGCUAAAAACCUACCUUUUCUUCUUGGUUUUUCUAAUUUUCUGAUUUUUUUGUGUUUUUGUUUUAUAACAUACCUAAAACUUAAAACAAAUGCGCUUAAUGGGAGGCAACCCAUUUAGGUACUCUUUUUUUUUUAGUUUUCUUUUCAUUUUUAAAAAUUAAGCAUGAGGAAUCAGGCUGAUUUGAAUGGCAUUCCUCUUGAUGUGCCUUUAUCACUUCCGGUUGCUGGAGGUUUUACUUCUUCUCCUUGAGGAGAAGUCUUCUUACCUUUACUCUUCUUUCGGACUUUAAUGUUGUUCAGAACCCUUUUUGUGUUUUCGAUCAGCUCCUGGAUUUGGUCCUCACUAGUUUCUAUUGCAUCUGGUGGAAUGAUGAUCUUGAUCUUUGCAAAAGCUUUCGGCUUCUCCUUUUCUUUCUCUUUUGGCCUGUUUCCUUUACUUGGAAAUUCAUCUAAGAUAGUAGGAUAGUACCUUUUUCGGUCCACAUUGAGGAAAACAGCAUGCCGGUUUGCAUGAUCGAUUAAUGCUCCUACUGUAGCUAGGAAUGGUCUCCCAAAAAUGAGUGGCCUCUCCUUGUCUUUAUCCAUCUCCAGGACUUGGAAAUCUGCUGGAACAAUCUUAUCUCCCACUAGAACUUGUAGAUCAUGAAUCGCCCCUUCAAUAUCUUUUUGAGAUGAAUCUCCAAAGAUAACCUUAACCGUCAAUGUCCUUAAGGUUUUUAUGCCCAAUUUUUCGGCAAAUGUUUUAGACAUGAUGUUGACAUUGGCUCCGGAAUCGCACAAGCAGUCUGUAAACUUGAUUCCUGAAAUGAAACAUUGGAAAACAAAACGUCCCGGAUCAUCGGCUUUGGUAAGCCUUUGAAACGGUGAUCGUUCAGGUACCUUAAACGGUGGCUGCUUGGGAUCGAUAUCCUUGUACAGUGGUACAAAGAUUGGGGUUUCUUCUUUCUUUCCAUCGGUUCCGGCCUCUUCUUCGGGCAAUGUGUUUAUGGCGUUGCAAAACUUCUUAGGGUUAUCUUCAACUCUUCCUGGAAGAACUCCACUUUGCCUCUUCAUAGAGUCGGGUGUUUGGGCGACUUGCACAUCUAACUUUUUUACGUGCGAAGAUAAAGAUUUAAACUUAUCAUUCAGAUCAUUGUACAUGCAGUCCACUUUCACGUUAACGUCUUUAGAUGCUUUUUCAUUCGUCAUAACAAGCUGUUGGAUUGACUGUUCAAGUCUACCGAUUUGUGAAGCUAGCUGGUUCGUCGUGACUCCCUGCUGUUGUACAAAUUGAUUGUUAAAACCCGUACCUUGGUAGUUAUAUGGCUGUCGCGGUUGAUAUGGUACUAUUCCCCCAAAGUUUCCACCUUGAAACUUGUUUUGGAAGGAUUUUUGCUGAGGUGGGUAGUACUGAUCUUGAGGAUUCUCCACAUUUGGGAUUGCGGUAAGAGAGAUUGUUGUAAUUUUCAUUCCGGAAGUUGUUGUUGAAGUUGUUGUUGGAGCGAUUUUGGUAUGGCACCAGUGCUCCUACGUAGUUCACAUCUUCUUCUUGAAAUGCUUGAUUAAUGUGAUCGAUAUCACUAGGUCCUUCAUCUUCUGCGCCAUUGUUGGUUUCACAGGCAUGGAUCGGGCGAUUGUUGCUCUUCAGAAGCUGGCUCACCAUGUUCUUCAACUCGGUUAUCUCCUUGUUGUCUGUUCCGGCUUGCUUCAUCAAUCGAUCGUAUUCAGGACAGUCAUUGCUAUUGGCUUGAGCUAAAUUUUCGAUGAGAGCUCUUCCUUGGGUUAUCGUCUUUUGCCCAAAAUCUCCAUUUCUAGCUGUAUCAAGUGAAAGUUUGUAUUUUGGUUGCAAACCUCGGUAAAAUGUGCUCAGAAGGCUUGAUCCAUGGAAUCCAUGGUGAGGGCAGUCACGUUCAUAUUCCUUAAAACGUUCCCAAGCUUCAUAGAAAGAUUCAGUUGGCCCUUGUUGAAAGGUUGAGAUUUUCGUUCUCAAAUUGUUCGACCUUGACUUAGUGUAGAAGUGGUUUAGGAAAGCAGUUCUACAUUCUUCCCAAUUGGUAAUCGAUCCUGCAGGCAAAGACUUCAACCAACGGUGAGCUUUAUCUGCUAAUGAAAAAGGGAACAACUUACACUUUAAAUAGUCAGGUGGAACUUGGUUUGUUCUCAUCAUGCUGCAAAUUUCUUCAAAAAGCUCGAUAUGGUCCAUUGGGUGCUCAAAAGGAACUCCAUGGAACUGGUUUUGCUUCACCAAUGAGAUGAUUUGAGGCUUGACUUCAAACUCAUUCCGGUUUGGAAAUGGUACUUGAAUCGCAGAUCGAUUCUGAAAAUUUUGAGUAGGUGCAUCAAAAUCAGCUAUGCGAUGGUUCUUGGCUUGUCUUCGGUGUUGAUUUGCUGGCGGAAUGGGGUGUUGAAUGCGUUCAUUCGACUGCAUUGCUGGGUGGUCACCAUCGGCUGCAUUGAUGGGUGGAUCAAGGUCUUCACGUCCUUCUCUCUCUCAGUUCUGGUGGUUUCUUGGAAGAACCUCAUCCUCCUCCAUCUUGUCGAGCAUGAUCACCUUCUAUGUGAUCAUUCUCUUCGUUUUCUCCAUGUUCGGACCCGUCUUGGUCCAUAUGUAAAUUUUGAUUAAUAGGAUCUCCAGGCUGGUCGUCGUUGGCCAUUCCUUGCGUUCGUCUAAGUCUUCAAAGUUCUCUUUCGUGUAUGUCUAUCUUGUCUAGAAUUGGAAUGUCUCCUGCAGGUCUACGCCUGGUAUUCAUGCAAUUCAGAGAAAAAAAAAAGAAGGGAAAGAUAGUUCAGAAAAACUUUAAGAAAGAACUAGAGAUCAGGUGUCUAGAACAGAAGUUAAAACAAGAAAAAUAGCAAAAGGCAGCGAAACAAAUCCCCGGCAACGGCGCCAAAAACUUGAUGUGUUCGUGUCAACUACGUGAGGGAACAAGUUUUUGGAUGACCCUAAACUUGUGGAAGCUCGGAAGAUUUUGGAUGCUGUCGGUUUGAUUUACACCGUCCUGGAUGUGGAGCCCUAUCGUCCGACUGUUGUGCAGGAGUUCUACGCUAAUGUUGGUGACCUGGAGUAUCACAAUGGGACCAAUCUCGUCUACAUUUGUGGCUGCAUGUUCGAGUUCACUCCUGAGGUUAUCAAUCAGAUGUUCCUCGUCGACGAUUAGCUUCCACAUGGUGAUUAGGAGCAGAUCCACAUUGAUGAAGCUGUGCAGUUGGUCUCGGGGGGACGCAAGAGUCGCUGGAAAGGCUUUCGGUCUCGUCAUCUCACUCCUCUCUAUGGGGUGUUUUACAAGCUGUGCUGUUGCAAUUGAAUGCCUACGACCAAUAACACUACCAUGGUCAAAGAAAGGAUUCGCCUCCUCGCCUACAUCAUCCAGGGUCGCAAAUUCAACUUCGGGAAGCUGGUGUAUGAUCAGAUAUUGGCUGCAGCGCGGACUCUGGAAAUGGUCAACAAACAAACUCAUGUUUCCCAAUCUCAUUUUCCAGCUCCUUCGCUUUCAACGUGUGCUCCCCGGUCAUCGAGGAGACCGCCCUUUGGAAAGAUUUCCUCUCAAAAUCACGCUGGAUCCCAAGGGAGGACGAGGUGAUGAAGCUGAUGAACCUCAAACCGCACCAUCACUUGCAGCGGACUUGGAUCAGCUCGCUACCUGGCUCAAACGCAUUCAACUGCGUGUCAAAGGUAAGUGUUCUGUCUCUGACUUUCAAGGUUGAUGUGUAUUGUCAUGUUGUAUCUGAAUAUGCACUCAAGCAGGGGGAGAGUACGCCGAGAUGGGUUCUGAGAAAGGCAAGGCACAUCCUGAGGGGGAGCAGGACAACGAGUCCGAGAAUGAGGACGUCUGGGCUGGGAACUAGAAUUGAUGAAAAUUUCUGAUUUGCAUGUGUUGUGCUAAACUCUAAGUUGAUUCCCGUUUGUGUUUCGGUUGUGUUUGUUUUUAUUUAAGUACCUUGGUUGAUCUUUUGGGAUUGAAUGUGCUGGUUUUUGGUUAUCUCGUGAUCCUUGAAAAUUCCUUGGUUGUGGCUAUACAUGGUUGUUUGUAUGCCUGUGUGUUAGAUUCCCUAUGCAGGUUGCUUGGAGUGACAUAUUCAAAUACAAAUGGGGAGAAUGUAAGAGUUAAGGAGUUGACGUUCAACAGGGAGACAUGUGUAGCACUGAUAUGCUCAAAGUUUAAUCCCUAAGCUACUCUGCAAGAGCACAGAUGUGCAGUUGUAGUAUGUAGGGGUCGAACCACAGAGACAAGAGAUCACUCAAUAAACCUUAUAGAGAUUGAAUUACGCUAAGCAUAAAUAUUGUAAAUGAAUAGCAAUGCAACAGAAUUAGACUAAGCAGCAAUAAAAACGGUUUGUAAGAUUCAGAUGGAUGGAGAUUAGGCUUAGGGCGUUUCUCAGGAAAUCAAUGCAUGCAGAUCAAUCGAUAAAUCAGGGUUCAGGUUUAAGCACGGUUCUUGAACUCGAAUCACAAAAUUAUAAUUAACCAACUUCCGUUGUGAGAAUUAUCUAAGUUAAAAUCCUAGAAUUCCAAAUUCCUUUGCAAACCCUAAAGAUUUAAACCAGCUUUAAUGCUCAAGUUCGAUAUGUUCACAAAGUAUUUAAACCAAAUUCCUUUGCGAAUAGCUACUUUGCUCACCCUAGGUUCUUUCCAGUUAUUCAAUUACACUUCCGUGUCAAUUAAGCAACCUAAGAUCUAAGUUCUAGGUGGCCAAUCCAGAAUUAGCUUUAAGAACAACCUAUGGUGAAGAACUAAAUAGAUUAUGAACCCUAACUAACCAAUCAAUCUAACAUCCAAUGGAAUCCUUUAUGAGAACCCUAAACCUAACAAACAAACUACUCAGACAUGAAGAUUGAAGCAAUAAGCAUGAUUGAAUAGCUUGCAGUAAGCAGUAAAUAGAUUAAUAAACAGGGGUUCGAAAUCUUCUCUCUCCGGAACAGAGUUUCAGACUUGUCUCCCCAAAAACUCUCAAAAACAAAAACUCUCUCUAAGAAAAUCUAAGGUAAUCGUAAAAAGGGAAUAAAAACCCUAUAUAUAUCUCUAAGACACGUUUUGGGCUUCCUUGAAAACGUUUGGGCCCAACUCCUUCUUCAAAUAGGAAACAAAAUCGCCUUUUCCUUAUUUCUCUAACAAGUGUCGCGCGUCACUCUCCAUGGUGUCGAGCGUCACUAAAGCACAAAAUCCAUACUUGACGAAUUUGAUCCUGAUUAAGCUCCAAAGUGCUCCAAAGUCUCCAGUUAAGCUCCAAACGUACCUAUAACCUGAAAAGACUCCAAAAGACUCGAAAGACACUAAAAAGACUCUAUAAAUAAGACUUAUACCAUGGUUAAAAACCAUAAAAACCAUGAUAUAUCAACUCCCCCAGACUUAGCAUUUGCUUGCCCUCAAGCAAACAUAACACCAAACAAGAGAAAGAAGUUUGAAAACACAGAGACUCAACCUUUCAUUGGAACAUCGCUUUUGACUGAUCACCCUGCAACUCAACUACUGCUUCAUCAUUCCAAAUCAAACCACCAUGUACUUCUCCAUAGACAUUCACAGCUUUCCAGAUUAAGUCCAAAAUUCCACAACAUGGUCCAUAAACCUUCAUCGCUGGAUCUCACUGAUGAUUCAGAUGCCAAGAACCUUCUAGAUUCUUUCCCAUUCUGUACUCAAACAAAUCAGCCAUACAAACUUUGGUACUUUUCUCUCCCCCAGACUUAUUCUUUUCGCACACUCAUCAUCAUUUUUUUAUGGCAUAUACUCGAUAAGGGUAAAGCUGCGAGUACUGAUGGUGUUUGCCACCAAGUCCCCAAGUUGUCCCUUUACCUUGUAUCAAAGGUUUUCAGCGAAUAGUGGGGUCAUGGGAAACAUUCCUACCCCUCACUUCCUUCCUUUGUGUGAUCAUUCCAACUUAGAAGUGAAAUAAUGAGAUCCUUGGAAACAUUCCUAGCCCUUCACUCCUAAGCGAAAAUCAUCUCAAUCUUUUCGCCUUUUUCUUUGUUUUUCUUCUUCUUAGCUCGUUACAAGGGAGAGAAAUACCAACAUUAAAUUUCACACAGGCUUUCAUUGAUCAAGUAUGAACGAGGAAUCAAGCUCUAAGGCAUUAGUCACAUCAGCGAGUUAAAAGUGAAGUUCAGAACUUAGCUCAGGUUAGUGGAUUCUGUUGGAAACAUGAACGCCUCUAGUGAACUGGUCAGCCUUUGGAUUUUUCAUUAGUCGGAUCUAGACUGAAUCUGCAGCAGUGGUCACUUAGGUGAAAGGUCAGCACAAUAAUUCCAGGAAAAGCAUCAUGAUCUCCAACAGGUUUUGACUCAAAAACGUUUUGACACAACUGACUCUUAAGAAAAACAAACACAAUGUCAGCAACUACCUCCCCCAGACUUGAAUAACACUGUCCCCAGUGUUAUCUAGUCCGAAGGUGGCGAAACAAAAUAAAAGAAACAGAGAAACGCAGGAAAAACAGAGAACUUACCUGGCUGCAAUGAUGGUGUCGCGCGACACUGAUGAUGGUGUCGUGCGACACUUGUUUUCCUCGUACCGAAUUGCAGCAGACCAAUCCGAAUUUCUGGUUUGACUCCGGUUGCCUGAUUUCCUAAAUUUUUUCUUUUUUUUUUUUUUUGAAUAGAAGCAAGUGACAAGCGACACCGAAGGUGGUGUCGCUCGACACUAAUAUCUGCUUCACCUGAGACACGAAAAGAAAAACGAAAAUCAACUGAAACAAAAAGACUUAUGUACAGACUCACCAGUGGAUUGCCUUCCACCAAGCGCUUGUUUAAAGUCAUUAGCUUGACUAUGGAUAGACUAUGCAUCUGGUGGAUCAGACAGUGGCAAAGAGUGCCUCUGUGAAAUUCGUCUCAUCCAUGGUGGUGUGUAAGCGUUGUGCGCAUGAGGUCGUCCAAGGAAUGCAGGAAUAGCACCAGGGUGAGAUCUGUGUUUGGGUGGCCUUGACCUAUUCCCUGCAAUAUCAUCAAACGAAAAACCAAGUGCUCUACGAUAAUCUCGUAGCUUGCGUCGUGAGACAGAGCCUGCAUCCUUUGAAUCAGUUCCAAUGAUAUCACGAGAAUUAGGCUUAGGUUCAAGAGGUGUGUACCUUUGCUUUGGUGGAGAUGGAUGGAGUGCAAUGUUUGGAGCUUCCUGAUCAACAGCAGUCACUGGUUCUGUAGACGUUUUCGUCAACUCAGAUUGAUCACUCACCAUCUCAGCAUCAAACACGUUCUGAUCUCCAACUAUCACUUCAGGUAUUGCAGUGACUUGGAAUGUCUGACCAUCUAUGGUGGGAUCCUUCAGCUUCUCCAUCUUGAAAGUCAUGAUGGUAUCUCCCAGGUGGAGAUCAAGGUUACCAUGCUUGACAUCAAUCACCGCUCCAGCUGUAGCUAAAAACGAUCUUCCCAGGAUAAGAGGAUCUUUGGGUUCCUCUCCAUAUUGCAGAACCACGAAAUCUGUAGGAAUUAUGCAAUCACCAACUUUGAUUGGAACAUCUUCCAAGACACCUUUUGGGAUUCUUUUAGACCGAUCUGCUAGGAUCAAAGAGAUCUUAGUUGGCUUGAAGUCAGUCAUCCCAAGGCUAACAGCUACAGAGUGUGGCAUGAGGUUGACACUCGAACCAAGAUCACACAGCGAUCUCUUGAACCUCUCUGAGAAGAUAGAGCAGUCCAAAACAAAACUUCCUGGGUCCGAGAGCUUUUCUGGAAUCUUAUUAUGAAUCACAGAACUGACAUGUUCAGAGAUCAUCAUCGCUCCUUCCUCAUGACCCACAUUAUUAGUCACCAUCUUCUUCACAUAGUGUCUGAGAGUAGGAGCAAUCUUCACAGCAUCAACCAAAGGAAUCUCAAUCACAAGCUUCUCCAUCAAAGCCUUGCAUCUGGCAUCAUCUAGCUCCUGCUUGGACUUCCUAGGACUCCUUGGGUAAGGAACCUUAGGUUUGUAAACCUUUUCCUCAGCAGAUUUCGGACUUUGAGCAAUAUUAGCUUUGCUCUGCAAUUGGUGACGCGCGACACUGGUUGUGGUGUCGCUCGACACUGGCUCUGCAGUUUCGAAAUUUUUUUCAGAUUCGUCAAACUCCACGAUUUCAUCCUCAGAAACACCCUUUUUCAGCACAGGAGUCAACUUUUUACCACUCCUUGACGAGAUGGCACUGCAGUAAUGCCUAGGAUUAGUAUCAGUCUUCCCAGGAAGGAAUCCUUCUUGCCUUUUUACAGACUCUGCUGUCUGAGCAACCUGAGUAUCAAGCUUCUUGACAUGAGUGUUCAGAACUUCAAUUUUUCCAUUCAGAUCCAGAUAUAGAGCAUAAAUCUUCCCAUUGAAAUCCACAGUCAUCUUCUACUGACCUUCCAAAAUCUGUUCCAGCAUUGACUUCACCUCAUUAUCUGGAGUUUGAGUAGGAAGAGAACCAUAGUUCCUUGAAAACCUGUUGUUGGAGUAGGAUGUCUGGUACUGAGGUUUGGAGCUGUAACCAGAAGAGUUCUGAUUACCUGUGAAGGUACUCCUCUGAUUAUUUCCAUUGUAAUUCGUGUUCCCUUGCCCAGAACCAAAUCUGUGACCCUGAAAUCCAGCUCCAUUGAUGAAGUUAACAUCUUCUUCCUCAAAAGCUUCAUCUGGUCCGAAAUUCUGAACUCCUGCAGGGUAUCUGACAGAUUUCUUACCCACAAGAAGACUAUGCACAGAGUCAAGCUUAGCCUUCACCUCGGCAAUUUGCGAUCCAUCCAGGUUCCCAGCCUGCUUCCUUCGUUGAUAGUCUGCAUUCUUGGUACUAUUGCUAGAUGCCAAGUUUUCGAUGAGCUCAACAGCUUCGUCUGGGUAUCUGGUGUUGAAGUUUCCAUUGCUCGCUGCAUCAAGAGCCAUCUGAUACCUCCAGUCGAUACCUCUAAAGAAAAUACCCAGCAACUGCACAUCGCUGAAGCCAUGAUGGGGACAGUCUCGCUGGUACGAUUUGAAUCGCACCCAGGAAGCUUUGAACGCUUCAGUUGGUUCCUGAGAGAAGGUCGAAAUUUUCGUCCUCAACUCCUCAGACCUAGCAUCAUCGAAAAAAUUGUGCAGGAAGGCAUUCCUGGUCUCUUCCCAAGUAGUGAGUGAUCCUGGCUCCAACUGCUUCAACCAGUUAGCUGCUUCUCCAGCAAGAGAGUAAGGAAACAGCUUGCAGAGGAGGAAAUCAUUGGACACUCCAUUGUAUUUGAUGCUGGUGACCAAAUCCUCAAACCUCUCGAUGUGAUCCAUAGGGUGCUCAUGAGAGUGGCCAUGGAAAGGAUGCUGACCCACAAGAGUGUAAUACACAGGCUUGAGCUCAAAAUCAUUCCUCUGAAACGCAGGAGCGCGAAUCGCAGACCGAUUUGCAUAGAAUUGCUCAGGCCUGUUGUAGUCACCCAGCGUCCUGAUGAUGUUACCCUGUCCAUCAAGUCGCUGACCUCUCUCAUUGCACACAUGACCCUCUUGGUCUCUCCAGACUCCAGCAUCAUCACGAAUCAAUGCCAAUGCGUUCUCCAUCUUUGAUAGUUUCUGAGACAAAGAGAAAGAACAAUGUAAGUAACAAAGCAAAAAUAAAAUUAAGAAAAACAACGGGUGUCGCGCGACACCAAUGCUGGUGUCGCUCGACACUAAAAAAAACUUAGUCGAAACUCAAGAACUAAAGUUUAAUGGCGAAAAUCAAGUCCCCGGCAACGGCGCCAAAACUUGAUAUGCUCAAAGUUUAAUCUCUAAGCUACUCUGCAAGAGCACAGAUGUGCAGUUGUAGUAUGUAGGGGUCGAACCACAGAGACAAGAGAUCACUCAAUAAACCUUAUAGAGAUUGAAUUACGCUAAGCAGAAAUAUUGUAAAUGAAUAGCAAUGCAACAGAAUUAGACUAAGCAGCAAUAAAAACGGUUUGUAAGAUUCAGAUGGAUGGAGAUUAGGCUUAGGGCGUUUCUCAGGAAAUCAAUGCAUGCAGAUCAAUCGAUAAAUCAGGGUUCAGGUUUAAGCACGGUUCUUGAACUCGAAUCACAAAAUUAUAAUUAACCAACUUCCGUUGUGAGAAUUAUCUAAGUUAAAAUCCUAGAAUUCCAAAUUCCUUUGCAAACCCUAAAGAUUUAAACCAGCUUUAAUGCUCAAGUUCGAUAUGUUCACAAAGUAUUUAAACCAAAUUCCUUUGCGAAUAGCUACUUUGCUCACCCUAGGUUCUUUCCAGUUAUUCAAUUACACUUCCGUGUCAAUUAAGCAACCUAAGAUCUAAGUUCUAGGUGGCCAAUCCAGAAUUAGCUUUAAGAACAACCUAUGGUGAAGAACUAAAUAGAUUAUGAACCCUAACUAACCAAUCAAUCUAACAUCCAAUGGAAUCCUUUAUGAGAACCCUAAACCUAACAAACAAACUACUCAGACAUGAAGAUUGAAGCAAUAAGCAUGAUUGAAUAGCUUGCAGUAAGCAGUAAAUAGAUUAAUAAACAGGGGUUCGAAAUCUUCUCUCUCCGGAACAGAGUUUCAGACUUGUCUCCCCAAAAACUCUCAAAAACAAAAACUCUCUCUAAGAAAAUCUAAGGUAAUCGUAAAAAGGGAAUAAAAACCCUAUAUAUAUCUCUAAGACACGUUUUGGGCUUCCUUGAAAACGUUUGGGCCCAACUCCUUCUUCAAAUAGGAAACAAAAUCGCCUUUUCCUUAUUUCUCUAACAAGUGUCGCGCGUCACUCUCCAUGGUGUCGAGCGUCACUAAAGCACAAAAUCCAUACUUGACGAAUUUGAUCCUGAUUAAGCUCCAAAGUGCUCCAAAGUCUCCAGUUAAGCUCCAAACGUACCUAUAACCUGAAAAGACUCCAAAAGACUCGAAAGACACUAAAAAGACUCUAUAAAUAAGACUUAUACCAUGGUUAAAAACCAUAAAAACCAUGAUAUAUCAAGCACAGAGUACGAAGGAUGCGGGAAACUCAAGUCGAAGACAAGAGAAUAACUCAAGUGGUGCUGACGUGGCAGCGAAGAAUUGGAGCUGGCAGGAAGCUGUUUUUAGAGAUCGAAUAUCCAAGAUAUGGAGAUUAGAGGAUCUCAACAAUAAGGAAAGAAGAUAUUCACGAGGGUGGAAAACGUGAAUAAAGAGUAGUGAAAAGGGUUUCUGAACAUUUACCCUUUAGAGAGAACAAGUCACAAAAAGCUAGCCGCACGAGAGGUUGGGGUUUUUGGUGAGCGUGUUCAUUGUGAUAGUUGCAUAGCUGUUGCUGUGUUUAAGAUUGGAUAGAUUAAGAAUUGGUCAGUAUCGAGUUGCAGGUGCAAGGUCGUGUAAUUCUGAUUAAACAGAUCUAAAGGAUUGUCUAAGUGAUUCUUAAUAAAAGGCAAAGAGUGUUUUUGCAAUUUUCUGUGUUCUACUCUUAGUCUCUGUGAUAUAGAUCUUACAACAUGCUUAUGCUUAUGGUUGGUUUUGAUCAUUCUCCAUGUUUGUUGAGCUGAUCCCAAUGUUAAAACCCGACACUCAUCGCCAAUUUUAUAAAGAGGCAUGCACAUCACUUUGUGUUUACCUUGAAUUGGAUCGUAUCCUAAAAAACAUGUUAUAUCCUCCCAGCUUUCUUCUGGUUUGGGUAAGGUUAAGAACUGUCUCAUUGUAGGGUUCCAUAGUACAGGUUUUCCUGAGUCUUGGAAGCAGAUCAAGCCGUGGACAGAUUCCGUAGGGUAGAAGUAACUAUGUUCUAAGGAUUUCAUUUGAUAACGACAAAUAGGCAUAGAAUUAAAAGUAUUAGGAUUAGACUCGUUCGAGUUCUGAUGAUCUUCCGGAAUCGAGAAAACGAACAACGUGUCCCUUCAGCGAGUUUUGAAGGAGUUGGUGAAAUAUGGAUCGCUGGUGAUUGCUGGCCAAAGCUUUGAUACGCAACGAAAUCUCACAACAGAUUUUGCAGGUAGCCUUAGGAGUACCUCUGAGAUUAGGUCGAGAGGAAACGACGAUGUUGAUUUCGAUAUUGUUCCUCUUCUAGGGAUUUUUUUCUUCCUUUCUUCUUCUUGCUCCAUCUUUAGUAAAAUUCUAAUUUGUUCCUCACUCCCCCUCAAUGAUUUUCGCUCCUAUAUAUAUAUAUAUAUAUAUAUGUUUUUAACCCUUUUUUGACAUAAAUCUCAUAACUCAUGAGCAUAAACUAUGUAAUUUGAAGAAUAUAUAUAUACAUUUAAAAAAAACAAAGUUCCUAUUAAUCGUUUUGAGAAGAUAUAUAUUUUUGUUUUUAAAAAAAAUUAAGUUCGUAUUAAUCGAUUCGAAAGAUAUUUAAAGAGUUUGUUAUUAAUAAUUCUUAGAGAGUUUGUUUUCAAUAAAUCACAUUUAAUUAUUCAAAAAUUGCUAUAAAUCCAGAUUAAUGUACAGAAUCUUUAAGUUUUCCUUUUUUGAUUGUUCGCAUCUAAUAUAAAAUAAAUAAAUAAAAUACAUAAAAAUGUAGGAGCAUGCGGUUUAAGCAAGUUAAUCCUGUAUCAGAUUGCUUCUUGUCUUCACUUGGAAAACUGGAAUACCUAUAAUUCUUUACUACUAAUUUCGUCCUGAAGAUCCAUGUAACUCAUAGAACUUGCUAACGACGGGAGAAUCUGCAAAGGUAAACAAAAAAUCAACCCUAAACUACUGUAUCCGUUUUCUUAGGUUAUCCUAAAUGGUUAUUUGACUAACUGGUAAUUAGAUCAGGAUGUGAGAUUUCAUAAGAGAUCAAAUCUUUGUGUGUAGUUGCGAUGGAUCCACUACAAGAAAACAAUCGUUUUCCAACAAUUUGUUACGACGGUUUAUAAAUCGUCACAAAUAUACACGCUUUUACGAUGAUUUUACGAGAAAAAAAUAAAACGUCGUAAAACCGUCGUAAAAAAAAUCAUCGUAACUUUGACGUAUAAUUUACGAUGCUUUACGACGAUUAUACAUCGAUAAAGAGAGAUUUGAUAUAUAUUGCAAAAUCAUCGUAAAUUGGAUGUAACAUUACGACAAAUAUACGACGAUCCAAAUCUGAUGUACAGUUACGACGAUUUUACGUCGACAAAGAAGGUAGGUGAAGAACAUUUAAAAAAUGUUUACCUAACUAAUGUCGAUGAAAUAUUUUAUCACACAAUCGACGUAAAAUCAUCGUAAUAUGAAGGUUGGAUGUAAAAGGGAUGUAAAAAAAUCGUCGUAAAAGCGUCGUAAAGUCCAAAAUUUUGUUAUAAAUACAUCUUCAUUCCUUAUUUCAUUCACAACACAUCAUCAUUCAAACAUAAGAGCAUUGUAAAUCCUAAUAUAUUGGGUUGUCCAUUGCUGGAAACCCGAAUUAGCAGUAAUUUAUUUGAAAAAAUAAGUAAUAAUAUUAAAAGGUUUACUCCAUUUACGCGGCCUUACGUGACACAAGAGACCGUCUCUUUUAUUGUCUAAACAAUAGAAAGAGAUUGUAUUUUUGAGUUAUUUUCAAGAUGUCUAUAUACGAGCUAAGAAGCUGGAUGUAUAUGCGUAAAAAUUCAGAUGGGGCGUUGAUAGAAGAAUUCAAGAACGGGUUAGAAAUGUUCAUGUAUCAGGCCACAAAUAUGGAGAGAACGAAAGAUAGCGGAAAGAUGUUUUGUCCUUGUUUGAAAUGCAAGAAUACAAGGUAUACACUAACCAAAACCGUGUGAACGCAUUUAUUAAAUAGAGGGUUUAUGCCGCAAUUUUUUGUUUGGUAUCUACAUAGAGAAGGAUAUGGCAGUAAUACUCAUUGGAAUGCUGGUAGUAGUAGUAAUUAUCAAAGUCAUGUUGAUUUUGAUGAAUCGAAUUAUGGUCAUCAGCCUAAUCAGUAUCAAUCUGAUCAAGGUCUAGAUCAUGAUAGGAUGCAUGAGAUGGUGACUGAUGCAUUUCAUGAAACGCAUACUAGUAAUGCUGUUGAGGAACCUAAUGUAGAUGCCAAACGAUUUUAUGAUUUGUUAGACAAUGCUAAUCAGCCAAUCUACGAAAGAUGUAAAAAAUGCCUGUCUAAAUUAUCGUUGGCAGCUAGGAUGAUGUCAAUUAAAACAGAUCAUAACCUGGCUAAGGUUUGCAUGGAUGAUUGGGCUGAUCUUCUGAAAGAGUAUCUACCGGAGGAUAACUUGGCAGCGGCGACAUACUAUGAAAUACAGAAGUUGAUUUUUAGUUUUUGUAUACCUUCUGAAAUGAUAGAUGUAUGUGUUGACAAUUGUAUGAUUUUUUGGAAAGAUGAUGAUCAGCUGGAGGAAUGUCGAUUUUGCCAAAAACCAAGAUACAAGCCGCAAACUGGUGGGCGUAAAAGGAUAUCGUACCAACGUAUGUGGUAUCUCCCUAUAACUGAUAGGUUGAAACGGCUUUAUCAAUCUGAAAGGCCAGCUGCAUCAAUGAGAUGGCAUGCAGAACAUACACAAGUAGAUGGAGAAGUUGUUCAUCCAUCAGAUGCAAAGGCAUGGAAACACUUCAAUAGGGUAUACCCAGAUUUUGCUAAGUUCAAACGGAAUGUCUAUCUUGGUCUAUGCACUGAUGGUUUUAUUCCAUUUGGUAUGUCUGGUAGACAAUAUUCAUUAUGGCCAGUAAUCCUAACCCCUUAUAACCUUCCUCCAGAUAUGUGCAUUCAAAGGGAAUUUCUUUUCCUUAGUAUUUUGGUUCCAGGUCCCAAUCAUCCGAAGCGAGCUCUCGAUGUAUUUCUGCAGGCACUCAUACAUGAGUUGAAUCAGUUAUGGUUUACCGGCGUUCGUACAUAUGACUGUUCAACGGGGAAAAAUUUUACUAUGCGGGCUGUGCUUAUGUGGACAAUAAACGAUUUCCCCUCUUAUGGUAUGCUAUCAGGAUGGACUACACAUGGGAGGUUAUCUUGUCCUUAUUGUCUUCAUCGAACUGAUGCGUUUCAGCUAAAACAUGGUAGAAAAAUCUGUUGGUUUGAUUGUCACCUGAGGUUUUUACCGGAUAACCAUCCAUAUCGGAGGAACAAGAGGUUAUUUUGGAAGAACAAAAGUGUACAUGUCCCUCCACCCGUAAAUUUAACAGGAGCUUAUAUACAUGCGCAAAUCAAGCAUAGGGGGCAGAAGAAACAGUAACGCGUGGGGGAAACUGGCACAUUCCUGCAAAUAUGUCUGAAUGUUAUGGAGUUCAUCAUAAUUGGCACAAGAAAAGUAUCUUUUGGCAACUACCCUAUUGGUAAGAUCAUCUGCUCAGACACAAUCUUGAUGUCAUGCACAUUGAGAAAAACUUUUUUGAUAACAUCAUGCAUACAGUUAUGAACGUAACAGGAAGAACAAAAGACAAUGGUAAGUCAAGAUUGGACUUACAUGAUUUAUGCAACAGAAGUGAGUUGCAUAUACUGAGAAACGAGAAAGCACCUGUUCCUGUAUUUCGGUUGAGUGCAGAUCAAAAGUCAGCAUUGUUCAAAUGGGUUUUAUCUGACGUUAAGUUUCCUGAUGGAUAUGUUUCUAAUCUUUCUAAAUCUGCUGAGAAGGGGGUAAAGUUUGCAGGGAUGAAAAGUCAUGACUGCCACGUGUUUAUGCAACGAUUAUUUCCAUUUGCAUUUGCUGAACUCUUGCCCAAAAUGUUCAUGAAGUUGUUGGAGGCAUUGGUGCUUUUUUCUGGGAUCUUAGUACACAAACAUUAUCAGUUGAUGUAAUAGCACAACUGGCAUCGAAUAUUCCAAUCUUGUUGUGCAAUUUGGAAAAGAUCUUCCCGCCAUCAUUUUUUGAUGUUAUGGAACAUCUUCCUGUUCAUCUUCCUCACGAAGCAGAGCUCGGUGGACCAGUUCAGUACAGGUGGAUGUAUCCGUUCGAGUGUUUCAUGAAGCAUCUUAAAGGUAAAGCCAAAAACCUAGCUAAAGUGGAAGGUUCAAUUGUGGCGGGAAGCUUGACGCAAGAUACUUUGCACUUCACUUCGUACUAUUUUGCACCAAAAGUACGAACACGCAAAAGAGCUAAUUGUCGAUAUGAUGAUGGAGGAGUUGGCCAAACAUAUGCAGUUGAGGGUGUAUCUGACAUAUUAUCGCCGUUCGGAUGUCUUAGUGGAAAACUGAAGGAAGUUUGGUGGUCCAAUGAAAAAGAUUAUCACACUGCACAUAGGUAUAUCCUGCUAAAUUACGAAGAGUUAUCAUCGUACGAGAGGUACAUUUUUCCACUAUAUAUAUAUAUAUAUAUAUAUAUAUAUAUAUAUAUAUAUAUAUAUUAGUCAGUCUUAAUUAAUUAUUAGUUCUUUUUUCAGCACAUUCGUUGAUGAGGUUAAAGAAUGCAUCUCUAGGGUUUCUGAAACUGAAAUCAAUGAUCGUAAAGAUCAACACUAUGUCCAGUAGUUAAAAUCGCAAGUAUGUAUAAAAUAUAAAUUAAAAGACUUUGAUAUAUAUCCAACAUAUAUGAUUGCAUGCAUAUUUGCAAAAUCAAGAAAUUAAAGCAAGAUUUUUUCUGAUUAGGUGGACCCGAAUGAUCUGGAUGAAUUUCCAACAUGUCUAAUGGCAAAAAUAACGACAACCUCCAUGUAUUUCACUCGGGGCUAUGUUUUUCACACAUACCGUCACGGUGCAAAGCGGGCGACAACUAACUAUGGAGUUUGUGUGAGGGGUGAAAUAGAGUUUUAUGGAGUUUUGGAAUAAAUAAUUGAAGUGGAGUAUCCUGGAUUGUUAAGGCUGAAAACUGUUCUCUACAAAUGUGAUUGGUUUGAUCCAACUGUUGGAAGAGGGGUACGUCUAAACAAGUUUGGAGUUAUUGACGUAAACAAAUCACGACGGUACAAUAGGUUUGAGCCAUUUAUAUUAGCUUCUCAGGCGGAACAGGUCACAUUUCUACCAUACCCCCGAGUUCUAGCAACAGGAACCUCAUGAUUAGCAGUAGUUAAAGUGGCUCCGUGGGGCAAGAUUGUAGGAGUUGAGGAUGUUCCACUGCAACAGGACACUUGCGUAGAUCUGACUGAACCAGAUGUUGAUGAGGAGAUUUUCUUAAUUGACCCUCAGAAUAGGCAAGUUGAAUAUCUUCCCGAUGAUACAGAAGAAGAAGGUGAUGAGUUUGCUGAAACCGAUGAUGAUGAUGACGAUUUGGUGGAUUGGGUCAAAAUCCAAGGUACGAGGGUAUAAAUGUUGGCCUAUUAUGAUGCUUUUACGACGGUUUAAUGAACAUUCGUCGUAAAAUCGUCGUAAUGCUCAAACGCUGUGAACAUGACAUGUGUCGUGUCAUGCACUGGUACGAUGGUUAUACAACCAAAUCGUCGUAAAACCGUCGUAACGUUACGACGAUCACAAAAUUUAUAUAAGGGAUGCGAGUUUUCCUCCUUCGUCGCUCAUUCCUCACUUCUCUCUCUCUCUCUCUACAAAUACUCUCUCUCUCUCUAGCUCUCCCUCCUAUCCCUCCUCUCCAGCCUUAAUUUGUAAGUUUUUUUUAAAAAAAUCAUUAUAAUUUAUAUUUCGUUUAAAUUUUAAUCCUUAGAUAGAUAUAAUUAGGGGAAUUAGUUAGAUUCGGAAUUUAAAUAGGCCCGAAAUUUAAAAAUAAAUUAUAUAAUUAGUAAUUUAAUUUUGUAGAUUAUUCAUAUGCCUCCCCGGACCAAGAGAUUCCACUACCGGGAGAUGGUUGAUCCGGACGCUACCGCUCCGUCCGCCACAAGUAUGGGGUCCGCCAUCCCGGAGUCUUCGCGAACACAAUGAACGGUUUUGCAACCGGUCAUUGUACCACAGCCUGCACCGACUCCACCAUCACCAGCCGAACCAGCAGCACCAGCACCAGCCGCAGCCCCGAUACAGCCUGAAUCGUAUGCCCAAUUUACGGUUGAGGAUCUUCUACGACAACUGGGUCGUGGGAGUAUGAAGAAUCUCGAUCUGGAUCGAGCCCCAGGGACAUUUUGGUAUGAAUUUUUUUUUAACACAUUUUUUUAUUUAAAAGAUUUAUAUUUAUAAUUAAUUAAAAUAUCUAACCAAUUUUUUUUUUUACUGACUAGGUUUAUGACCGACAACGCAGUCGGUCGUAACGUUUCCGACAUCAUCAAAGGGUUCUUCGUACAACCUCAUACCAGCUGGAAGAAGCUAGAUCAGACAACUAUGGACACUUGGUUCAAGUGUUUCGCGGUAAAUUAUUUAAAAUUACGAUUUAUAUUUUUAUUUUUUAUUUUUUACAAUAAUUACUAACUCUUUUUUUUCUAGCAAAAUUGGCAUUGAGAAACUUCUACACACGAACGUGUGAAGGCGGCCUUCAAAGAGAAUGUCAAGUACUGGUUCAACAACACUGUUUCUGACUGGAAGCGGAAGUGGGAGGUCGAUGGCAACAAGGCCAAGCCGGCGCCAAUGGCCGAUACCGUCUGGGAGGGUCUGGUGCACCAUUGGUUGACCCUGCACAAUCAGACUAUUGCCGCCAAGUGUUCCACAUCCAGGUAUUUUUGUAAAUUAAACUAAAAUGUGUUUAAUUUAUAAUAUUAUAUAGGUUUAAUUACAAAUAUAAUUACUAUAUUUUUCAUGAACGCUACUGACGAUGCGGGAAAUUUAAAGAACGUCUCGCACACUUCCGGCCAGAUUCCUUUCGCCGGAAGAUGACUUAUGAUGGUAAGUUUUUAUUAAUAAGUUUUUUUUUCAAUAUUAUCUGUCUUGUUAAUAAUUUCAAUUUGAUUUUGUAGGUCGAAGAAAACGGGGGAGAACUUUCUCCGAUGACGAAGGUCUUUGCCGAGACCCAUAAGAAGAAGAACAGCGAAUUCAUGGAUCCUCGGGCGGAAGAGAUCUACAACGCCGCCUGUGCACGGAUCGGCAGACGCAGCUCACUCAGCAGGCACCUCCGACGUCUUCCGGAGGUAGCUCGGUCCAGUCCACCCCGACAUUGAUGGUGGCGGAGAUGGACCAGAUCUUCGAAGAGGUAAGUUUAAUUCACUUUCUUUUUCCUAUUUAGUUUAAUUUUAACUUUAUAUUGUACUGUUUUACAUAAGUUUCCUACAUUUUUUCAGGUUGUCAUUCGGAAGAAGGGCCGGGUUUUAGGGAUGUGAUCCAUCCGUGAUACCCCAGUCGCUACGGCGACUGGUCAUGUCCGGUGAUAACACCGGAUUUUGACCAUUUUUAUGGAUCACUUUAAUAUCUUUUACAGGUGUUUUUACUCAAUUUUCAAAGGUUUUCAAAGGAUUUCUAUGUUUCCGGAUUUUAAAAGACUUUUCAGGUAAUUUGGGAUAAAGAGGCACAAAAUGGAACAAAAGAACUCUUUUGGAUAAAUGCAGACCGUCAGAACUCUCAUGGAGAGACGAAGACCUUCUCACCGUCUGAUCAUCCUCAAAAUUGGACAACUUAUAGAAGAAUCAACCAGCUUUCAAAUGCACUUGGUUUGAAGACAUUCCAACGGUUGGAUCUCAAGAUAUUCCAUUAGCCCCAGAGCCACUCGAAGUCGGCCAGCAAGUCACGCGACCGCGGUGAUCAACCUAUUUCCCGCGGUCAGAAGCUUCCCGACUGCGGCCAACCAGCCAAUCCCCGCGUCACAACACUCCCGACCGCGGCAAUCAAUCUCCGAAUUAAAGCCCAUGUAUCUGAAGCCCAAAGUCAUUCUCAGCCUCAAUUCCAGAACCCUAGAGACAGUGGAGUAUUGGAGACUAUAAAUACAUGUCAUUUAGGUCGUUUUAGGGAGAGUAAUACACACUUUACAGAAACCCUUUUCCUUUAGCCGUUUUUAUGAGAUUUUUGUAGAAGAUUGUUCAAGUCCGAGUUCUUCAAUAGAGAAGCUUUCUUUAUCUCUUUUCUUUACUGUUUUUCAUUACUUUUAUUAAAACCGAUGAUGAUGUCGACCUCAGCCAUGUCUGAGUAGAUCCUGAGUUGGGCUUAGGGUUCCCGAAAGGGGCUCUCAUAAUCGAUUAAGACAUCUAGGUUUAUAGAUCUGGGAUUUCGACCUGUUCUUUGUUUAUUAUUGUUCUUAUUGCAUGUAUGCUUGAUUGAUCACCUAGUAUCUGAUCUAGAUAGUUAGUGUUGCGAAAGUUUUCAUAAAGUAUCAGUCCUAGAAUGAAACAGGCGAUUUUUCCGUAGGAGUGGAAACCUACCUGCGGCGAGAUCGUGAGUAUUGACGAGUCUUGUGCAGCUCUUGCGUUCUCUCCCUUCCAGGGCCAGAGUGGAAACCUACUGGUCAGGGUUGCGAGAAACAGUUGGUUAUGAUCACGACAGUGACGUAGUCAUACCGCCGUACUCUAGCUCUAGAACCCAUAUAUCGAUAUCCGUCAAUCCCAAUCUAUUUACCCUAGUGUUAAAACCGAUUAUGAUCCCUUAGAGUUCCCAAAAGCUCAGCGUUUUUAGCCAUAGUUUACAACUCCAUCGAUUUUUAUUACUUUCUUAGACCUGCAUUUCAAUUCCCUUAGUUCGAUAUUUUACUUGCUUAAUUUACCUUUCAUGCGAUAUUUCACUUGCUUUAUUAGUCUUUCAUUCGAUAUUCUGCUUAUUCUAAUUGCAUUUCAUUCGAUUUUCUUACUUGCUUUUUAGGAUAGAUUUAUUUGGUUUCUUUGUUUUUAGUUUAAUUCGCAAAACAAACAACCAACCUUUAAAACCAAUUUAGUCUAGACAUAAAGUUAAAAACCGUAGAAGAAUAUCAGGCACACAAAUCUCUGUGGAUUCGAUCCCUAAAUACUACAACUGAUUAGCUGUGCACUUGCGGCUUUCAUUUGUUUUGUUAAGGGUAAAACUUGUUCCCUCACGCAGUUGAUACGACAUCAAGUUUUUGGCGCCGUUGCCGGGGAUUUGUUUCGCUGCCUUUUGUUAUUUUUCUUGUUUUAACUUCUGUUCUAGACACCUGAUCUCUAGUUCUUUCUUAAAGUUUUGCUGAAUUAUCUUUCCCUUCUUUUGUUUUUCUCUGAAUUGCAUGAAUUCCAGGCGCAGACCUGUAGAAAACAUUCCAAUUCUAGACGAGAUAGACAGACACGAAAGAGAACUUCGAAGACUUAGACGAACGCAAGGAAUGGCCAACGACGACCAGCCUGGAGAUCCUAUUAAUCGAACUUUAAAUAUGGACCAAGACGGGUCCGAACAUGGAGAAAAUGAAGAGAAUGAUCACAGAGGAUGUGAUCAUGCUCGACAAGAUGGAGAGGAGGAUGAGGUUCCUCCAAGAAACCACCAGCCCACUUAUCUGAAGACCAAAGUCAUUCUCAGCCUCAAUUCUGGAACCCUAGAGACCAUGGAGUAUUGGAGACUAUAAAUACAUGUCAUCUAGGUCGUCUUUAGAGAGAACCCUUCAUACUUUACAGAAACCCUUUUCCUUUAGCCGUUUUUAUGAGAUUUUUGUAGAAGAUUGUUCAAGUCCGAGUUCUUCAAUAGAGAAGCUUUCUUUAUCUCUUUUCUUUACUGCUUUUCAUUACUUUUAUUAAAACCAAUGAUGAUGUCGAACUCAGCCAUGUCUGAGUAGAUCCCGAGUUGGGCUUAGGGUUCCCGAAAGGGGCUCUCAUAAUCGAUUAAGACAUCUAGGUUUAUAGAUCUGGGAUUUCGACCUGUUCUCUGUUUAUUCUUGUUCUUAUUGCAUGUAUGCUUGAUUGAUCACCUAGUAUCUGAUCUAGAUAGUUAGUGUUGCGAAAGUUUUCAUUAAGUAUCAGCCCUAGAAUGUAACAGGCGAUUUUUCCGUAGGAGUGGAAACCUACCUGCGGCGAGAUCGUGAGUAUUGACAAGUCUUGUGCAGCUCUUGCGUUCUCUCCCUUCCAGGGCCAGAGUGGGAACCUACUGGCCAGGGUUGCGAGAAACAGUUGGUUAUGAUCACGACAGUGACAUAAUCAUAC
RNAcentral lists this long non-coding RNA (164245 nucleotides) under Eutrema salsugineum. RNAcentral's name for it is "long non-coding RNA (ESAL_LNC000847)". The stretch from base 144587 to 144693 matches the Rfam family "Plant small nucleolar RNA R71". The record is from RNAcentral. Lineage: Eukaryota; Viridiplantae; Streptophyta; Magnoliopsida; Brassicales; Brassicaceae.